Molecule: long non-coding RNA, 96086 nt
Filed under: Coffea arabica (coffee)
Lineage: Eukaryota; Viridiplantae; Streptophyta; Magnoliopsida; Gentianales; Rubiaceae
Description: long non-coding RNA (CARA_LNC002006)
Source: RNAcentral
CCAACGCAUUCGUGCACCAGCGUAGAAAAGUAAACCAGAAAAAUUGCCCAAGGAUAAGAAAAAUCCACCACAUCAAAGUAGCACUAGACCUCAACCGAAAAAAAAAGUGAGCAAAACAACAAACUCAAUGAGCUACAAAAAGAGGAAGUGAAAGAAGUUGAACAAAACCCAUAAUGUAGCUUUGCAGAAAAACAAUCAAACAAUAAUACAGCGAGGAAAGAUGGGGAGAAAAUACACUGGCAAAAUAUGAAAAUAAUAGAGGAAUGAAUAGACCAAAAAGGUAACUUUCAACUUUAGAGAGACCCAAAAAACAACAUGACACACAAGAAACUUAAACAGGACUAAGAUUUUCCAGCUUAAAUGGGAAAUAAUUAAAGCCCAUUGUAGGUAAGAACAAAGGGGUGAUCAUACAAGAAGUCGAGAGACAAACAUGCACCAGUUUGUACCAAAGAAAUUACAUAAAUAAAAGAAAAACCCAGAAAAAAUUACACAAAAAUGAGAAAAACCCACAUCACAAAUUAGUACUAGACGUCCAAAAGGAGCAACCCAAAAAACCAAAAAAAAAAGGAAAAGAAAGAGCAAAAUCAAUGAGCCCAGAAAAAAAAGAAACAUAAGGAAUUUUUUGUUAGACUGAAACAGAACACCAAAAUGGAGGAAAAAUGUCAGCCCAAGAAAGGAUAAUAACACACCUUGCUUGUGAAACCAGAUAUGGGGAGUAAAAACUCCCACAGAAACUGCUAUAAUUUGCAGAAAGUUUUGAACUUUGAACAAGAACGGUGAGUAGCAAGCACGGGAGAGAACAGUAGUGUAUACAAAAGUACAUAAAGCAGAAAAGCAAAAAAAAACUUACAAAACGAGGAGGGGGAGAGAGUGAAAGAAGGCGCGUGAAUUUUGAGGAAUUAUUAAGGGAUAAUUUCAGAAACCUCCCUGAGGUUUCUAUAAUUCCAAUUAGUUUCUUUAAGAUUUUAAAAUUUACACUUACCAAGUCAUCCAUCUAAAACGGCAGUAUUAAUUUUAAUAUUUUAAUAAAACUUCCUUACUGAAUAUGCAUAUACGAAAAAUGGGAUUUAUAAUUAUUUUUUCUUUUCUUUCUCUUUUUUUAUUCCUUAUUUUUAUAUUUUUUUAUUAAAAUUAUAGAAACAUAAACACUGAUCCUAAAUAUUAAAAUUAAUGACCUUUUUAAAGAACUUUUAAUGACACUAACUCAAAAAAAGACUCAAAACUACUAUCAAACUGUGACAGUUUUACCAAUCAAAAAAUUCACUAACUUUAAAAUCAUUAUGAUGAUAGUUUCUUCCCUAAUUUAGAAAAAAUAUGUAUUUUCAAUAAAGUAUUAUUAAAAGUAAUUUAUCAUAAUUUGAUAGACAAUUGCUUACCAAAUAAUAAAAUUUUGGUAUUGAAAACUUGAUAACUUUCCUUACCCUUGUACUAAAUAUCUUAUUGCUUUAUAAAGUAAUUAAACUUUAUACAGUGAGGGUGUUUAGAGGUAUUCGUUUAAAUUUUUUUACCAAAUCUAAGGUUCAGUUUUUAAAAGCAUCAAACUAUGAGAGGGAAGUGUAAUUUUUGAAAAUUAAAAGGAGCUUAUUUAAAUUAUCAGAUACCUUAGGGGUAGUUUAUAAAAUUAUCCCAAUUAUUAAUAAGGGAUAAUUGCAUAAAUCUUCCCUGAGGUUUCAGACAUUUGCAUUGACCUCCCUUGUGGUUUGAAAAAUUAUACUAACCUCCCCUGAGAUUACUAAUCCUUUGUAAAUUUAGUCCAAACAAUUAAAAUAUUAUUUUAUGGAGUGAAAUUAGAAUUUUGUAUCAGAUUUGCCCUUUGUGCUACAUAUCCAAUGAACGACAAAGUACUAUAAAUCAAUUAAUAAUUAAUAAAUUUUAAAGAGUAUAAUUUAUGGGCAAACACGCAUUACUUAUUUAAAGUAUCGGUUUUUUAUGGGUAUUUUACUUUCAAAUAUUUAAUUUAUGAUAAAUAUAUCAAUAUUUGUAAGUAAAAUUCAAAAAUUGUUAUAGUAAUAUUCUUGCAAAAAGAAAAAAUCGAUAAGUUAUUUAUUUAAUAUAAAUUAAAUAUUUUUUUUUAAAAAAUAAAUGGCCCAUAAAAUAUUGAUUUUUUUAUAACUUUCAUCCAUUACACGAAUAAAGUAUUCCCUAUUUAUGUGCAUUUUAUUUUGAAUCAUUUAAUUUAUGUUAGAUACAUAAAUGUUUGUAACUAAAAUUGAAAAAGUAUUAUAUUAAUAUUUUUACGGAAGAGAGACUGGUAGGUUUUGUAUUUAAUAAAAAUUAAAUAUUUGAAAGUAAAUACAAAUCUGUAUUUGAGCGUAAAUAUUUGUAUUAAAUUAAAUGUUUGAAAGUAAAAUACCUUUAAAGAAUCGGUACUUUAAAUAGUUACCAACUCUUUAUAGACAAACAUGCAUUAUUCAUUUAAAGUACCGAUUUUUUAUGGAUAUUUCACUUUCAAACAUUUUAUUUUAUAAUAAAUAUAUCAAUGUUUGUAAGUAAAAUUCAAAAAGUGUUACAGUAAUAUUCUUACAAAAAGGAAAUCGAUAAGUUAUUUAUAUAAUAUAAAUUAAAUAUUUUUUAAAAAUAAAUGGCCCAUAAAGUAUUAAUUCUUUAUGACUUUCAUCCAUUACAUGAGUAAAGUAUUGGCUCUUUAUGGAUAUUUUAUUUUGAAUCAUUUAAUUUAUGUUAAAUACAUAAAUGUUUGUAACUAAAAUUGAAAAGUGUUAUAUUAAUAUUUUUACGGAAGAGAGAUUGGUAGUUUUUGUAUUUAACAAAAAUUAAAUAUUUGAAAGUAAAUACAAAUAUGUAUUUGAGCGUAAAUAUUUGUAUUAAAUUAAAUGUUUGAAAAUAAAAUACCCAUAAAGAGCCGAUACUUUAAAUAGGUAUUGCGUAGUUGCCUAUAAACUAUAUUCCUUCAAGUUUAUUAAUUGCUAAUUAAUUUGUAGUAUUUUGUCAUUACUUGGACAAGUAGUACAAAGGACAAAUUUGAUAAAAAAAAUUCUAAUUCCAUUAUCUAAAAUAAUAUUUUAAUCGUUUGGACUGAAUUUGCAAAGGAUUAGUAACUUCAGGGGAGGUCAAUGUAAUUUUUCAAACUACAAGGGGAUCAGUGCAAAUGUCAGAAACCUCAGUGGAGGUUUCUGCAAUUAUCCCAAUUAUUAAUAAAGGAGAAUUUGGAUUGGAAUGGCGGGAGGGAGGACAGACAGCACGUGAUUGUCAGACAGUGUUGCAGUGUGAAGUCGUCCAAGUUUUAGAAAGUGCGUUCCUUUAGUCUUUGGAUGUGUCAGAACUUGGAAGACUAAACAACACCAAUAAUUUAAUAUUUCACUUUUUGGUUUUCUUAAUCUAAUUUUAUUUUAUUUUUUAUCUGAAUUUAAUUUUAUCUCGUUUUCAUUUUCAUGUUUCAGUAUGCUUUUUUUCUAAUUUUGGUUUAUACUUUCUUUUCUUUGGGAAGAAGUUAUGAAUUUAAUGACAAUUUGAUUAGAGUUCUUUGAUCACACUAUAUUACCACACCUCUAUUGUUUAGUGUUAGUGUAGUGGUGUCAAUCUAGCUUUUUAAGUCUGGUUUCAGCAAAUUCAAAUUUGGCAUAUGAGUUAUAUGAAUUUUCGGGUUUCAGAUUCAAAUAAAAAAUGUUCAAAUUCAUCUCACACUAUUACAUGAAUUUUGGAUUCAAAUUGAAUUUGACCCAAACUCAUAAUUAAAUAUAUAUAAUAUAUAUUUUAUAAUUAUGAAUUAAUACAAAUUUACAUAAAAUUUAUUAACAUUUUAUGUCAUAAUAUGUAUUAGUAUUCAAGGAACACACUAAUGUGAGUGCAACUAAUAGAAAAAAUAUUGGUGAAAUAUUUUGAGUAUAUUUAUUGAAAUUAUUUUAAAAAAUAUUGGUUUUAUAUAUUUGAAAUUACAUAUGUAAAAAAUUCACCAAAAUAAAAGUAAAAUUCAUAACCAUAAUUGGAAGUUGCUAAUUAAAAUUAAGAUAUACUAAAUAAGUUUAAAAAUAAAGUAUAAAAAAAUACAUAGUACUUGAUAAAAAAUCAUAUUGGUAGUAGAUAUAAUUAUAAAAAAUAGAUAGAUUUUUGUUUAUACUAGAAGCUCUCUCAUCAUCAAUGGUGGUUUAAAAAAUAUAUAAAGUGGUAAAUUUUUGUUUAUUCCAGAUCCUUCCUCUCCUUUUAUAUAUAAUAUAGAUAAUCAUAAAUUAUAGAUAUUAUUAUAUAUAUUUUACAUAUAUAAUUAUACUCAUAUACGGAUCACAAUCAGGUUUAAUUAUUUAGGCUCAAACUUUGUUGGUCCAAUUAAAAUUCAGGCGCAGUGUGUUUUUUCCGGCCGAGAGGGGCCUAGCCCAGCCCCCCUUCCCCCCCCCCAAUCACACUUCAUUGCGUGCGAAUCUGUCGGUGAAAUGAUCUAUAUCGGUAAUCCAAAAGAUUACCUCGACAAUGAAUCUUUUCCAUUACCUAAUACCUAUUGACUAUUGAAGUCAAACUUUUUACAAGCACCUUUUCUUGGCCUUAGCAACGGAGUAGUGUAUUUUAAGAGCCCUGCAGUGAAGGUUAAUACUCCCUCAGUCCCACUUUAAUAGUUUUAUUUUUUAUUUUCGUCUGUCCCAAAUUAUAAUUCACUUUUCAAUUAAAGAAUAUAGUUAUAUUUUAAUUUUUUAAAAAUAUCCUUAUUCAAUGUAAAUUAUUGUUACUAUAAACCUACCCCAUUUAAUGAGAAUUGGUUCUUUUUUUACCAUCAAUUCAAGUUCCCAUAAAGUUGUACUCUAAUUAUUGUGAGGGUAUUUUAGGAAAAUAGCUACCUAAAUGGAUUGUUCCAACAAAAUUAACUACUUUUUAUUAAACUGUAUAAAAAAAGAAAAAUAUGACUAUCAAAGUGGGACGGAGGGAGUAUAAUGAAAAAUUUUAUCACUCUCUUAGGGUUAGAAAAUUCUGCAGUUUCUUUAAAGGAAACUACUUCUACAUUCUAUAUAUGACAAUCACUGAUUGCCACCUUAUUCAAAAAAUGACAGUGAUUUAUAUCUUAAAUAAUUAAAAUUAUUGUAAUUUAGGGAUUAAAAAAUCUUAUUUCUACCAUCCAACAAUAAAUUUUAACUUGAGUCUCCCAAAUAUGAUAUACCAAUAAGAACAAAAUGUUGUACAUGAUGUUCAAUUUUGAUAACAUUUUGCUUAAACUAUACCACUUUUUUUUUUCUUCUGAUAUGUGAUAAUAUAUGAUUCAGCAAUAUCAUCUAAGGAUCAAUUCGUUUUAUCAUGCAACUUUUGAAGGGUGUUGCAUGUUUUAAUGUGGUCUCUUUCAAGGCUGAAUCCCUCUGAUUCAAAUCUUUCUUGCUAGUACAAAAACUACCUCUUUUUUUUUUUUUUGCCAAUUUAAAUACUGUUGCUCCAUAUAUUUUUAUUGUGUAGUACACAUCAACGUGCAAGAAAGGUUAGGCAAUUGAUUAAAGAUAUUUCUUGCAUGGAGUUAAGAUUUAUGAAAGCAACGUUUGAGGAAUAAUGAACAAUUUUUGGUUACAUAAAGCUGAUCCUGCAACGGUCUGAAAAAAGGAAAACACAAGAGCUCAUCCCAAGAAUUUUUUAUUUUUAUUUUUUGUUAAUGAUGGAACUUCUUUAGAAAUUCAUCCAAAUUCUUCUAUUAUCCCUAAAAGUUUGUAUGAUUCAAUGCCAGUUGUCUGUCUACUGUGUGAAGAAGCUCCAAAUAUCUUGUGUUGUGUUGGUUGGUGGUCUGCCUGCCCAAAUUCCCAGCUACCUUCUUGCCCACAAUAAAUAUCAAAUGAUUGGUUGGCAAGACCAAUUUCCAUCAAAUCUGGACUUUACUUGGUAUAUGUGAGAAGGUCUAGACCAAAUACUCCCUCCGUCCCACUUUGAUAUUUCUGUUUCUUUUUUCACACAAUUUAAAAAAAAAUAGUUAAUUUUUUUGGAAAAGUAAAUUUAGAUUGUUAUUUUCCUAAAAUACCCUCACAUUAAAUAUGGUACAACUUUAUGGAAACUUGAAUUGAUGGUAAAAAAAAAUCAACUCUCAUUAAAUGUGGUAGGUAGGUUUAUAGUAACAACUACUUACAUUGAAUAAGAAUAUUUUAAAAAAUUUAAAAUACAACUACAUUCUUCAAUUGAAAAUGGACUAUAAUAUGGGACAAAUGAAAAAGGAAUACAAGACUAUCAAAGUGAGACGGAGGGAGUAACAUGUUAGUAUCAAACUGUUACAGUUUGAUUCAUGAAAGUGGAAAAAAAAGGGCUAAAAACAAAGAAAAGAAAGAACUAAUAAAUGAAAAUUUGAGUUAGUAAACUACUUUGGCUGCAUUUGGAUUGGUCAUUUUUUUAAAAACAAGAUUUUCACAUAUUGUGUUGCAGUAAUAUACAAAUAAAAACAAUCACAAAAAUACUAAAAACAACAUCAAAAAAUACAAAAAAAAAAAAUCUCAAAAACACUAAAAACAGCCUAAAAAAUAAUCUCAUCUACAGUAAAAUUUUUUUUUACCUAUAUUAUUAUAGUAAAAUAUUUCAAAAAUAUCCUAAAAAACAGCUAAUUCAAAUGGAGAUUGUUUUUUGGAUUGUCCCAUAAAUGUUCUUUUUUUAGGGGAGGGGGUGAGAUUAUAUCAACAAAAGAUGAAAAUAGGAUUUGACAUUUGUAUAUACAUUUUUCCUCUCUCGUUAUCCUUCACAACAUGAAUAAGAUUCUUGGGUAAUUACUAUCCAAAAACAAAAAAACAAAAAGCUCCCAAACAUCUUUCGAACUCUAAUGACAAAAUCUGCAGCUUUGUUGCAUUUUUGACAAAAUGCAAAGCUAAUAUGGACAUUAUUAAAAGAGGGCAACAACAGUUGGUAUCUGUCGCUGCAAAAAUAGGCUCCUUCAGGAACAUUAUUGAUGAUUGUUCUUGGUUAUAAAUAUCCUCGCACAAACGUUUAAUAAAUAGAUCAACAGAGAUUUGUGAAUCGAAAUUGUCAAGUAGUAUUUUAAAAGAAGAAGUUGGCCAGACAAAAAAUCACAUUGGGACAAUGCAAAAACCGGAAUUUCAAAGUUUGGUAGACAUCCCUUAUCCCUCGCCAAAAACAAUUGCAGGUGGGGCUACCAGCACCAGCUCAUGGCUGUCAAGGAUUCUUGGUUUGCUAUCCAUUUUCUCUAUUGAUGAUCACAACGAAAGUGUAUGCCAGGGCAAGAAUAGUAGUAGUACAAGUAUUUCCAGUUUUGGGUCAAAAUCACAAUGAAUGCUAGUCUCUAUUUGUUUCUUCAUAAAUUGGGUCAAAAUCACAAUGAAUGCUGUGAAUGCUAGUCUCUAUUUGUUUCUUCAUAAGUAAUUCCCUAGUCUCUCUCUCUCUCUUUCAACCAGCUUUGGAGUCUUGACAAGGAGGAUUGGAAUUAAAUUCCCCCAACAACCAUAGUUGGUCAGUAGUUGCGCCAAUUAGAUGGACAGGCAACAAAAGUAUUGGUUAAUCUUCAUACUUCCUUUUUCAGCCCUGUUUGGCACUCAGAGUUUUUUGUCAAGUUUAUCUGCUAUAAAUUUUUUAAAAACUUUAACUACAGUAAUCUCAAAUAUUUUUCAAAAUUUUUAAACUAUACACUUCAAAAAUUUUUUAAAAAACUUUUACAGUAAACUACAGUAAAGUUUUAGACAAACAUUCAAAAAACUCACGUACCAAACGGGGUAAUGGUUUUCCUGUGAACUGAUACCAAGAGGAGGGCCACAAUUGUGCUGACAUCCCAGUUCAAAGGAUAAGUAGACCAGAAUAACAAGCCCAUUAGGGCGAUAACAAGCAAUAAGUCCACAAACAUGGCAAAGGUUAAGGCUCAAGAGAGACUAGACAGAUAUUCAGGCUUGCUAUAGCUAAUUGAAUAAUGAAUCCUCAUCCACACUGACCUGACAAGAUGCAGAUUAUUGUGGAAGCAGAAGUGAAGAUUUACACUCAAGGAUUAGAAGCUACAUGGCCUUCUCAAAUAUUAGAAGAUUGAGAAUUUAAGAUUAUUAGGUCAAAACCUCGGAUAGCCUACCAGUUACCCAACAAGAUUCAUACUGAAAACUUGAUCACCUUCGACCUGCUAGACCAUUUCAUUUUUAAGUACAGUUGUCAGAAGUACAAUUAGAAUGAUUCCCAGUAAUUAUUAUGUACAUAAUAUUUUAUACAUUCGCCUUACUUUUUACAUAGAGUAGUAACAAAAUGACUAAACUGAUCCUUCAUGCUUUAGAGCAUCAACCUAAAAAGCUUUAAAUCCAUCAGUUCUGGAGUCUGUAUCUUGAGCGCAAACGGCUGAGGAUCUCAGCAUAUUCUGGAGUUGUCUGGCCGAAUACUUCAUUCCACAUCCUGAAAAGGUCUGUACGUAUAAACAGGAAUCCAGGUCAAUCAAACUCAGCUUUAAUAAAUGAAUAAUAGCAUUGAUACAAAACUCCACACGCAUUCAUUCGUCUUUCUGGUGAGAGCAUAUAAACUGAUUCAUAGGGUGAACUACUGAAAAACAGUAGUAAUUGGCUGCACAAGGGAAUUAUUUAACGCGGUCAUUUACAAUAGUAUGUUAGAUAACACGAACUGCACAUUUAACCAUGUCUCAACCCUAUUACAUUAUAAUUCUAUUAGAUUAGCGUGGACCUACCAGCCUUAUCAGCAGAGGAAAGACACAUGACAAUCAUGUCGAAUCUUGGGAUUUUGGUUAGAUUUUCUAAGAAUUUGACAGCUAAAUCCACAUCUUCUCUGCCAAACAUAAGGCAGAAGAAAUGUCAGCAAAUCAUUAAAAGAAACAUAAUUUUGCGAAUUCAUUUACAAAUAGUUUAUUGAAGAUAUUAACUUACACGAAAAAGGUAGCAAUACACCCAAGAAUAUCCAUGAGUAAUGAAGCAGACAAGGCAUUCUUAAAUAUCUGUGGCAAUGAAGUUGGAGGAGUUGCCUGAUCAGGGAAAAAGAGGAGGUCACACAAUGGGAAAAGAAACAAACUAUAAACAACAGCAACAAUGAAAAGUGAAAUUACUAUCAGCAUGAAAUUUCCAUUUCUUUGUCAAUCUAUAAUCAGUUUCAACAUGAAGAUGGUCCUUUCCAAAAAACAAAAAACACCACACAAACAGCAUUUAGAUAGACAUGCCACUGAAUUGAAAACAGAGUUGGUAAAGUUCCGCCUUGCCAAUCAACCUUUUUGCAAGUCUCAAGACGGAAAAGUCAUUCUCCUCCAUCAAGAUAAAUUGUUAAAAAGAAUUUAAAGUGAUUUUGAGAGAACAUAGCAAAUAAAUUUGGAAAGAUUCAUAAAAACCAUGAGUAUGCAACUACAGAAACUUAGCAUCCUAAAUGGUAUAUUCUGAAUUGCGUGCAAAGGACAAAAGUGACACACGGCUGCAAAACAAUUUAAAAAUAGACCUUCAAUAAUUGAGCCUGUAAGCUGCGGUCACCAGAAAGCCCCCGCCAAGAAACCUCAAACUGGUAAGCUGAAUUUGGAGGUGCAAUGAUUUUAGCAGCCUCAGCCUUAGCAAGAGUAGCAGCUCGUGCGGCAAGCUCUUGAACUGAUGUCUUCAACUCAUGCUUGCCAUUGGUGCUGCUUCUCUGUGAUUAAAAACCAAAAGAAUCAGUAGAGAAAAAGAGAACCCAAGGGCAGGCUGAGUCUUAGCAUAUAAAUCCAUAAAUCAUGCUACAAUUUUGAUAAUAGCCAGCUGAUCACAAAGUCAUGCCAUGCACAUAUAAAAUCUAUAAUUAUUUUAGACCUGUUUGUGAAAGCAAAAAGUAUUUGCAGACCGUUGACAUAAGAGAUCAAUCUGCAACUUUUAAUUAUCUUGUUCUCUUAAAUCUUUGUUAUUAAACUAUUUGCCCUUUCUAAUCAUCAAAAUUGAAAUGUUAGAAUUGUUUGUUGCCCCUAAUCUUCUUAAACAUUCACUAUCUUUCUAAAAACACCAGCUCUUAACGAAAAGAUUAUACAAGAAAAGAAAACAAUGGACCUUCAUUGUCUCCAAAGCAGUGUUCUGAAGAGCUGAUUCAUGAGAAGCAUUUCCAUUUUGAUCCUUAGUCUUCAUACUAGUACCAUCAAGUCGCAUAGCUGUCUUUAAAGGAAUUUCUCCAUUAUUACCCUGCCAAUCACAGCUUAAAGUUCAGAGAAAUGACUUUUGCCCACUAUCUGAUAAAAGAAGAUACUGAUCAAAUGUAAAGCUAUUUUUUCCAAAAAUUUCCAACCAUCACAAAUGUAAAGCCAUUUUUUAUCAUCUAAAAUACAUUCUUAAGAAUCUCUAUGACAGGUCAGGUGCAAUGAAUAUGAAGCUCCAAAGCCCAUGCUUUCACCUUGCAAUGAAGAUGACUAUAAAACUCUUAAACACAAAAUAAACCUUCAGGAAACAGAAUGAACUGUCCCAAAGACAAGUUUUUACCUCCAGAAGCUAAAGGAGCAAGAAAAGAAAAGAAGGUGAUUUACUGGAGUCCUUUUUAACUCACAGUAGUUUUGCUCCCAGCCAAGCCAAACCAAAUAGUAUACAUAUAUACAAGCAGUCAAAAAAGUGAAAGAAGAAACUCCAUUGUUCAGACCUUUGUAUGAUCAUCCUGAACUUCAGCCACCAUUCCACUAUUAAAAUCACUGGAGACAAGUUUGACCCCAUUUACAGCUUUGUUUGUCUCAACCUUUGACUUUCCAGCUUUUUGCAACCCUUGCACAGAGCUUGUUGAUGCUCUAGAUACCUUCUUAAGAAUUUCCUGGAAAUUGACAAUGACUGAUAAAAAAUGGAAGAACUAUAUCCAGAGAUAGCAGUAAUAUAUGACUCAAGUACUCAAGGAUUAUUAGUUUAAUUGAAUUUGCCGUCUUAAGUGUUCAGAGGCAUGUGAAAACUUUGACAAACUGAGUCCUCAAAUCUAUUUCUUUACAAGAAUAAGAGAACAAGAAAAUUGAUUACAAGGUAAGGAGUAAACCUUAUCUAGCAAAGAUUUGGCUUCUGCAUAUUGCUUCUUGAUCUCCUGGUUUUGUGGCUCUAACCUCAAGGCAAAUUCAGCAUCUGCAAUCAGUCAUACUUCAUCAGAAAUACUUCUUUUUUAAAUAAAUCAAAAAGAGGUUUCAUAGGAUCCAUAAUAAUACCAUCAUAGGCUUCUUUUAGUUUGCCAAGCUCUUUUCUGGCUGUUGAACGACGAGAAUAGGCCUUAAUGUAGCGAUCAUCUAGAUUUAAGGCCUCAGUACAGUCACUCUCAGCCUCCUCGAAUCUAAUUUAAAAUGAGGAGAACAUGUCACUUCUUAUAGUGUGUACAUUUUAUCUUAUAAAAGAGAAUAAUUUCUCUAUUCUGGAAAUAAUAAAACUAAGAAGAUAGAUGAUAUGAACUUGCCUUUUGAUUUUGAUAUAAGCCAUAGCCCUAUUAGCAUAAGCAACUGCAGUAGGCAACAAUGCAAUGCUUCUAGAGUAACAGUCAAUUGCUUCAUUAAACUUCUUAUGUUUAAAAUAUUCAUUGCCCUACGCAAGAUAGAAAGUAAUAAUCAGUAUCAAUACAAGACAAACAUGUCAUUCUAAACCAUAUUUGUUGAGUGUGAAGCAUACCAACUCUUUCUCCGAGUUUGCAUCAACUGAACUCUCUUCUGUCAUGAAACCACUUGAUAACUGCCUUAUUGCAUCAUAGUUUCUCAAAUAAUCAUAUUUUUUAGCAGCAUCACCAAUAUCCUCAUUGGCAUUUUUUUCAACUGCAUGUCUCUCACCAACUCUUGAGCUACUAGACAGCUGAUUAGCAUUUGCUACAUUAUGUCUUUGAGCAAGGAGAUCCUGAAAUAAAACUUGAUCCAAUCAAUAAUCAAAAACAACAUUUAUGUAAUAAAAAAAACAGUAAAAAUCAGAAAAUGCAAUCAAAAGAUCACCAUCAUGUCUUCCCCUUUGGCACCACUUAAAUGCAAUCAACAAGACUAGAAAAUGAAAGGGAAAAGAAAAACAAAGAAAAAUUUGCAAACAGAAAUGCAUUCACACUGACUAAAUCCACUGUCAGGGUGAAGUGGCUAUAAAAAAAAAAAAACACUAACUGCCAACAACUCUUUAAGAUAGAGCAUUCUAACAGAAUUCUGCACAUGAAUAUGAUUUCGUAUGCUGAGACAGUCAAGGGUUGAGUAACUGCACAUCUUAAAUACAAGAAAACAGAAAACUUACUGCCUUCUCCUUGCCUCGGGAUUGUGACUUAAGUUUCUUGUCUUUAUCCUUGAAUGAUAAUUCCCAAUCCUGUAAAUUAUUCAGAAGCCCCUCAAAGUCCUGUUCAACCAAAAUCAUCACUAAGGUAGGUGUAAAAAAAAAAAAACUAACGAGCAACAUCAUGUUUGUACUUUCUCUGGGCCAAUUUAGUCCAGUAGUACACACUUCAGACGUAAAGAAAAAUAAUACAGUCCAGUAACAUUAAAAAAAAAUGCACCUUCAUAGUUCUCAACAUCUAUUUUCUUUUUUUUUUCCUCGUACAAGAAUAUAUUUCGCAAAGAAAUCUUACAGCUAGCUUGAUUUCAUCCACAAAUUAACACGGCUUUGAAAUCCUUCCCGGACCACAAAAUAGUGAACUCACAGAAUAGAAUUACUACAGGCCUUGACUCCACUAGAUAAACAUAAACACAAUGAUGAAGUUACUGCUCUCAGAAUUUUAUUUACACUUUUCAUUUCUAGUCAAGAAAUGGAUUCUACCAACCCUAUAAUCUUGAACCAUUUUCAUCUAAUUUCUUCUUAAUUUCCAUGAACAAAUAAAGCAGCAAAUUUGAAGGGUUCUUCUUGCUUGAAUACCUCCAACUUCUCCACCAGCAAUGUGAUGGUAAUAGAACUAAUACCUCCAGCAAGUAUAGAAUCCAGACCUUAAAAUCAACAAGCCCACAAAAAAAAAUGCAAAAGCUAAAGCCGUUUCGAUAUUGAAAUCAUGCUUGGUGAAAAGAUACUACAGCAAUGCUGCUCUGCUAACAAAUAGAAGAGAAAAUGCAUAUGCACCUGAGCUUGAUCGCGAGAAUGCUUGGAGGGAACCCUAGACAUUGCUGGGAAUAGAGGGCACGGCAGUCGGAGAAGAAGAGAGAGCGGAAGCAGUUCAGAAUUCAGAUGCUUCUAGAGUUCCAAGGGGAGAAAGAAACACAUUUCAUUUUAAUACUACCAUCGAAGCUGGAUCAACUUUUAAGGCUUAAUUACAAAUUGUACCCAGUAAUUAGGAGUUAGUGCAAAUUGACCCCCUGAAUUUACAAAAUUUACAAACUAAUUUUUUUUGUUCUUCAUUAUUUCUCUUAUAUGUGUAGAUUUACUUUUUUCCCUUCCCACUCUAUUGUAAAUCUUGAUAAUAUUGUACUAAAUAAUCUUUUUCCUCACUUAAAUAUAGAUUAUUAUUUCUUAUGAAAAGUUUUUAAGGGUAGACUACUAUAUUUAUCACUAGAUAGAGUUGUUAAUGAAGCAAACUGUUUGCGAACGUAUUUAUGUUCGAAUCGUUUGAAUUCAAAAAAAGUACAAUUGUUUAAUGAACGAAUGCAGUUCAAACACAAUAUUAGAUUCGUUUAAUAAUCGAACCGAACAUGAACCUCUUCGUGAACACAUAUAUAUAAAUAUAAAUACAAUUAAUAUUAUUAAAUACAUAUUAUAUUUUACUAAAAAAGUACUUAUACAUAAAUUAGCAUUAUUUAUUUUUUAUUCUAAACAAUGUAUUAUUUAUUAACAAUAUAAUUAGAUCAUCUUCAAAAUCAAAUUCGAGAACCAGCCAAAUUCGAGCCGUGCUUGACCUUGAAUUUGGCUCGUAUAGUUUAACAAGUUGAGUUUAAGCUCAAUCUUAAAUGUUUAUACAAAUAAACGAAUCAAAUUUAAACGAUAUUUGUAAUUUGUUAAUAUUCGAAUCAAACUUGAACCCUAUUUGUAUAAUAUACGAACAAAGCCUGAACAUCAAUCAUUCAACUCAAUUUGCCUCGUUAAAAGUUCUACCACUAGACUACUUCAAUCGUAUAGCUCCUUCAUUCCUAUUAAAAAAUAUAUAUUUUGAUCAUAAUAUGUUAAAGAAUUUAUUUUUAUAGUUGAAUAUAAUAUUGUUAUUUUUUAUGAAAAUAUUUAAUGGUUGAGAAACAUAUUUACCAAUAAACUAUACCUUUUUUUUUUCAACAAACACCACCAAUAAACUAUACAAAUAACUUUUGCCACUUAACUAUUUUUAUUUAAAAUCACCCACUUAACGCACAAAAUUGUUUUAUAAAUAACCAUUCGUUUAGGUUUUGCCAUUAGAUAUCAUGCAUUUCCAUUAGCUCGGAGGAUGCGCAUGGAAUUUUAUGUGGAUGGUAACUAUAUACUUUGCUUAAGCACAGGCUAGAGACUGUAUCUGCACGUUUGUUCAUAUUCAACUGUUGAAGCAGACAAUUGAGCCUAGCUGAGAAGUAAAUUGUAUCCAACAAAUGAAAAAGCAAGUUGCAAGAUUACCAGAGUCAGAUUUCAACAUUUAAUCUAUAGCCAAGACAGCAUGAAAAAUUGAAAAUCAUCUGAACAUCGUUGCUAACGCAGCAGACCAACAGAUUUCAGCACAAAAAGGGAGAAUAAGUCCCUUGUACGCAAAAACAUAACAAGCAAAUUUCUGCAGCUUUUAACCAACUUUGUGAUUCUGGUACCACAAACCUAAUAGCAUUACAAGAUUUACAAGACAACUUGAUGAUAAUUCUAGACAAAUGUCAACCCGCAUUCUGGUGUGGCAUGACAAUUUCAGUAAACCAACACCAAGGCAUAUGUAGGCUUUCUUGCAUAUUACAACUCCAGCCUUGAAGAUCUGCAUCUUGGUCCUUCUAUGAGGGGGGAUCAAAUUGCUUCAAGAAACUCCCAAAAGCUGCACUCCAAAUGGACACCCCACCAAAAUGACUUACAUUGAUCCAAGCAGCCAGGCGGUUGUAGAGUGCAAAAACAAUCUCUAAAGAGAACAUUAAUAAGGAACCUAUCAAAGCUAUACCAAAUAAAGUAAUUAAGCGAAAUUCAGCAUCGCAUCUUUCCAGUCUACAGAUGCCAGCAUCAAAUUGGAUUAUAUACAUCCCAUCCACUUAAACUGGGUAAACCUAACAGAACUAUGCAAACACCGUAUUCCUGAAUUCCAGCAGAAGACAACAACCAGAGGUGGUCAAAUCAAACAAGCAGCUGCAGCCUGCAUCUUCUCAUGUAUUGCCUUGUAGCAACCGAGGCUGCACAGUGGCAACUUUGACUUUGAGUCUCGGUACUUGUAUGCAUUUGUACAAGAAGGGCCAGCACAGUUUUCACGUGGAGGAGGAUAACUGACGGCAAAGAACAAAGGCUGAGUCAGAGACAAAAGAGGGUGAGAAUAGCAGAAGUACAUAUUUGUAGUGCCACGGAGACUCCUGAAGAUCUGUUGGCGUGCAAUUAAAUGUGCACAGGAUUGAAAAAGUGGCAUAUUUACCUACAAGGCUUGGAUUCAAGAAUUCUUGGGAGGCCUAUCUCAUCGGGGAACGUCACAGUAGUCCCGGACGGGCCAAUCACCCAUCUAACUGCAUUUGAUGCAAGAACGUUGUUUGCAGCCCUCUCCUGCAUCACAUCAGAGACCUAUAAUUUAGAAUGAAUCCAAAAAGACGCAAAGAUAGCUUCUUCACGUGGAUCAUUUGCGUUGUCACCUGAGCCAGCUCAUCUUGUCGCUUCUUCAUUUUAUCCUCUUGCUUCUUCCUACUGGAAUCUUGGCCUAGGAUUUUUCUGAUCGCCUCAGCCUGUAAAACCAUCAACCCUUGAAGUCAUAUCUUUUACAAUACAUAACGUAAUUUGACUGGAAUAUCAACCUAAAUAACUGGCAUAAAAGUCUGUUGUAGCAAGCACAACCUCAGCCUCCCGAGCAGCCUUCUCCACUUGCAUCCUUCGUCUUUGAGCAGCCUCAGCUUUCUUCAGUUGUUGCUCCACCUCCGACAGUUUUUCCUUUGGCUCUGUCACUCAACCCAACAUAAGUUAUAUUGUAAACAUUCAAUUAGAAAAGUUACAGAUGCAUUUGAACCAGGACAGAGUUCUAUAACAGGAAUGCUCACUUUUAGGUGGGGCAGGAGGUAAUCCAUUUGGGAACUCAAUCAAACUUGCACCAGAAGGGGAAGAAGUGGAUCUUGCACUUUUGAGUGCUCGUUGGCGGGUAGUGAUAGCCAUUUCCCUCUUAAAAUCCCCUGACUCAUCAAUUAACUCGUUGCUGUGCUUUCUCUUUGGUUCAGGCUCAUCAUCAGAGAACGAGUCUUCAUCUUCAAAAUAGUCUGCAUCUUCGGAUGCUUUAACUGAUCUGGACUUCCUACUCUCCUUGCCUAAUGAAGAGCUGUUAUGGUAUCUCAAAUCUACAUCAUUACUGUAGAUAUCACCAUAAGAUAACCUAGAUGCAUUCUGUUGCUUCUUGCUCCCUACUUCAUCUACAUCUUCAAACUCUGUGCCGUGACUUGAACUAAGUCUCAGACGUCUGACCUUUUCAAGGUACCGAAUCUCGUCAUCACUAUUAUCUUCUCCAUCAUCAAAAACUUCACCUAAUGAACGUUUCUUAGGAACUCGUUUGCUCUUACGAGAGGACUCAAGAGCACCAGAUUGCCUAGUAGAGACACUUUGUCCAGGCAUCUUUCCCAGUGAAAUAACAUGUUUCUUAACAGUAAAACCACUCUUAGAAAAAUCCUUCCAUGGAAUGCCCUGCAAUCCACUUCCUUUGUCCUUAGAAGUGCAGCGACCUGUGUUUUCAUUAUCCUGGAAAAUGUAGGAAGAAGAAGCCCCUGUUAAGCUCUAAUUCAACCCAUCUUUCACAAAUUAGAGCUAGAAAAAUAUGGCCCAAGGAGGGGGGGGGGAAGGCAUGGUUUGUAUUGAGGCGGGAAUGAACUGGCAAAGACCAAACCGCUGUGAUGGUUGGACAAAAUAAAGAGUCUUUUAUCAACUUAGCUAUCUGUUAACUCACUUGGAAAAAUAACAUGCUAUUAUGCUAAACUUUUUUGGUCAAUGAUCCUGAAUAAGGGAUCAUCUUUGAUCCAGAGCCCAGAAGAAGAGAACAAACCUACUAUAGAUAUCAAAAGGAUUAGAAGUUUCAAAUAGAACAAGCUCGGACUUUGGUAGCCUUACUUAGUGCAAACAUUAAAGCACAGAGUUACCUGCGCAAUCAGCUUAGGGUGCACAGGUGGGCCAUCAGAAGAGAGAGAAGACUUGGUUGAUGAAGACCCAGCAAAUGAUGAAGCCUCGGAAACGGUUUUAGUAUGUAGCGUAUGAGUAACACCACCAACCUUAAGCUUCACUUUCUUAAGUUUACUGAUACCUGCAUCAUUUGAUUCUCCCAAUCGUCCAACUUCAUUACUCAUUUUAGAGACAGUUUCGGCGUCACCAAGAUUAUCAUACGAUGCUCUGGAAACGCUUUGGUUUGUACUUUCUUUCCCCCCCGUAGCAGCAGCAUGACUGAGAUUUUCCUCACUUGAUGGUUUGCUCAUACUGUCUGAUACAGGCGUUGAUGACAGGGAAGAAUUAUCCCGGUAAUCCAAACAAGAUUGAGAAUCAUCUACUCUACGGCGAGGCCGAAUGCUCCUCUUUUUCCUUGCAUUUCUGCCCGUAUCAUCAAAUACAAAACUUCCAACGUUUUCCAUAGUGGCAGAGUCUACUUACUUCCAAGCCUCUGCUGCUGCAAUUCAUCAAGUAAGACAUUGUCAAAGUCACGAAAAUCUGUUAUAGUGCAAGAAAAGGAGAUCAAAGAAGAAUGAAGCAGAUCUCAUUUCUAACAUUCUCAAUCUGCUUUAAACUUGCCAAAAGGACACGACUACGAGAUUAAUAUCUACACUAAUGCAAUUUCUGAGUAGAAACAAACAACCUUGUAAGCAUAUUAAACAAUACUAUGAUAAGCUUUGUCCCGACUUACGCUAGUUGGUUAAAGUACUUCUUUUUUCCUCAUAAAAUAUGCUACCAACUAUCGUACGACCUCCAACAGAGGUCGAGCUUCUUGACUAAUAUCAUAAGAAACCGUGAACUUUAUGAUGUAAUCUUUGAAAAGCAAACAAGAAAACAUAAAAGCGAAUCUCACUGAAGUCCAGGAACAGGUAACAUGGUAUAAUUGAUUUUUAAAGAAACCCCACAUAAAAACACUAGCUUGACAUCAAGAAACUGGAAAAAGAAAAACGUAUAAAAAUGGGAAGAAAAUUACAAGUUUCCUUCUGGAACUCAAGAGACAACAUAUGAUAAGCAUUAAAAAGCAGAAGAUGAAAAUUUUAUUACCUUGAGUUAUUUUCUUCCACAGAACCCUCAAAAUAUGAGGCUGGAGAGGAGCUGAAAAGGGCAGAAAUUUUGUGAAGGAAAUUCAAGAAUUACAGGAGCCCAGUUGGAAAACAGUGACAAAGUUGGGAACUUUGGGGGAGUUGGGGGGAGGAGGAGAGGAGGCCAUCAAUGAACCUGCUGGCCUGCUCCAUCAACUUUCAACCAUGGUUCCUCCCGAGUCCUUAGCCCCUCGUGCCUUAUGGCCUAUUGGGCCAAUUCCGCAAGCUUCAAGUUUGUCUAUUUCUCCAUUGCUGCUUUUCUUUUUUUCCAACAAACGUUAAUCCAUAGCUGCUUUUCAUUUCCUCCAUUUUUGGUCCACAGGAGGGAAAAAUCUUCUCUCUUUUUUUUUUUUUUUGAUAAGGGAUCAAUUUUUAACUUGUACUUUAUGCAUAAUAAAUUCACAACCAUAAGCUUGUAAAUCAGUAGUAUUUGUUUCCUUUAAAUUUGCCAUGAAACCGCCCCGUUUGGUACUUGUGGUUUUAUUUCCACCUAAAUGCCUAAUGAAAUAUUUGGAAAGUUGUGUCAAGUAUUUGGUCUAGAUUUUCCUAGUUACAGAGGAUUUAGCUGUUUAAGUGAAAUUAAAAAAAAGUUGGUCAUACUUUAAAACACAAAUGACAUGUUAUUUAUGUUAUAUUUUGAAUUUAUAUAUAUAUACAUUCAAAGAAAGAAUGAUAAAUUGAUUUGGGAGCAAGGACUGAGUAGUUUUGCCUAUUAUAAACCUAAUUUUUCUGUUUAUAAUAUUCAUAAAAAUAUAUUAUUUUUGGGAAAAAAAUUCAUUUUCAUAUUUUUAAUCUUUUUUUACCUCAAAUAUAUCAUAUCUUACAAAAAGUGUUAAAAUAAUUUUUCUCCAAAAAUUCUCUGAAAAAUGCAAUCCAGACGAGAUCUAAUUUUCUGUUUUAGCUAAAAUUUCAAUUCUUCCACAGUCAACAUGUCAAAGAAAUAAGAGUUUUUUUUUUUUUUUUUUUUUUGGGUUUGGAUGUCUCGUAAACAUGUUUAAACCUCCAUACUUUAUUACUUCAUCUUAUUUCAAUAAACAAAAGACACUCAAAACUUUUUCUUUAGAAAAAAACUAAAAAUUAGAGAACAUCUAUGAUAUAAAGGAAUUAUUAACUUUAAAAACUACUUUUACAAGUUGUCAUAAAUUCUUUCAUUGAAUCAAUUAACAAAUUUUUUCAUGAUAUUAAAGGUGAGCUUUUUGUUUGUUGUAUUAGAAACUUAAUAAAUAAAGCCAUACCAAAAUUCAUUUAUUAAUGACCCAAAAUCGACUUCUAUGCAAGAAAUCCAACAUGGGAUAUGCGUUCGAAGAUCAGCUCUUCAUGACUUGUAAGUAACAUGAUAUGAAUCCCGUUGCUCAAACGAAACUCACAAAUAGGGCUGCAAACGAGCCGAGUCGAGUCGAUCUUUGGCCUUAUCGAGUCGAGCCUUGAUUUAAUUUCAUCGAACUCGAACUCGAGCUCUACGAGCUGGUAAUUUUCAAUCGAGUCAAGUUCGAGCUCGAAAAAAAUAAAAAAUAAUUAUUUUUAUUUUUAAAAAAAUAAAUAAAAUAAUAUUUUUUCUUAAUAAAUAAUAAAAUAUUAAGGAUAUUUAUGUAAUUUUACUAUUAAAAAUAAUAUAUAUAUAUAUAUAUACACAUUCGAGCUCGCGAGUCUAACGAGUUUAAUGUUUUGAGCUCGAGAUCGAGCUCGACUUUGGCUCGACCAGCUCGAGUUCGACCCGAGCUCGAUAUUGAUCGAACUCGACUCGAGCUUGAAUCGAAUCACUCGCGAGCGGCUCGAUUCAUUUGCACCCCUACUCACGAAUAACAAAUCCGAAUCUUUAGUGAUUGACACAAGUUUAAUAGUGGAAUUUCUACACGGAUCCUUCUAAUUCCCGUAAGUGCAAACUUUAAGAAGGUAGCUGGAGCCACAAUCAAAGAUGAUUAUUUGAUUGAUAAGUCGGAAUGAACGCUCAAGAGAAUUCCGAAGCAUUGAAGGAUGCUCGCAAGAGCUUUUUAGGGAGCUUCACGCCCAUGCAUAAUAAUUUGUUUUACACGCUCAUUAAUCUCUAUGAUCAUGCUCGGCAUUCUAAUCGAAUCUUGAACAGCUUGAACUAUCGGUUGGACGACUCUUGAAGUUUCUUGGCACCAGCGCACGUCAUUGGAUUUGGAUCCACUGGGGAUGUUCAUGGAAUCGACUUGAGCAUGUCAAGCAUCUUGGACAGCUUGCACGACUUCAUCAUAACAUCACUUUGCUUUGCAUAAAUUUUGCAUGAAGCAAUAAACAAAAUGAGAUGCAAUUAACGAAAAAUGGUGCCAAGCUCAAUACACUUUAUUGUUGUUAUUAUUAUUAUUUUCUUUUUGUAUUAGUUUUUUGGACUAACAUUCAUGUAAACAUACCUACUACCUAGCAGAUUGCCAUAUUGACACGAAACAAAGGAUUCCUUUCUAGAAAAGAAGAAGAAAAGCAUUGGCAUAAGAAACAAAAUCCUGUGGUUUGGUAUAGUUGCAGACUUUAAAACGGUUUUAGCCUGUGGUUUUGAUCACGGAUAUAGUUGCAGACCGUAAAAUGAAUUAGUUGCGUACCAUAAAACGAUUUUAUACCUGAAAGGGUUCGGCUCGACUCGAACACGAUUAGUAAAAGAAUGUGGAAUCCCGUUGUUUAGAAGAAAAGGCCAUAAAAUCUAUCGAAUCUAUGAUUGUCACAAGUGUCAUCAUUUUACUGGACUUUUAGAUUGUAUCGGCAAUCCUGGUUUUAGGCAUUAUUUGAUAACCCAUUUAGCACCUAAAUUUAAAGGAUUUAGCAAAAUAUUGAAUAUCUGAAUUAAUUAAGUGGUAAUGAAUUUCCAAACAAAACUUGCUCCUAAAAAUAAUUGAUAAGUUAUUCACUUAUCACUUAUUGUGAUAUACACUCAAAUGUAUUAGAUUUAGUACUUGGCAAUUCAAUCACUUAAUGGAUUCAAAUUUCAGAUUUCAGAUUCAUGGCUUGUUUGAUAACCCAAAUCAAUAUUUAAACUUAAUGGACUUUGAUUUUAACAUGUGUUAGGCGCAUUUGAUAAUCAAAAAUUGAACAUCUGAAUUAAUUAAGUGGCACUGAAAUUUUUAGACAAAACUUGCUCCUAAAAAUAAGUGAUAAACUAUCUACUUAUUAGUUAAUGUGAUAUACACUAAAAUAUAUCAGAUUUAGUAUUUAACAAUUCAAUAAAUUAAUGAAUUCAUAUUUUAGUGACACUGAACUUUUUAUAUAAAAUUUGCUGCUAAAAAUAAGUAAUAAAGUAUUUACUUAUUAUUUAAUGUGAUAUACACUCAAAAUGUAUGAUAUUUAAUAUUUAAUAACUCAAUAAUUUAAUGAAUUCGUAUUUCAAAUUUUAAAUUAUAAUUUUCAGAUUUCAAUAUUAAUAAACACACCGUCAUACUUCAAUUUUUAAAUUUCAAUUUUAUCGAACGCAUCUUUACUUUAGCUUCAUAUUCACCUGCCAUGUUGUAUUUAUCGUGUUUUAUGCUUAGAAACACUGCACCAAGAAAUAGAACAAGAAGAAAUAAAGAAAAAUUAUGCUAGUACUCACAAAAAAUGUACAUGCCAUUCCGCUCUUGACUCAACCCUCGUGCUAUUUUGUAUUUGUCUUGGUUUAGGCCUAGAAAAACUGCACCGAGGAAUAGAACAACAAGAAAUAAGGAAAAAUUAUGCUAGUACUCACAAAAAAAAUGUACGUACCAUUCCGUUCUUGACUCAACCCUCGUGCUAAUUUGUAUUUGUCUUGGUUUAGGCUUAGGAAAACUGCACCGAGAAAUAGAACAAGAAGAAAUAAAGAAUAAUUAUGCUAGUACUCACAAAAGAUGUACGUACCAUUCUGUUCUUGACUCAACCCUCAACCCCAAUUCCCAAAUCCUCAAAAUCCCACCUCAGAAAUCCCAAUAAUUUGCAUCACUCUUGCAAAGUUUGUCUUUUUUGACGUGGGUUUGUCUUUUUUGACGUGGGUUUGUCUUAUUUAUUUUUCUUGGCAGCAAUUUUUUUUUUUCGUUUGAAUAAUUGAUGAGACAUGGAAAAUCCAAAAGAAUUGAGGUCUGAUGCUGAUUUCAGCUUCGAGUUUUUCCCAUUUGAAAUCAUAAUUGAGAUUCUCUCAAGAUUGCCAGUCAAAGUACUUGGCAGAUUCACCACAGUCUCCAAAUUAUGGUACUCUCUCAUCACAAGUUAUAUGUUCAUUAAUAAGCAUCUCAAGGAUUACUCCAUCUCGCUGUCUAAUAAGUCUUACAGCAGCGGCGACAGCAGCAGCAGCUUGGCUACCCCUUUUAGCUCUGUCUUGCUAAUUCCUAUUGUACUAAAGGAAUUAGUGAGACAUUCUUAUUCUAUGUUUUUUGAUAGCACUUUUGAUGGUAAUGGAAGUUUUGAAAUUCCGAUGUUGUAUCAUUGGCUUGAGAUUUUGUUCGUUGGGAAUUCUUGCAAUGGAAUAAUCUGUUUCACUGAUCAGAAGGCAUUUUUCGGUAGGAAAGUGUAUUUGUACAAUCCUGUAAUUAGGAGAAUGAAGCUUAUAUCCCAUAAUUGCUUUGCUGAUAUGAUGUUUGAUCGUAACAAAGUGUUUUGCAAACUGGGAUUUGGGUUUUGUGAGUGUACUAAUGACUAUAAGGUUGUGCGGAUCCAUUAUGUUAAGGACGAGGAGUCAAAACUGUUGGGGAAUGUAGCACCUGAGGUGGAGGUUUAUCGUUUGAAUGCUGAUAAUUGGAGAAGGAUUAAGGCAAAUGUCGAGUGUAUUGUCAAUUAUAGGUCGGUUUCUUGCAAUGGAUCUAUUCAUUGGUUGGCUCGAAAGAAGAAUGGACGGAUUUUUGAUGCUAUCAUGUCCUUUGAUAUUGCUCAUGAGUUGUUUUGUGAGACCGAUUUGCCUGUUCAGUGCCACUCAUUGAAGGAUGGGACUUUAUUGGUCUUCAAGGGGUUGCUUGCUAUUUUCAAGGAUGGCAUUAGCAUUAGAGAGUACGAAGGAUAUAAAUGCUACGAGUUAUGGGUGAUGAGGGAGUAUAAGGUUGCCAAAUCCUGGACUAAACUAUUUGUUUUGGAGACAAAACGAUCUGUUGUGAAGGCAUUUGGAUUUACAAAGAGUGGACAACUUGUGAUGCAGAUGCACGGUGAUAGGUUAGCAUCUUGGGAGCCUGAAGGAAACUGUCUGAAACAUCUAGAUAUUGAUGGAUUUCUACAUCAUGUGGAUGCUUCUUUUGUGGAGAGUCUUGUUUUAUAUGAAGGUGGAUGUGUUGCUUCAGCAGAAACAAAGUAAGAUCUUAAGAACUUUUAGCUCAUUUAUCAUUUGCUAUCUCAGUUAAAGAUCUGUAGCUUGUUGCUAGAGUGCUGGAUGUUUUUACUGUUUUCAGGAUAAAGUGUUUUAGCAUGCGUUGAUCAAUUAUCUCUGUGCUAGGAUGCAUUAAUGGUGCUAGAAUGCGUUGCAGCUAUAGAUGCAUCAGUCAUAUAAUAAAUAAAGCUUCUGCAACGCAGCAUAAUCUCUUUCUGAGUUCUAUACAUCACUACCAUGUUGGAAUUAUUUAUGGAGUAUCAUUGCCUACACAAUACGUUCCCCUAAACCAUUAGACUAAUUUGGUGUUCACCAAUGUUAUUUGUUCUGUUAUCAAUGCCAUUAAAGGGGAAGAAGUGUUCAAAUGCUGUCAGAGAUAGGCUGCUGGUUAGUAGUAUUUAUCGUUAUCCGGUCAUGAAAUACAUGAGUAGUCUAGAAAAACAUGGACCAAUUGUAUGACAUAUGCUGGAAUUUAUGGAUUUCAGUAUCUGAGCGAAAAACUACCUUGCAGUUCAUGCAAUCGCAUGGAUGUUAUUCUUUACAUAGCCUUCUUGCCUUUCCAGCAACUAGCCAUAUGCAGUUUGUAGGGUACUUUCUCAUCUUGAUAGCUGAUUGAGGAUCUCUUGGCAGUCACAGGUGAACAAGAUUACUUUGUUAAGACCAGGAUUUGGGUUUACUAACUGAAGAGAUUGAAACUGGUAGAUGAAUGCAUUGGAUAGUGUCCUUCUAUAGGAUAUUAAAGGAGAAGUAGGAAUAAGAAAAUUGAGAAGAGAGUACCUUACCCUUGCAAGAGAUGAGAAAAAUACGCACAAUAGCAAAUCGUACAGUUUGGCUCUGAUAACAGAAUUUAAUUAUGUAUAUUUUGGAUUCAAGUGCCUAAGAAACUAGUCCCUAUUAUAUCAAUUGUUUCUGGGAUUAAUCUAGAAUUUCCGUGCCUUCAACAAAGUUUUACUUCAAAUACUGUUUGACUCAUCAGUGUCAUCUAUUUCUUCCUCAAACUGGAAAUAGGUUUUAAGUGAGUAAGUAUCCUAACCGUCUCCCAUUCUUCCUGGAAAUUGGUUUCUAUCUCCCAAGAACAUUAAGAACCUGUUCAAUUGCAUUUGUUCUGUCUUUGAUAGAUAGGGUAAACUUGCAAUCCAGAAGACAAAUGCAGAAAUUUAACUGGUAUGCAGUUGAAAAGCUUCUAGGGAAGGAGCAGAAACAAAAUUAAUGGUAUAGUCAACAUUAAUGGCAUUGUUUAUUGCUUAUUGCUUAUUUCAAGCAUGAUUAAUAUAAUAGGUUGACUUACUAAGGAAUUGGCUCUCAGUUAAUGCUAAUUUUGAAUUGGUAUUAGGCUUCAUAUGUACGAAGUUGAAUUUAGGUGAAAUAAUGUUUAUACAUUAAAAGUAGGAGAUUUGGUUUUAUGGAAAAGUUUCUUUUGAGAAUUUAUCAAAGAGGAGAUUAAUGUAGCACAAAAAACCUAUAGAUAACUAUGAGGAGAAACAAUAGAUAUUUUGCAGAUGAGGAGAAUCAAUAGAUAUAUUGCAGCACCUGUAGAAUAGUCUUGCUUAGUAUCUAAGUCAAGAACAUACUUGGUACUCAUCAACCUUCUUGCUUUGCCAUCUGAAUAUCAAAUACUCUUAUUUGGUCCUGCUUUGAUGUUUCUGCCUCUGAAUAAGAUGUCUAGAAUCAGUUCACCACAUGAAUUUAGUAUGCAGCUGCUUUUGCUGUCCAAAUAAGUUUUCAGAAAUGAAAUAGAAUUUUUGUUUUUGAGAAGAAGAGCGAUCAGCAUUGGUGAUUUAACUGUUGUGAUUUUUGACUGGACUGUUUGUUGAGAGUUGAGUACACGUUGAUGCAUCAAUUACCAACAUGCAGAUGCUAUACUCCAUAAAUUCUGGUCCUUCAAUGGGGAUAUUUCUUGACUCUGUUUGUGUCUGACUUUGGUGAAAAACGUAGGAUACAUCAAAUAUUUAACUUGGCCCAUUUGGUAACGUUCAUGUUUUUUUGUUUUUGUUCUUUUCUAAGAACAGAACAAAAUACUUAUUCUGUUUUUAUUUAUUUAUUUAUUUUGCAAAAACUGAACAUAAACACGUUUGGUUUACAAAAUUGUUUAAAAAAUGAAAAAAAUCAAACAUGUUUGGUUAGAGAUGUUUCAGAGGAAAUUUUGAUGCCUGGCUGCCAAAGUCAACAGACUCAACACAAUGCAGUGGAAGAACUUCUUGGAAUCAGCACCAAAUCUGAAAGCCUCAAAAGAUAUCUUAUAUCCAGAAUAUGAUUUAACAUGUUAUUUUGCAAUCAAAUGAUAUCCUUUACCAAAUCCUGCAAUAAUAGAUGCAUAUGACGGACAUGCUAAUAUAAUCACCGAAUUUGUUAAACAUGUAUAACAUUAAUUAAUAACUAAAUAUUAAAUAAUCAGAAUAUUUCCACCAAAGUAUUAAGGCUAUUUUCUUUAUCUUUCUGUCUUGUAUUUUUUCUGUUUACAUACAAUACUUAGAAGAGCUGGAGGGUGGGGGCAAAUCACCAAGAACAAUUGCUGGAAAAACACAAAGAUAGAGCAACUAGAAACAAUGUUAAUUGUACUUAAACCAGAACAAUAAGCUUGGGGUACAUUUUCAGGUUUAACUUGGCUUCUUGCUUAUGCCCGGAUCCCACUCUCUUCAGCUAUGAUUUAAAUGCAUCGUGUUAAUAAAUAAUCAAACAAAAAUACCAACAAUAGAAGAUGGAAAAUCUUACUUGAAAUUCCCUGUUUCCUGUCGAAAUAAUUAACUCUACAACACCCACAGAAUAUUUUUGGGUUGUAAAAAUCUAUUGGUUUGCAAACAAGAAAAAAAAAAUUAAAAGGGCAAGUUUAGGUAGAGUUAAAGGGACAAACAUUUAUGAGGAAAGAAGAAAUCAGAAGGGAUCAUUCUAGGGCUUUAAUUCUGGAGAAAAAAGAAAAGAAACCAGAAGCAGAUGACAAAGAGAUCCAUGAUCUAAAGUGGGGAGGGCCGCGGGAAGGGUGCAGAGGAAGAGUAGGAGGAGAGGAGAUCACCAAUUUUAGAAUUUAGGGAGGGAGAAAGGAGUGAGGGUUUGAGAAAGUUACCUUGAACAGCUGAACUGAAGUCUCAGAGCAGGAGAUACAGAGUGCGACAAUGAAAAAUUGCUAUAAGGAGAAAUAAAAGGGCUCGUGUCCUAAAUGUUGCUUGUCGAACAACUAGAAACAUCUUUUUUGGUGUAUCUAAAACAGGGCCCCUCUUUUGAACCAUUUCAUAUUUGGCAAAAACAGAAACAACCGUAACAAAAAUUGUUUUUUGUUUUCGUCUGUUGAAUUCUCUGAACAAAAACAAAAAAACACCAAACAAAAACAUUACCAAACGGCCCCUUCUGAAAGUAAAUCUUCGUCGUGUUGGAGAAUUUUGAUAAGACAAUUGUCAGAAAGAAGUUAUUUUUGUUGGUGCAAAAGUUAAAGUAUAUUCUGUUAGUAAAUUCAGAAGCAAUCAAAAGACAGCUGCAUUUUUAAGAGUUUUUAGAAAAAUGCUAUUGUAUAACUUUCUUGAAGAGUAGAGCAUGAUAUAUAGGUUGUUGGAGAGGGUGGUGGGAAAAAUUUUGCAAGAAAAUUUUUGAGAAACUGCUUUCCAACUGAACAACUUCUGGGACUUUCAUAUGCUCACUGAAUUGAAUAGUAAUCUGUUUGCUUGUGGUAACUGCUAACUGUUGUUAUUGGGUGAUCCAGAGUAGUGAGAAUCAUUAGCUGCUUAGUCUUAUUUGCGGCAUUUCUUACAUUUGGCUGCUUUAGAAUGUAUUAAUCACUAUUCCAGGUCUAGGCUUUAAAGAUCUUCUUUUCAAACAAGUUAGAAUCUGGGGGUAGAAGCUCUGGGAGAGCAUUUUGUAAACCCUCUAAUAUUCCGGUAUCACCAACAUUAGACAUGAGAGGAAAGAAGGAAGCUUCGGGAGAGCUUCUAAUUACUCGAUUCUACCCGAGGCAGGGAAAGAUGAUUUGGGAAAGCAUCUGACCUGACUUGGCAGUGAGACCGUCGGCUUCCCCUCCUCUCCUUUGCCUCUUCGGCUUCGGCUUGGAGUGCAGAUAAUAACCAGCUAGCUUACUGUACCUAAGGGGGGGAAAGGAUGAACAAUUUGGAUCCAUGUUACCAGCCUGGCAGGCUUCUAAAGCACUGCCAGUAGCCAAAAUAUACACAUUAACGAACCCCAUCUUGCAACAAAUAAGAAAACUACCUUCAAAGUUGUCCUUCAUUUUCUUUUUUAGCUAUGAAAUCUAGUGUUUCUAUACCAGCCUGGUAGGCUUCUAAAGCACUGCCAGUAACCAAAAUAUACACAUUUAACGAACCCCAUCUUGCAAAAAAUAAGAAAACUACCUUCAAAGUUGUCCUCAUUUUCUAUUUUAGCUAUGAAAUCCAGCGUUUCUACAUUCUGAGAAGAUUUUCUUUUCCUGGGCAACAAAUUUUAAGUCUCAUUGCAUUUUAAUUUGGCUGGUUUUCUUGGUUGUCUGUUCUUUUUUUUUUUUUUUUUUUAACUUAAUGGUCCAUGAUCUCUGGAAUGAUUUGUUUUAGUUAGAAAAUCAGAAGAUUAUAUUGACUGUUAAUUAGAUGAGAGUUUCUUUAAAACUAACUUGAUGACAUCCAUGGAAACAACUUUUCAAUCCUUCAAAGGUUUCAAGUUCCAUGACAAUUACUGGAGAUGACAAAUUACUAGAUUAGCUUGCACAGGUGUAAAAUUUCCGCUUUUUCUAUUGUUUUACAUCCUUCAGAGAAAUUAUUGAGUGUUGUAACUUUCCAUUUACUGCAAAUACGAGCGAUUGAUAUAUUAAACACAGCUGAUAACGGAAUUUGAUGAUUGUCAGAGUAGAGUGGUAAGUUGACAGAUUGUUUAGUUUCCUGUCAGUAUUUCAUGAAAGAUUUUAAUUUGUUUGAUGUUGUCAUUUGUUUAGGUUGAACUUUAUGACUGGCAAAUUGGCUUUCCAAUUUAGUGUUCCAGUGAUGUGUAGUUUCAUCACCAUUAACUAGAGAAAGGGAAAAAAAAAACAGUUAAUCAAUUUUUUCCUCAUUCUUUACCUGUCUGGAGGUUCAUUUAAUUUUUUAAUGCUUCAACAGAUUUUGUCCUGUUUUGGUACAUGGUAUUGGUGAAAGUUGCACUUAAGAAGAUAAAGGCUGUAUGAUUGUCUUAUAUUCUCUUCCACAAAGUUGCAAGUUGAACUAUUAUCUUAUAGACAAAAUAGAACUUUAGCAAAAAGAUCUCUUACUGAUUUUUUGUGUCAUAGUUGAUAUUCUUGGUUCUUCAUACUAAUGCUGAUACUUUAAUGGCCAGCACAAUAGUAGCAGAAACUAGCCAAAGUAUGAGGAUCAUGGAUUCUCGGGAAUUGCUCUCAAGCAUGGAUACUCUUAAAGUUCCAAUUCAUGGUGACGAAGUAGCGGUGAGGGUAGCAGCUGAUGUUGCUUCGCUGGAAUGUGGUAUAAGUGAACUUAAAAGUCUGUGUUGGAGACGCCCAGCCUUAGUGUGUAUCAUGGCUAAGCCACGGGAUUCACCUUCUACUGUGCAACUUUGUGUAGAGAAUUAUUGCUUGCUUAUUAAGCAAGAUGAUCUGGGUUAUGUUCCUGAAUCACUAAGAGAUUUUUUGGCUAAUCCAGAAAUAUGUUUUGUAAAUGUUGGUCCUGACAGGUUGUAUCUCGGGCCAUUCUUCCUGGAAAGAAAUGGGAUUGAGUUCAGUCAUUUAGUUUACAGGGUUCUAAGGAAGCAUUAUUUUAGCAGAUGGGGGUUGAAGCCUCUUGCAGAUGAAGUUGGAGUUGUUCUUGAAGAAUAUCCUGCUAGGUUUGGCCUAGACUGCAGGACUGAAGCUUUCUCUGCUGAGGAUGUCAAGUGGGCCAUUUAUCAUGUCUAUGCAUCUUUUAGGAUCAGUAGUAAACUCUUUGGUUCACUUUAAACUUCCUUUUUCUUUUAUUUUAGUAAGCUAUUUCUUCUUUUACAAUUUUCGUAAUUUUUCAAACAGUUGUAAAACUGUUAAACCUACCAUUUUUCUUCCCUCCCUCUCUGUUUGUUUCGACCGCAAUGUAUCAUGUAUUUGUAACGGUUCACAACAUGGCAUCCGCUUGGACGACUUGAACCUCCCUUCUCCAUAGUGGUGGUGCAUGUUUACUUAUUUGUUGCUAAAUAGUCUGUACUUCAGGAAUGCAGUAGCAGUAACUUUGGUGCCUAGCAAGUCAGUUAGAUAUUCUAACGUGUUAUUGUGUAACACUUAUCACAAAGGGCUGACUCUAUGUAGCAUUUAGCUAUGCAGAACAUUAAGAUCUAGGAAUUUGCAACAGGUUUGAUCCAUUUUCUAGUCCACACUCUGGCACUCCACGACUCAGUUUCCUGGAUGUGGUCUAUACUUGCUUAUGUAAAACGUCCAGAGGGAAAGAGAUUUGGUAGAGUAGCAAUGACAAAUGAAUUUCCUUUUGCUAUGCAACAAAGAUCUUUUGAGUUUUCUAGGUAGCUAAGAGGUACAAGCCACGCAGAAGUUUGCAGAACCUCAGUUUCCAGGAUGCAUGACAAAGAUGAAAGAUGAAAUCACCACCCCCUUCUGUUAAGUGGAAUGCUGUUUGAGCUUAACCUGAAUACUUGGCCACAACUUUAGUUCUGGACUGUAAGUACAAUCUCCCAUAAGCAUGCUUUUUCGAGUUUUUAUUAUCUCUACAAAGUGCAGAACAGCUAUGUAUUGAAUUGGCUUUCAUCAUCUCUAAUUACAUUAGUGAAAGGGCCAAAAAAACAUAGAAAGAAAUGUUCUGAGGAUUCCACAAUAGAGUUGUUUGUCAUCUUACAUUACCUUUCAAGGUACAACAGUUUUCCUGUUGUGAGUUUCUACAUUGUGAUAGAAUUCGCCGUUAAUCCCAAGGUCUUUAAACUGUUGAUCUCUAGUAUCCCAUGAAACUACCGUAUCAGUUAUCCAUCUGAAGAAGAAUAAGUUUGCCAUCCUGUGUAAACCCCAAUACCUUCUUUGUCUCAACAAUAAACUGUUUAGUCCAUGACUUGGUAACAUUAUACUCCUCCAUCACCCAUAUCUCAUAAUAGCAUUUCAUCUCUUCUUGUUCUCUUCCAUUAGGAGGGAGAUUCCACGAACAGAACAGCGCAAGUAACUCCUCGAAUACCAACAGAACCCCAUCCGACAAAGGUGAACGUUCAGCAGGCAGAACUAUUGCUGAGAACACCUCAUUACUGACAUGAAAUGCCAUGAUUGCGUCCCAAACCUCAUCAUCCCUUCUGCUUGCCAGCCAAUUUAUUGCUCCAUCGCACGUUACAGGCCGAUGAUGAGCAUAAUCAGCGAUACAAGGAACACCUGCCUGGAUUGUUCUCCAUGAAUCAGUGAUUAAACUAUAAACUUCAACUUCGCAAGCCACUUUGCCCAACAUGGUUGCCUUGUUAUAGGGGUAAUGUAACCAAUCCUCACAAUCUUAUGCUGAUCAGUCCAUCGACAAUAUCCUAAUACAAGGCUGAAAAACACUUCUGCGUGGCCAAAAAACACAUCUCUUGGGAAUGCGAGAGAGAAGAUAGUUUGGAAACGGUUGGUUGCUGCAGGAUUAUACAAGAAGAGUUUGGUUCCUAAAAUUCUUCUCAUCCCAAAGGCUAAACACAUUAAACCAUGGCAUGAACUGCCUAUAGAAACAAGUUCAUGUGCCUCAAUACAUCGUAAAGGAAAAUGAUAUUUUCUAUGUUCAAGAAACCUCUCGUCUCUAAGUACUAAGCAAAAUUGUUUGGAUGGCUGAUUACUACAAGUAAGACUUUUCUUUCUUUGGCCUGACAAGGAUAUUACUCGGAAAUGAACUUCUAUGCAUGUGUAUGAUGAUGAAACUUGGGCUGGUGAUGAGUGAAUGCCAUCAUUUGCAGACUAGUAAAAAUCUUACAAGGUACUCUACUGGCAACCUCACAAGAAUUUCGAUCAGGAUUUCAAUCGGGAUAUGAUUGCUGGUGUUGGUUUCUGGGCCAUGUUGCCUUGGAAUUUCCAUGGUUCUGGUGCGUGUAUUUGCUAGGAGUGUGUGAAACAAUUCAUUGCCCCGUAAUGGUUUGAGAGAAAUUGUUGUAUUUGCACCUUUGGAUAGGUCGAAAGAGUCAAGAGAGAGCGGCCAUGCCUGUUCGCAGACGAUGCACCAUUAUUCUGAUGACCUGGUUUCCCAAAAGAGUUGUUUAUGCAUUUAACAGUAACAGUCAUAGUAAAAUAGUCAUAUUGCUUGUUCAGCGAUGGGACAACUAUUAUGUCUGGUGGAAGUGGAAGGUCAUGGGUUCAACCCUUAUCUCCUAUCUUGCGUUCCUCCGAUGGAAAAAUUCUGUCGAUUCCGCAUUCCCUUAAAUUAGGUUAAAGUAGGUUGUACAAAUGUUAUCGUUGCGAUAAAAAAAAGAAAGAAAGAUGGGACAACUAUUAAUUAAUACUUUGUAAGAUUUUGAUAUGUUUUACCGUUCAGUUAAAGGUAAGUCAAGAAGAGUUGAUAGAUUCACCCAGAAAUAGAAAAAUUAAAUUAAAAAAAAUCAUAUAUAUAUUUUUUUAUAUAUGCCAAAAUUAAAAUGAAUCAUAGGUUAACAGGCUAAGAGUAGAUAAGUUUUCCAUGGAAAAAAAAAAAAAGAGAACUCGUACAUCCUAAAAUGAGAGGGAAUCAUAAGGCUUGCUUUAAACCAAGCAUUUUGAGACAUGUUAACCACACCAUCCAUAUGCCACGGGGCCGGGGGGAGAUCAGAACAGAAUAUUUUUGUUCAAAUAAGCUAUUAAUAUUGCUGCACAAGAUGCUGAUUGUUUCCAUUAAGAGGAAAUACCAGAACAACAAAUCGAUAGUUCGAUCAAAAAACACUCUUUUAUCAAUGUAUGUUGAGAUUCAGUAGCCUACUCGGCAAUGAAAGAAGAGAUGAACCUGUUAAAAGCCUCUAAACAUAAAUUACCUCCUCUGCAACUUCUGGUGCUAACGUUGAGCUAACCUGCAACAAAAGCUACAUAAUGAGUCAAAAUCUUAAUACACAUCUCAAACAGAGAUUUCAGUGCCUAAAGAAUGUCCACUGCAAAAGUUAGAAUAACUUCGCAAGAUCUUAGGAGCUAGGAGUCACUUCCCUUGUACAGUAUUCACAGGUAAGGCUCUUGGAGAAGGGUACAUGGGCUGAGGUAGAGAUCUACAUCCAUGGUCCACUAGUAUGAGUAACUCCCUUGAAGAACUCUUCAAGAAAACAAUGUACCACUCCCCCUGAUAACCACUUGCCUGAUUCACUUUCACAUGAAAAUCAUGGCAUGCCAUCAGAUCUUCCAUAAUCACAACCUAUCAUAAACGCUCUCUUUCUUGUGGCGAGUACGAUCAGGCUUAUAGUUCAUCUUAAUGCCAUGUCUGCUGCAUACCUGACUUAUAGUCCUGUCUUUUUUUCUAACUGAUACUGGUCACAUAGCCCAAAAUUUGGAGCACAAAGACACCCAAAAAAGUGUAUGCUCCGUUUCACUUAUAAACCAUCCAGUAGUUUGUGUUACUUUAAACAGUGCAAACCAACCAUUACCACCUCCAAAUCUUAAGCUUCUGUACUUCAGCCAGUUAUUGGGCUUGAAAAAAUCAAACUCGCCAAUGUUGAAAGUUACUUGAAGAUAUAUCCUCACAUUGAACCAUAUCUUUGGUCACAUUUCAUGUGUAUGCUGCACUUCCAGAACUGUACAUCAUUAACUGGUUCAUUUGCAGCAACAGUCAAGCGUGCAAAAUAAGCAUAUCAGUACUUCAAAUCAAUUACCAAACGUGCAUAAAUCAAGAAAAGACAAGCAAAUUAAUAAGCAGUCCAACAUUGAAAAGGACUAAUAAUUAAAACUUCCAAUUAUCACAUUACCUAUAAGAUUGUAUAAAAUAUCUAACAUGUCACUAAAAUAUUAUGAUCGUAGAGUUUUGGCCACUGAAUUCUUAAAACCUUCAAAUAGCUCACCCAACUACUAAAUCCCUCAACAAUUGGUCAUUCUGUCUAACGUCAUUGUCAAGACUUCUUCAUUCAGUUAAAUCUAGGAUUUUUACCUCUACAUAAAAUAAAUUAAAUUAUAGAAGCAAAGAAAAUUACCAUAUAACAUGGUUAAGAAAAUGAAAAGAGAUGGAGAAGAAAUAUGUCAACAAGAAUAAGGAAAACACAAAUUGAUUGAUUUUUCUUCUUCUGUCUUUUAUCUUUCUUUUAUGAGAGUAUCAUCUGUGGAAAUAAAUGCCCCUAAACUUAGUCAAAUUAAAGAAAUUCAAUGGCCAUAAUGGACCGAAUGACCAUUUGUAUACAGAAUUAUUGACCUAUCUGAAACUUCUAAUAGUUAAGUGACCAGAACACUAAGAUGAGAAUAAAUUUAGCAGGCUUAGGUAAUUUUACCUAACUCAUAAUAACUCCCCCCACAAGUGGAAACUCUCUGCCAUACCUGAAAAUAAUAGAGGACAAAGUGAGUAACUUUCAUUACCAAUGCAACAUUUCUUUCUUUCUUUGCAUAAACAACAAGAUUGAUAAGGAAAAGCACUUCAGAAGUUAAAGGUCAUGCUUUCAAAAUGUCUGAAUAUAAACAUAUAAAAUGUGACGGAUUUAAGCUAUUCCAGCUGUAGUACUUAAGCUGGAAAGUUAAAACCAUAAUCAAAAUGUCCUACCGCAGGCACCGACAGAAACUGUACAAAACAUUAUCUAAUUAGCAAUGAACCAAGCAUUUAGGAGAAAUUACCAUUUAGCAUGAGAUAAAAGAAGAAACAAGCACAGCUCAGCAACUGUCUUCAAAUUUAAUGGAAAUUCACAAGAAAAAAAACACACGAAAGACAUGAUCUAGCAUGAUCUAUAAUACUUUUUUGGGCCACUUUUUUAGACGGUUGAACAAGGGCCAAUGGACCACAAAGAAGGAUUGGACUCACACAGAGUCAAAAGAAGUAAGAAAAGUAAUUCAAUCAGCAAUAACGUGUCAAGAAAAAAAUGACAAAUGGCAAAACCAUGAUUAAAUUUGCAAUCAAUCUUGAUGCAUUGACCAAAAAGAAGUUGUUGAAUCAAACUUUAAUGCUAAAAGAACCAAUGCUAACAGUUGCCAAUCAUCUAUGCUUGCAUGAAUUUGUAACAGAUUUACCUGCUGUUAAUACAGUUGUAGGAAGAAUACAAUCAAUGCCAGUGAUGUAAUACCUCCACCUAUCACUGGGUCCACAAGUUUCAGAUGGAGCGAACUUUGACGGCAACAAUUACCUGAAAACAGAAGCAACCCAAGAAAAAAAAGUUUCAGAACAAAGUCAAACAAAUUCAUUCAACAAAAUGAAAAUAUAGUAAAACAACUAUAAUAGACUAAAGACUAUAGUUCUACUGCACUAUAAUAUAGAUAUGCUGAUAUCAGAAUGAAUAUUGCUGUUAAUUUUGGAGGAUAGAAAAUUAUAGCUUGCGGUCAAGGAUUAUGAGUUUCAAAGAUUAGAUUAGAAGGAACUCAGAAUAAUUUAUGUGACUAAAGCAAUAGAUUUAUUGACCCUUAAUAUUAGAACCAUAAGAUAUAUUUCUUGAACAGAUACAUAUAAUAUUCUAAGAAACGAGGUCAUUAUGGGUUCUCCAAAUGGCAGAGGAAGCAAAAAUAGCAUUUAUGUACAGAGUAAUAAUAUCACACCUACUUGCUGAUAUGCUCAAGAUGAUUUUCCAACCAAAGAAACUCGAAUAAGAAGUCUUACACGUUGAACAUACCGAGAAUUAUUUCUGCUAAAAUAAGACAGUAUUACUCCUUGUUAUAUAUAUACACUAUGGAGUUUAAGAAUCAAUCAUAGCUAUGCCAAAAAAAAAAAUCAUAGCUAUGCAAGAAAGUUUUACUAGAGAACUGCAGAAGUCUUGCCAAGUUUUACCACGACCAAUUGAAGUGUCACCAAGGGAAGCAACUGCCAAAAGGAAUACGUCAUCACUAGGUCUAAAUUGUGAACCUAAAAAAUCUAGAGCUUCAAAAUCUCUUCCCCAGUAUGUAAAUUUGUUGGCAUGCUAAAAUGAAUUUUGAGAAAACAAAAUUUUAUAUAGCUAAAUCAGGUGAUAUAGAAGCGAAAUUUCUUAAAAACUGUAUCAGACUAUGAAAGCUUAAGGAAAAUAAACAUGGAUGCCAGAGAUGUUAGAGAAAGUCUAAAGAGGCACCGGAUCAAUACAUUGGCUUUUCAGAAGAUUUGCAAGCCUCUUCUGGAUAAAAUACUUAUGUAUGGGGAUUAUCUAACCCAUAUUAUCUAACUGUAAAAUAUUCAAAGGAUAAAGCAUAGCAAAAUAUGAAGAAAACUCAGCAACUUCCCUUUCGACUCUAUUCAAUAGAUGAGAUGCUCAUAUUUAGUCAUGCUGUUUACCUGUAUAAUUACAAUCACUAAGUGUGCUAAGUGUUGAUGCAUGAUUAGGAAAUGUCUAACAUAUAUCCAGAACACAAAUUCUAGAUUUUGGCCGUGGAAAUCAUCAAUGGACACACAUAAAGGUGUCAGAAUAGUGUAGCUCUCAGCAUUUAGCAGGAGUCCAGCAUGAAAGACUGAGGCAUUUUAAGAAAAUUUGAUACUCAUUAAAGAAAAUUGCAAGAACAUAUGAGCUGUUGGCGAGAAUAAUCGUUUAAGAUAGAAGGUAGGUCGUCUAAUAGACAGCAGUGCUAAAUCCGAACCAUAACCAGACACUGGAUGGAAAAACUGUAUAUGAGUAAUAGGAAAAUGCCUAAUGUCUAAAUUUGGAUCAACAUAGUUGAAGCAUAUAAAAGAGUAGUAAACCGAGUCACUAGCAUUGAGCUGUGCUAGUGCCUGGUGCUAGUGUGAUACCAAAAAAAAAACGGAAAGCUGGCUGCCAGUUAACAAAGAAAUGGUGAUUAGGAGUCUUUCUCAUAGCACCAUGUAAGGAAGGGGAAAUUCUCCGAGAGCGGGUGGGUAGAGCUUUUGUGGUACCAAAGAUGCCCAAAAAGCUAAGAUAAAAAGUUGGCUUUUAACUCAGAAUAAGACCUACUUCACAGAAAGAAAGAUGCUAGAAUUUCCUAUAACAAAACCUAGCAAUAAUACAAGCCUUUAUCACCUAUUCAAAGAUUUAAAACAACUUUUAGAAUUUAGCAAAGACCUCUUACAAGCUUGGGGAAGUUUCUGUAUCUCAUCUUCUAGUUGCAAUUAAAAAGUGCCACUCCAUUGCUCAUCCAGUGGAGUUCAAAGUAGAACUUUAAAAAACUCAUUUGAGCAAGAAACAACAUGAUCAAUUUGGGUAAUAUGCCUCCUAAAACAAAAUGGCCUUCAGGCCUCCACUCCAUGAAAAAAGAACCACAUAUGAGGUCGCACACAAAGAAGUUUUACAUAAAACAAGAUCAAUGUCGGUCUUCUACAGCCAGUCCUAGCUUUCUUCUUUACGUCCCAUCCUACUUUUGCACAGUCAAUCAGUUAUUCAAUGCAUAAAGACAUUUUUCACCCUCUCUGAAUUUGCAGCUCAUAAAAAGUCCAGCUUGAGUUUAGAACAUAUACAGGACACAUAAGUAUACAAUAGUUUAGACAAAAAACUAGUGCAUUAGGCAUCCAUUAUGCAGAAUGUCUGCAUGGCAUAUUGAACUAGAAAUGUGUUCUGUAUGAUAUCCAUCGAAAUUAAAAGUAAUGCUUUAUUCAUGUUAGAAUAUAAGAGAGAGAGAGAGAGAGAGAGAGAGAGAGAGAAAUUUUAAUCACGGAAGAAAUCCAUGAGAAGCAUAAUCCCAAGGAACAUCCUUUCUGUUUACACACAUUCUUCCCAGUCAACAAGAAAGACCUAGAGUUAAAUAUCAUUUUUGACCCAAAAACACAAAAAAAAAAAAGAAAAAGAAAAAAGGCUAUUGGUUUUACCUCUAAUUGUCUAGUAAAAGAUUCACAACAUAAUGAUAUGAAGACACAAGUCUCCUUAUAAGCAUCAAACUUCCUCAGAUCUCAAAGUCCAAUAUCUUCAAAGCAAGUCAUUGAUGCUCAGAUACAGCAUAAGAAGGAUAGCUAACAGUAUGCUCCAAAAUCCAUUCUUCUUGGCCUGCAAAAGGAUAGCGAAAGAAGAGAAAUACCUGAAAGCUAAAUAUCAAUGUGACAUUGGAUAAAUACAAAUUUUAAAGCAAGUGAAAUCAAAAUUCCACAAAAAUUUCAUUUAGCAUCAGAUACAAAGAUGUUGAUGCAUAUCAAAGCUCCAGAGUCUCUAAACAUAUGUUGAGAAGAGCAGAUGAAGCCCUUUUAUGCAGAAAGACAUUUAAAAUUCAAAACUUUCCCCACAUUAAAAAUCAAACAACCUAAGCCUGAAGGGAGGAAAGGUAUAGUUGGGAUCCAAAUAUAUCUGAUAAAGCUUAGAAGUAACUAUAUUAGCAGAGAUAAGGGAUCAACACUUCGGGUUUUGUCAUAACGAUACUCACUUUGAAGGACAAGAAUUUCCUCUAUCAGUAGAAUCAGUUCAAAAAACAAAGAACAGCAAUAACUGCAGAUUAUGUACAUUUAACUAAGCCAAGAUAAGACCAAAGGAGCUUGAAAUGCAAAUAGUCCGUGGUUCUAAACAUGCUGUGAAACUACUAGCAAAAAUUCAUAGGUAGGCAUUUGUUGCACAACAGAUCUGCAUACAAAAUAGCAGACAAGUAAACACAACCAAUUAAGAAACACAAACAGAUAAGUUGAAAUCAUCUUGCCUUUUCUUUUGAUCCACAGCUUCCUCUUCCUUUUGUUCAUAUUUCUAAUCCAUAUGUCCAUCCAGGUUAGCUUGUUCAUCCAGUAGGAGCAAGCUUUCCAUGUAUGUUAUCAAGAAACAGCUAUGCGGGCAAUACUUAGGAAGCCCAAGAUUCUUCACUUCCUGCUCCUUAAAAUCAUAUGCCACCACUUUUGAAUCAGGGGUGAGAAGCAGAAUAUCACAGUUUUUAGUAACCCCUAGAGACCAAACUAUCCUCUGUUCCGUUACCACAUUGAACAAUCUCUCCCAAGAGUUGGUCACACCAUACUCUCUCAUCACCCACAAACUCCAAGUACCAGUCCCUUCAAGAGCUGCAAAAUUUCCACAAACAAAAAAUGCAAGCAUGUCCUUGUAUUCCUUGAGCAAUGGACCUCUAUAAUCCCCCUCCAUCUCUAAAUCCGGCAACUCUAGUGUCCUAAAAUCUUCACUUUUAACAUCAAAAGCCACAAUCAAAUCUUCAUCGUGUCGUUCAGGAUGAAAUGCAAGCCAAUUAACAAACCCAUUCACAUAUAAAAUUCGCAAUUGGCAGUAAAUAAUCCAAUUAACGACUAAAUUCUCAAUCUUUCUCCAAGAACCUGUACUCAGAUUGUAGACCUCAAUCUCAGUCUUCUCCAGGUCAUAGGGAGCUUCACAAUUUGGGCUAUCAUAUAUAAUCCUAACCAACUUAAAGACACCUGCAUCAAAAUCGUAACCACAACCAGGGGAAAUCCAACUAAAUUCCUUAGAUAUCCCUUCACAGCUAGAAUUCCUAAUGGUUAUAAUUCUCCUAACUGAAGGGUUCCACAAAUAGACAACCCGACCGUAUAAUACGUCAUCAUUUUCUGUGAGGCAAAGCAAUCCAGCACAUGAAUCAACAACCGAACAUGACCCAGAUACAAAAUCAAUGGGGGGUUUCAAUUCUAAGACCUUCGCUUAUCCAUUAGGCCCAUCAGAUAACAGAUGGUAUGCAGUUUCUCGCUUUUCCCCGUCCAAAAACAUAUGAAAAAGAUACCCAGUUGAUGGAUCAUCUUUAUAACUAGAAAAGCAAUUACUAAGGUGGGUUCUAAUAAACGAUGGAGAUCUUAUAAAUUGACACCAUGAUUUGCGAAUGAAAAUGAAAUUGGCUAGACUUCUUGAAGGCAAUCUUACAAGAAUGUCACCGAAGAUUACUUCUUCUGGGAUGCUUUGAUUCCUUUCGCCCGCCAAUCGCUGUUUUGCUCAGCCAUUGACUCGGAUUAAUUAGAUGGGAGAUAUCAGGUUGAAGAUGGUGGCAGAAUUAGCAGCGAAUUGGAGAGGUCGCCGUUCGGGGAGCAGAAGAGUUGAUUAACUGAAGUGUUUGCCGAUUUGGCAGGGAGUUAUAAAGUGACAGUGACAGAUCGGAAAUUUUGGAAUUUUGUACUAUUGCGUGUCAUGAAUUCAUUUAUUAAAGGCCAUGGAAUGUAAUGCUCGAAUUUUUUUUUUUAAAACGCUCUAAAAAAACAACUAAUUCAUGGUUAUUACAGAAAUACGGUUUCAUUUGUAUACAUCACCUUCUACUAUGCAAUUUUAGGCUCAAGAAAUAGUAAAAUACACAUAGUUGCAUGUGUAUUUGAAGAUGAGUAUAAAACUUGUGAGAAAUAUAUAAAAUAAAAUUUUACAUGAUUUUAGCAAAAGCAUAAAUGAUGGAUUCUGAACCAACUUCCCUCGCGUAAAUUGAUGAGUUGAUCAUUAGGUAAAGCAUAAAGUGCAAAUCUGGUUACAAGUUAGGAUUUCAAACCUUUGCACAUGUUUUAAAAUUUAAAUGGUAUGUAGUAGUGCAUCCUUUUGGUUUAGAGAUAAGAUCCUCUUCCUCUAAUUUUUCUUAGUCCAAUUGAUCCCUCCCCUAAUAUAGGUUAAACCUACGUAUAAAACUAUAAAUGGUCGGUUGUUACUCUGUAGUUUUAGUCAAAGUAUGGAUAGUUUGAUACACAUACGCAGAAUGUGCUUUUUAUUACAAAGUAUAAAAAUGUAAGAAAAGUAGAAAUUGCACAUUUUGCAUGAUACUAGGUAAUCAAAUUGCUUAAUCAUGUAUAACAAUAUAUUUAGCGCUUUUAAACUUUGAAGUAUACAAAUAUGUUUCCAUGAAUAUCAUUAAGCUCUUUUUAACAAAAUCCUCAGCUAGUCCGGACUUAAAUGUUCAAAAUAUUGCCCAAAUUUAACAAGUUCAAUCAAAUGACCUAGAGACUACUAAGGUUGAGCAUAGCAUUAACAAGUUAAAAUACUAGAAAUGUCUGUGUAACCGAAAUCAUAAAUUCUUGAAGGGAAAAACUUCUACUUGGAAGAAGAUAGUUGUCGUCUAAAAAUUAGUAAGAAGAAAUUUGGAAUAAAAAGGACGAGUAACCGUAGAGAUUGCUGAUUUGGAAGCCAAGCAUAAGUGACAAUUCGGCAUAUGGUAAUUUUCUUGGAUUUGUGCGCCAUUGAUUCAGUAUGGACUACGGCCCAUUACGACUGCCGUUACAAUUGUUUGUGGCAAUUUAUUUGAUGGAGCCUUAUGCCAAUGAAUUAGUUCCUCAUGGAUUUGGUGUUUUUAGGAUAUUUUUUUAAAAUCGGCUAGAUUUCUUGAAGGCAAUCUUACAAGAAGAAUGUCUACUUCUUCUGGGAGGCUUUGAUUUUUUUCGCCCACCAAUUGCUUGUUUUGCUCAGCCAUUGAUUCGGAAUAAUUAGAUGGGAGAUAUCGGGAUGGAGAUGGUGGCAGAAUUGGCAGCAAAUUGGAACGAUCGCCGUUGGGGGAGCAAAAGAGUUGAGUAACUGAAGUGUUUGCUGAUUUGGCAGGGCGUCAUAAAGCGACAGUGACAGAUUGGAAAUUUGGAAUUUUGUACUAUUGUGUGUCGUGAAUUCAUUUAUUCAGGGCCAUGGAAUUAUGCUGUGUGAUGAGUGGUUGUGGGUGAAAGGAGAAGAGGUUAUAAAUUAUUUAUUUAUUAGAUGUAAUUGAGAUUGUGUGUAUUAUUGAAAUUAUUUUUGGAGUGUGACUGUAGAUUUCAAAAACAAAAACAUUUUAAGGAGUCUUACUAUAGACUUCAAAAUGUGUAGAAUAUUUCAAUUGUGUACACAAAAUUUAGCUUUACUAGUAGGGACAUUGACCAAAUGAUCUUGAAGUUUUCAAUGCUACUCUCAAGACUUUCCUUUUCCUUUUUUUCAUUGUAGGAUUUGGAAUCUCCUUUAAAGCCAAAAACAAAAAAAAUCAACGGCACGACACACGUGCAUUGUACGUGUUUUUUACUACAAAGUGCAAUAAAUCCAAUGAGUGUAGAAAUGAUAAUGUUACAUGACACGGAGUAAUCUACCUGUUUAAUGAUAUAUAAUAAUCUUAGGCAACUUUUUAAGCUUUGAAGCAUACAAAUAUUAUUUCCAUAAAUAUCAUAUAGCUGUUUUAACUAGAUCCUUAGCUUGCCCCAAGUUAAAUGUUUUGUAACUUUCUAAUUUAAACAAGUUUAAUCUAGGUGAUAAUUAAUCAAGUAGCUUACUUGAACUCAUUAGCAGUUUGGUCAACUGCUUGACUCGAACUCGGCGAUGACCGAAUUCAAGUCAAGUUUGAACUGCUUGAUUGAGAUUUCGAGUCAAAUUCGAGUACAGAUUUGGAAGAAUCGAAGGUUCGACAAGCUCUAUCGAGUUUUCUAUUGAAUAUUUGAUUAUUAUAUUAUUAUUUUUCAAAUUAAUAUUUUAGGUUUAUUUGUUACAAUAUUUAGCUAUCAUAUAUUUCAAAACUGUUUAUCGAGUUCGAAGAUAAGGCUUGAAAAUUUUUUGAGCUCUGACAAGUCAAGCUCGAACUCAUAAAAAACUCUAGCAAGUUAAGUUCGAGUUCAAGUUCAACUUAGAAUACUCGUUCGACUCGACUUGAUAUCGCCCCUAGUUUAAUUUGGAGACAUAGAGACUUCUAAGAUUGAGUACACCAUCAAGAAACUUGCAAUCCUUUGACUCGUUGAACUGAUGCAUUUUCAAUUAUAAUCAGAACUUCUUAAAAGGAAAUAAAAUUAUGGUAUGAUAUGCAAAUGAAAAGAAAAUUGGCUAGAAUUCUUGAGGGCAAUUUUACGAGAAAUUUAACAACUAUCACUUCUACUGGCAAACUUUUAUUGCCAUUUUUCUCCUCCAAGGAUUACUAGAAACUUACAAUGGUGGGAUUAAUUCUAAUAGUUGAGGUUAAGAUUCUCUAGGGCUCUGAUUCCCUUAUCCUUUCUUGUUUUUUAAAUUAAAUUCCACAUCUUUCUUGUUAAAAAAAAUUUUAAAAAUAAGUAUAGAAUGGAAAUUCUAAAAUAUCUAACAUCCAUAUAUAGCAUAGUAAUCUAGAUAUAUGAGAGAUAUAAAAUUUCAAAAGAAAUCAACUAAAAAAUAAAAGAAAUUCUCACAUAGAAGUUUUAGGAGAAGAGAAAACUCGUACAAAAAAUUCCUUCCAACGGACGAAAUAAAAACCAGAAAGAGUGUUCUCCCUUAUGGAGAAAAGAUAAAUCUUUAUUUCCAUACGGGUUUCUAAGCAUGUGUACAUGUAUUGCAAUAUUGUUGUAUUUUGAUUAUAUUCAUCGGUUUUGUGUGACUUACAUCUUUAUUUUUGGUUAAUUAUUUAGGGGAAUAAAGAAGGAUCGAUAGAGAAAAUAGUGGUAGUGUUGUACGUUAUAAGAGGCCGACUUGUUAGGAAGCCAAAUUGAGAGAUGAAAUUCUUUUUUUUUUUGUGGAGGGGGAGCGGGUAAGAAGGAGAUCUUGAUUCUAAAACCUCCUACUUAUAAUCAUUCCUUUCUUACCACUUAACUCAACCCUGCCCAAGAUGAAGUUGGUUAAACACUCGGUGGCAUGUGCAGCUCAUCUAAAGGAACACCGUAUUGCUCUUUAGUAUUCAGUAUCUAAUAUCAGUUGCACGUAUAUUCUUUGCAUAUAAGCGUUUUGUAAAGUAGUCAUUGACAAAUUAAUUUAUGAUAUGUAAUUUUUACUUUUUUACCAACUAAUACUAAUCUAUCAAAAUCAAAACCAAAACUACGUGCAAUCAAGGUAAAAUCCUUUCAUGUUUUAGUCCCGUUAGAGUCUCCAAUGCAUAUGAUUCUCCUUACAGAAGGGUUCUAAAGAUUAAUAAUUUGACAAAAAAAAUAUCCUUCUUUUCACUAAGCUAAAGAAAGUUACUGCACGAAUUGAGCAAGACGAAAAUCCAAAAUAUUCAGGGCUUUUGAUUUUAAUGUUGCCAUAAUUAUUUGUUUUCCACAUCAAUAAACAUGUUUUAGAGAAUCAAUUCAGAUUGUUUUUCUAGCUAGAACUGCACUAAUUAAGAUGGACACGAGUAUAGCAUAGAGAUAUAAUAAAAGUACACCAUGAUUCAUGAACAAUAUAGUGGGGAUAUUAUCGAAUCCUUAUACUAUAUAAGAUUGAGAUUUAGUGCCUGUUUGAUAACAUAAAAAAGUGCUGAAACUGAAUUCAUUCAGACAUUCAGAUGUUGUGAGUGUUUGAUAAAUAAAAAUUCACCUGCUGAACUUAUUAGGUGGUGCUGAAUUUGUAUGUAUUUUUUUUCAGCACAAGAAUCGUAGCUGAAUGCUUAAUUUGAUAAGAAUCAAGAGAUUUACUUCAACUACUUUAUCUUAUCUACCAAAUAUAUCCCUGUUUGUUAAUUACAUUCAAAAUCCUUAUCUAAUUAAACAACCUAAUAUUCCUUAUUCAAAAUCCUUAUCUAAUUAAACAAAACAACCUGAUAUUCUCUAUUCAAAUUUUUUUUUUAACAAUAGUAUUUUUUUGCAGUAAUUUUCAUCCACAAACAUUUAUAUUUUGAUAUAUAUAUUUUUUGUACAGAUAAAUAUUAUUUAUGUGAUGCAGCUUAUCCACACACACGUGGCUUUAUGACACUAUAUCGAAAUAUUAGAUAUUGGUUGUCUGAUUUUCGAAAUGCUUCUCGUCCAAGAUCAAAAUAAGAACGCUUUAACCAAGCACAUGCAAGAUUGAGAAAUGUAAUUGAACGUGCUUUUAGAGUAUUAAAAGCUCGUUUUUCCAUUCUCAAAAGAAUGAAACCAUACCCUUUUCCCACACAAAGAAACAUUGUCAUUGUAUGCAUUGCUCUUCACAAUCAUUGUCAUUUUCAUACCUAACAAUUUUAAGUUAAUUAAAUCAUAGGUUUUAUUUCCUUUUUGGAUUAAAAGAUAGAAGGACAAAAUUGUACAAUCUAACUUAUUAAGCAUUAAAUUAUGAAUAUUUAUCAAACAGUAUAAAUAGAUUCAGCAUUAAGAUUCAGACAUUCAUAUAUCUCUUUUCAAUGCUUAAAAUUCAGCAAAUUAAUUAUUUCAGUAUUCAGAAUUCAGAAUUCAGAUUCAGUGUUAUCAAACGGAGCCUUAGUCAAAGAGGGUGUUGAAUUUCAACCACAUGGGCAGGAGUAUUUUGGAAAUUUGAAAAAUGUGUUGCUUUUUUCAACCUUUUGGUACAACUGAUUGCAGCAUAUGUUUGGGUGUUUUUACAUUAGAACUCCCAUAUUUGUACAUUUAAAACUUGUAUUUAUAGACACAUCUGGGCAUUUGUGGAAUGUGGGCUUAUUUGGCGAUCAUUUGUGCAUUUGGUCCAAUUCAUAUAAGCGUGUGUUUUUGUGCAAUUACUGAAAUGAGGUUAUUAUGUAAUUAAAAUAGAACCACAUUGCUUGCUGAUAACCUCAGUAAUUGCAGUAUAGCUCCAUUUCAAUUGUCUGAAACACUCAUAAUUAUAUCAACACUUAUUUUUCUAUGUCUGAAGUUUAUUAGAAGUUCAGUUGUUGGAAACAGUUUCUCUACUAGCAAUAAAACACUAUUUAUAUCCCCAUUAAACGGCCAAUAAUGUGGGUAUGCUGCUAAGUUAUUGUCUCAAUUAUGGCUUUUUCAAUUCUUCCUCCUUCACAUUCUUCUGUUUUCCCCUUUUUUGCUUUCAUGGUUGCAGUAUUUUUUCAGCAUUUACACUCAGCAUUUCAUAAUGGUUUUCAGCAGAAGUUAUAUUUCCUUAAUAUUACUUAUGUGCUGUUAUAUUAUAUUUAUCUUCAUUUAUUUUCUUACCACAGGUGUGACAGCCCCACUUUCCCCUAAGACGAACCAAAGAAAUUAGCAAACUGCCUGCCCAACUCUCGCCAGGACUAACGGUGUAGGCAAAUACGAUCUAAGACGUUUCGGGAAAAUAAUACGCGCUCACACAAGCCGAAAUUGCAAAAUAGCUAAACGCAAACUAAACCGUCGGUGAAUAGUGGGUUCCAUGUCAUAUAACUCGAAAAAAUAUUUCCAACUAAAUAGGACACAUAAACGGGGUUAAAACAGUGUUAUACACAUACGUUUGUAAAUUUACAAAACAAAAGGGAGAUAAUUGAAUCAAAAUACAUUUAGGAUUUUGCCCAAAAGGAGCUAUUCAAAUUACAGUCACAUAAGCUCAACUCGGCAACCAACAUGCAUAGCCUUUCCAAAAGGAUUCAAAUUCCUGUAAGGAAAACAAAAGGAAUAUAGUGAGUUUACGCCCAGUGAGACAUUACCACUCAAGCAACGAAGAUCAUAUAAGCAGAUAGCAUUUCAUUCCAAUUCAUCUAAUAAAAGUAAGCCAAGAGUACACAUCAAUAAAAUUGGUAAAAGGAUACAGACGGCUCUCAAGAGCCCCUUUCCUUGCUUGUAUACUUGAUCGGACUUCAUUGACCCUCCGUCAAUGUUUACGAGUAACCAACCGUAGGCUCCACUUUACUCCCAUUCCUUCCACCCAACAUACCCCUACCGGGCCCGAACUCCAUACAGUACAAAUUUGGUAAUAUUCGAGUAUACCGGAAUCAAGAGUCUCACUACUACAAGAUUUCAUAUAACAGUCCCCAUGGCUCGUCAACUUUCACGACCAAACCCUCGCUGGCUCGAUUCAAUCGACUACCAAUGGGGUUGAGCUCAGUAGUAACAGUAAAAGCCAUUGGAUCCUCAUCCAAACGACACCAAAUCCAGUUUUUCAUGUACAUUUCAAGUACCACAGUGAAACAGUAGACAGUCGUGUAUAAUACAAAAGGGGGUGAGAGAGAUCAAGUACACCCUCACUUUAAUCAGUUUCAACAGUGCAAAUAAGCCUUCAAGGCAUCAAGUUCAAUAUAAUAAAGCCACAUUGUAAACAAACAAGUGAGUAGUAUGCUCACCAAGCAAGCAAGUGGAAUUUCGUAAACUUCCACCCAAAGAGCGUCUUUACUCACCGUCACGCCCUAAAAUAUUCAAAUAAGCACAAUAAGACUCGAUUACAAGUCAUAAACCAAUUCCACAUACUACCAAAAUAGGGCUCCAUAAGAAUGUAUAAGCACUAGAGUAAACCAGGGAAAUCCGGAAAUGGAAUUAAGCUCUAAACCAUAAAAACAGUUUUUGACAUCAUUUUGCGGUUUUGGCACCAUUGGCACUACGAUUAUCGGAUGGAGGUACAAUAUACACUGUUUUGAAGCUAAGAGGUAGGGCUACAAUGUUGAAGAAGGCUACUCAGUCCAUUUCAUAGUGCAACUAGGUCAAAAAUUCAAUAUACUAAACCAGAACCGCAAAAAUAGGUUAACAAACCGCAUUUUGGUUAACGAACCGUAAUUCAGGUUACCUAAGUCCAAAUCAAGUGAUUCCAAAGCCAUCCGAAAGCUAAGACACUAGGCUACAUUUCUUAAGAAGGCGUCAAUAACCAAAUCAGAAGUAUUCCCAACCAAAUUAACCAAUUACAGAAGCAUUUAUCAAGUUCGGGUAGAAACAGGGCAGCAGGGGUAUUUCAGUCUUUUUAUAAGCUACGCUACUCCGAUUGGCCUGAAAUUUUGCAAGCAUCUCUAAAAUAUCAUUCCCUACAACUUUUAUGUUUUAAUCCAAGGCUAAUUCGGCCUCUAACUAUGAUGAAUAGUACCGGGUAGAAAGGGGGUAAUCGAAACCCUAACUUCCGAAAUUUCCGUUCAAUGCGGAAAUUUUUCGCAAAUAACUACAAUUGACACACUAAGGUUUCAUUCCAAAUCAUUUCCAACCAUCAUACAUAACCACACAACAUUAAUCAUAUGAAAACAGAAAAAUCAUGAAUAAUUAUAAAACUUCACCAAAUUCAACCAAAAUCAUGAUAUAAUCCACCAAAUCACCCCUUAGGCUACCACAAGUCAUUAAUUAGACAUCAUUAGAUAGAGGAGAGGGGUUCCUUCACUACUCACCUUAGUAACCAAAGGAAAAGAGCAACUUGGCACCUUAAUCCUCCAAACAACUCCACUAAUCACCUCACAACCACUCACUUAAGGGUUUUUAUGGAGUAAAUGCAAGAUUAAAUGGUUGGUUUGUUGGAUUUGAGCAAGAUUGGAGCAAGAAUUUGGAGAGAUUUUCCCUUUCUUUUUGUUUGAAGUGGCCGGCCACAAGAAGCUUGGAAAUGAAGAGUUUUGGUCAAUUUUUGAGUUUAUUUAGUAAAAUGGUAAAAAGGUGAAUAGUAGUCAAAAUGCAAGAUUUAAUCAUAUGGUGACACUUGUCACCCUAUUUAAUGCAUGCAUAUCACUUUGUUUCCUCUCACACCAAUCCACUUGGUAAUCUCUAAUUAUCUCUUAGCACCCGAUAAUUUAAACCCGGUAUCCAAAACUUAACCUAGUUGGUCGAAUUUUUUCAAACUUUUCGCACUAGGGGGUCCCACGUCCAGUAUACGCUCUUAAUUUCUCAAAAAUUAACCGAUACUAGAAAAAUCUUCUAAAAACUAUAUUUACUCAUAAAAAUUAUUUAGAAAAUUUCUAAUAAAGAAAAUGCAUAAAAGGCGUGCAAAUAAUUAAAAUAAGGCUUAGAAAUAAGAAAAUUUACGGGUUCUCACAACAGGCACUGAAAAAUCCUCUUUAACCACACGUGCCAAACACCGGUGCGAUGUGCGGGCAUUCCCCCUAGUAUUAGUUAUAACGCGGUCUUGGAUAUUUGCAUUAAAAUUUAGUGCAAGGUUGAGACUUUCCGAGUGAAACUAAGAUACAUAUUGGAAUUUAAGGGGUGUAGAUGAUGGAUUUUGAAAAUUAGGGUUGGGACAAUACUCAUGGAUGCUAGUUAAAAUUUUCACACGAAUAAUCCAAUUAAUUUAUCGUGUAUGAUGAUCUUCGUGGAGCUAUUAAACUAUAAAGAGUACAUGUAUGAUGUGUCAAGAAUAUUAGUUAGCUAUUCUAAUGAAAUUCUUACCUAAUCCCCAGUGGAAAGUCCAUUGCAUUAAUCUAGCUGGGGACUUUUAAGAUUGAUCACACCAGCAAGAAAUUAACUUGCUAUUCUCCUAAGUUGAUAAAAUGCUGAAAGUGUCUAUUUAAUCAAAGUCAUAAGUUUUUGAGGGGAAAAAAAAUGGAUCAUGAAGUUUUUAUAAUUUCUCAAACCUCAAAAGAGGUGACUGCAAUCAUUACAAACUCUAGAAGAGGCUUUUGAAAUUAUGCCAAACAUUUAUAAGCCAAGCUUGGUUGUAUUCAUUUUCAUAUUCGUUACCUUUUAUGCAAUUUUAGGCUAAGAAAUUGUGUAAGGCACGUGACUAGCACAUGUAUUUUACUAUUAGGUAUCGAAAAAGUCAGAAAAAUAGAAAGUAAAGUACGAAUAGCACGAUAUGUGUGUGUGGCACAUGCUGCUUAUUAAAAGUAUUGCGAAGUAUAAAAAUACAAGAAAAGUAGAAAUUGCACAUUUUACAUGAUACUAGGUAAUCAAAUUGUUUAAUCAGCAUAACAAAUGUGCUUAUAGCUUUUAAACUUUGAAGUAUACAAAUAAAAUUUUCAUGAAUAUCAUUUAGUUGUUUUUAAAAAUAUCCUCAGCUAGUCUUGACUUAAAUGUUCAGUAAAUUGCCCAAAUUUAAUUAACAAGUUCAAUCAAAUGACCUAGAGACUUAUAAAGUUGAGCAUACCAUCACCAAAUACUAGAAAUGUCUGUGUAACUAAAAUCAUAAAUUCUUGAAGGGAAAAAAGUCUACUUGGAUUGAUUAGAUGGAAGAAAUCUGCAUGAUAUUGGUUGCUAAAUUACUCGAGGGUUGAAGAAUAGGCUGCAUGAUUAAUUCAGUAUGGACCAUGACCCAUAACGAUUGCUGUUACAAUUGUUUGUAACAAUUUAUGUAUACCAACUUUGAUGGAACGUUAUGCCCAUUAAACAAUAUUCAAAAUGGUAAACAAUUGUCUACGCAAAAUCUAGUUUUACUAAUAGGGAUAUUGACCAAAUGAUCUUGAAGUUUUUAAUGCUAUUCUCAAGACUUUCAUUUUUCUUUUUUCAUUGUAAGAUUUAGAGUUUCCGUUGACCAAACAAAAAAAUCAAUGAUAUGACACACGUGCAUGGUACGUGUUUUUUUUAUUACUAAGUGCGUUAAAUCCAAUGAGUGUAGAAUUGAUAAUUUUACAUGACACUAAGUAAUCUACUUGUUUAAUCAUGCAUGUAUAAUAAUCUUUGCACAACUUUUAAGCUUUGAAGCAUACAAAUAUUAUUUCCAUAAAUAUCAUUCAGCUUACUAUUAUUUCCAUAAGUCCUCAUCUGCUGACCUUCUCCCCAUUCCCUUCUCCAAACUCUCCACCCUAUUUAAGUCGCCAGUUCCCCAUUGGAAAUAUUAACUCUACCAUUUUCCUCCUCUUCGGAUCUCUUGAAUCACGUAUGCUCCUCCACUGUUGUUGUCUUCCUCCUUCUUAACUCAUUAUUUGCUGCCAAUAUCUCUCUCUUAUUCAUGUGGUUAGCUUGUUGUGAUUUUGUUUUUGCUUUUUGUUUCCUGUUUUUUUUAAAGAUUUUUGAGUGCCCUUGAUAAAAGUGAAGUAUAGGCUAGUCUAGAAAUGCAUACCAGGAAAGAAAAAAAAAAAGAAAUGUACACAAGAAUUGUAUGUACAAUAGGAUUUUGAAUUUUGGUAUUAUGAAUCAAACAUCAGAAAUUUGAAACGUUAGAAUGUGAUAAAAGCAAUUUUUUGAAAAAAAAAAAAACUUUGAAUUGGGGGUAUUUAAUAGAAACUUCUGAUUAUGAGAUGGAAUCCUUGUUUGCGUUUUGCACCUUUUUUUUUGGGUAAUUUUUCUGCAAUAGCUUGUCAAUCUAAGAAAAAAUAUAUAUCUUUUGAAAAUUGAAGCUUGUUUUACUCUUUUAUGCUUUUAUAUUGACAAUCCAAAAAUAGUUAUUGUUGUGUGGGAAAAAACUAGGAACUCUUGUUAGGAGGCGUGAUGUGGCCCAUAUCUACAGGGUCUAUAUAGGGGUCAUACACCGGAUUCACUCAAGUAUUUGCACUUUACACAUGGGUCAAUGCAAUAAGUGAUUUGUUAAGUUUACCCUUUAAAUAUGGAACAUGUGAUAGAUUCGUGACUCAUUUCGAUCAAAUUGACCUGAAAAGAUGUUGGAGGUCUAAAUACGAGCACAUUUUAUAUGGUACGAACUAAAAAAUCGCUCAUUUUCAUUUUGAGAGAUAAAAUUUCACAUCAACGAUAUGUAAGGGACGAUUGAUACAAUUUUCCCCUUAUGAUAUGUAAUUUUUUACUUGUUGCCAACUUAUACUCAUUUAUCAAACUUCAAACCCAAAACCACGUGCAAUCAAAGUGAGGCCCUAUUUGGCAAACUGAGUUUUUGCCAAGUUUGCCUCUUGCCAGUUUUUUAACAACUUUAAUUACAGUAAUUUCAAAAAAUUUCUCAAAAUUUUUAAACUACACAUUUCAAAAUACCCAAAACAUAAAAAAAAAUCCUUCCUCUUUCUUCUUCCACCUCAACCCACCACUACCUCCACCGCUAGCCAAGACCGGUUGGCACUAGCCACCUCUUUUUUUUUCCUUUCUCUUCUCUUUCCCUCCCUUCUUCUCUCCCCCUCUUCUCCUCUCUCCCCCGCCUCUAGUGAGAUAAUCAGCAGUGACAAACAAUAUCUCGUGGACAUCAAAGUUGGUUGUUAGGAAAGGCCAUUUGCAGGAAGUUGCCACAAACAACUUCGCACAGGGAAUCGAUGCCAAUUUUCUCAUUGUGCAUCUGGGCUUGGUUUACCUGGUACUCGUUAAUGGUGAUGCCGACGAUGUUGGCACCGAAAUAAGCGGUGAUGGCACGCAUCGGGCCACUGACCCUACAGCCAGCAUCAAGAAUGCAGGCACCCUUCUUGACACCCAAGAGAUCGACAGCCCUUUCCUCGUGGAUUCUGGUGGCGUCCCGAUAGGACUUGUCGGGGAUGAAGGGAGAGAAAUGGAAGGAUUGACCCCAAACCCACUCGUAAAUGUCAGUGAUGAGGUUGUAGAAGGUGUCAACGAAAGCAGGGACUUUCUCGGCGGUCUUGAACUCCUUGGGGCGGCCAAAGAAGGACCAGUACUAUUUGUACUUGUCUUGGACUUUCUCUUUAUCGAUACAGCUGUCGGAGAGUUGGACGGUGUGCUUCCCUUUCUAUUCUGCAGAAAGGGAGAGGGAGAGGGAGAGGGGGAGAGAAAGAAAAAAGCAAAAAAAAAAUUUGUUUCUGCUAUAGCUUGUUUUGGCGGGGGAAGGGUGAGGUCGUAGGGCAGGGGGAAGGGAGAAGAAGAAGAGAGGAAAGAAAAGAAAAAAGAAAGAAAGAAAAAGAAAAAAAAGUUUUCUAUAUUAAAAAAUUUUCUACAAUUUCUACAGUAAGUUACAUUAAAAUUUUAGACAAAUACCCAAAAAAUUCAUUUGCCAAACAGAGGCUAAAUUCUUUCAUGUUUUAGUCCCAUAAUCCCAUUAAAGUCUUCCGUAAUCCCAUUAGAGUCUCCAAUGCAUAUGAUUCUCAUUACAGAAGGGUUCUAAAGAUUAACAAUUUGACCCAAAAAAAAUAUCCAUCUUUUCAUUGAGCCAAAGAAAGUUAAUGCACGAAUCAAGCACAACAGACAUGCAAAAUAUUUAGGGCUUUUAAUUUUAAUUUUUCCAUACUUAUUUUUUUCGACAUCAAAAAACAUGUUUUAGAGAAUCAAUCUAGGUUGUUUUCUAGCUAGAACUGCACCAAUCAAGAUGGACACGGGUACAGGAUGGAGGUACAAUAAAAGUGCACCAUGUUCAUGAACAACAUUGUGGGAUAUUCUAGAUUAUUAGCUUUGGAGCUAUCUUGGUUAUUUACGCCAAAAUUUAGUGCAAGAUUGAGACUUUUGUAAUGAAACUGAGAUUCUCACUGGAAUUUGAAAAACAGUGAAUUAGAGGUGGAUUGACUGUUCAAACAAAGAUGUAAGGGCAAAUGACUUUGCAAUUAGAAGUGUUGUAGUUGAAGAAGGUAAGCAGGAAUAAAUGAUGGAUUUUGAAGAUUCACACAAAUAAUCCAAUUAUUUUAUCGUGUAUAGUGAUCUUCGUGGAGCUAUUAAACUAUCAAGAGUACAUGUGUGAUGUUUCAAGAAUAUUAGUUAACUGUUCUAAUGAAAUGCUUACCUAAUCCCCAGUUGAAAGUCCAUUGCAGAAACCUAGCUGGGGACUUCUAAGAUUGAUCACACCAGCAAGAAAUUAACUUGCUAUUCUCCUAAGUUGAUGAAAUGCUGAAAGCUUCUAUUCAAUCAAAGUCAUAAGUUUUUUAGGGGAAAAAAAAAGUAUCAUAAGGUUUCUGUAAUUUUUCAAACCUUAACAGAGGUGAUUGCAAUCAUUACAAACUUUAGGAGAGACUUAUGAAAUUAUGCCAAACUUUCAUAAGCCAAGCUUGGUUUGUAUUCAUAUACGCCACCUUUUAUGCAAUUUUAGGCCAAGAAAUAGUGUAAGGCAUGUGACUAGCACAUGUAUUUUACUAUUAAGUAUAGAAAAAGUCAGAAAAAUAGAAAGCAAAGUAUGGAUAGUACGAUAGGUGUGCGUGGUACGUGCUGCUUAUUAGAAAGUAUUAUGAAGUAUAAAAAUGCAAAGAAAAUAAAAAUUGCACAUUUUACAUGAUGCUAGGUAAUCAAAUUGUUUAAUCAUGCAUAACAAAUGUGCUUAUAGCUUUUAAACUUUGAAGUAUACAAAUUAAUAUUUCCAUGUAUAUCAUUUAGUUGUUUUUAACAAAAUCCUCAGCUAGUCCCUUCUCUAGUUCGACCAACCUUCUCCACAACUCCCCAACCUAUUUAAGUCGCCAGUUUCCCAUUGGAAAUUAACUCCUCUUCGAAUCUCCUCAAUCGCUUCUCUUCUCCUCCUCCACUGUUGUUGCCUUCCUCCUUCUUUGCUCAUCAUUUGCUGCCAAUAUCUCUCUUUUAUUCAUGUGGUCAGCUUGUUGUGAUUUUGUUUUUUGUUUCUUUUUUGUUUUUAAGAUUUUUGAGUGCCCUUGAUAAAAGUGAAGUACAAACUAUUCUAGAAAUGUACACCAGGGGAAAAACAAAGAGAAAUGUACACAAGAAUUGUAUGUACAAUAGGAUUUUGAAUUUUGGUAUUUUGAAUCAAACACUAGAAUUUUGAAAGGUUAGAAUGUAAUAAAAGCAAUUUAAAAAAAAGUAAAAAAAAAACUUUGAAUUGGGGCUAUUUAAUAUAAACUUCUGAUUAUGAGAUGGAAUCCUUGUUUGCGUUUCGCACGAUAUUUUUUUGGGUAAUUUUGCUGCAAUAGUUUGUCAAUCCUAGAAAAAAAUCUAUCUUUUGGAAAAUUGAAGCUUGUUUUAUACUUUUACGUUUUGUUAUUGACAGUCCAAAAAUAGUUAUUAUUUGUCGGAAAAAACUAUUAACUCUUGUUAGGAGGAGUGAUGUGGCCCCAUAAAUAUUACAGGGUCUAUAUAAGGGUAAUAGAUUGGAUUCACUCAAGUAUUUGCACUUUGCAUAUGGGUCAAUGUAAUAAGUGAUUUGUCAAAUUUACCUUUUAAAUAUGGAGCAUAUGAUGAUGAAUUCACUCAAAUAUUUGCACUUUGCAUAUGGGUCAAUGCAAUAAAUGAUUUAUCAAGUUCACCCUUUAAAUUAGAGUUUCCAAUGCAUAUGAUUCUCAUUACAGAAGGGUUCUAAAGAUUAAUAAUAUUACCUAGAAAAAAAAUGUCCAUCUUUCCAUUGAGCCAAAGAAAGUUAUUGCACGAAUCAAGCAUGACGAACAUGGAAAAUAUUCAGGGCUUUUAAUUUUAAUUUUUCCAUACUUAUUUGUUUUCGACAUCAAAAAAACAUGUUUUAGAGAAUCAAUCUAGGUUGUUUUCUAGCUAGAACUGCACUAAUUAAGAUGGACACGGGUAUAGGAUGGUGUAAGUGCCCGGUGCAACCCAAUGAGUACAAACAAAUUCACAAUGAUGCACAAAGAUAUAUCAAAUUUAAGCACAAUAAAGAAAACUUAAUUAAAGAGAAAGGAUAAGAAAUGCAAACCAAAUAUCAAACCAAUAGCCUCUUCAAUUGAUGGCGAUGCUAACCAAGAUGUACAAGUGAAGGCUCACUCCUUCCUCACCCCAAACACUCUUUGGUUGAGCCAAGGAGUUUUACAACAAUACUAGUUAACCCUCAACAACCUACACUUGAAAGAUCACUCACCCAAUUAAGGACUAUUUUAUACAAAUGAGGCAACCUUCACCAAGGUUUUACCACUCCAAGUGAUAGGUUCACCUUCACCAAGGUUUUACUCCUCCUAGAGAAUAACCUUCACUUGAGCAACCUCACAACCCAACUUCCCCAACCCCUUAUACAACCAACAAAGAAUCUUUCUACUCAAAAAUCUCACUUGUAAGCUUGUAUAUUGUGUUGGCAAAAGUCUCUUGUCUUCUUGUGCUUUGGGGUAUUUAUAGAAGGUGAGAAAUGGCUUCAAAAGGCUCUCUAACGGUCAAAUAUUAAAUACUGUCAAAACUAGCCGUUGGCCUGUCGGACGUCCGAACCACCUGUCGGACGUCCGAACCCUGCGCCCAAACCACCUGUCGGACGUCCGAACCCUGCGUCCGAACGUCGUCAGAGAGUCAUCAAAUCUUCGCGAAAUUUCUCGAACGUCCGAUGCGAUCGAUGUGCGUCCGACAGAGUUUCCUUCUUGAUGUUCUUCAUCCUUUCGGACGUCCGAUAGCGUCCGACAUGAGUGCCCUGUUUUUGCUUCUUCUUUUAUGCCACAAGAAUCUGUUCUAACAAAUUACUCACCUAAAAACAUUAGCCCAAAUCUACAUAUUGGUUUGUUAAUCAUCAAAACCAAGGAUUGAUCGACCAAGGUCAACAGAUGGAGGUACAAUAAAAGUGCAUCAUGUUCAUGAACAACAUAGUGGGAUAUUCUAGAUUAUUAGCUUUGGAGCUAUCUUGGUUAUUUACACCAAAAUUUAGUCCAAGAUUGAGACUUCCUGAAUGAAACUGAGAUUCUCAUUGGAAUUUAAAAUGCAGUGAAUUAGAGGUGGAUUGGCUGUUCAAACUGAGAUGUUAGGGCCAAUGACUUUGCAACUAGAAGUGUUGUAGCAGAAGAAGGUAAAAGAGGCAUAAAUGAUGGAUUUUGAAAAUUAGGGUUGGGACGGUACUCAUGGUUACUAGUCAAAAUUUUCACACAAAUAAUCCAAUUAUUUUAUCGUGUAUAAUGAUCUUCGUGGAGCUUUUAAACUAUGAAGAGUACAUGUAUGAUGAUGUUUCAAGAAUAUUAGUUAACUAUUCUAAUGAAAUUCUUACCUAAUUCCCAGUCGAAAGUCCAUUGCACAAACCUAUAUCUAGGGACUUCCAAGAUUGAUCACACCAGCAAGAAAUUAACUUGCUAUUCUCCUAAGUUGAUGAAAUGCUGAUAGUGUCUAUUUAAUCGAAGGCAUAAGUUUUUUGAGGGGAAAAAUUGGAUCAUGAGUUGGCAUUAGCUGAAUUAACAUGCAACAAAAUUCUUCACAUGUUGCCCAAAACAUAAAACCCUCCUGCUCAGGGUUGAUAACCCCUGGAAGAGGAAAUUGAGAACAAUUUUGUGUUACAUUGCUAGAUCUGGAUUUGCUCCAGUGGAAAUUUGAUCUUGAUCGUCAUGAAUGGCUUCCAUUUUUACAUCUACAUCAUCUUCAAAGAAGAAGCAAGAUCUUUCUUGAUUUGGUACUGAAACCCCACAUCACUACAAGAAAAUUAUUCAUCAGUGACAACACAAAGUCAUCACAGAACAUACAAAUAUCGUCACAAAUACCUUUUAUUGACGAUUUUUUGAUCGUCACAAAGUCGUCACUAAAUCCCCGUCGGUAAAAGUAAACAGUGAUGACCUAAAAUAUCGUCACUAAAUAGUUCUCAUUAGUGAUGACUUUAAGUAGAGUAUUUUUGACAAAAGAUCAAGUCGUCAAUAAAACACUUCUAGAUUGUCGUCACUAAUGACAACUAUUUAGUGACGACCUGAAAUGUCGUCACUAAAUAGUUGUCAUUAGUGACAACAAUCCGGAAGUGUUUUAUUGACGAAUUGACCUUUUGUAAAAAAUGCUCUACUUAAGGUCGUCACUAAAAAGCACCGAAAGCCAUUGUAUAUAGCUAUUUUACUGACAACAAUUGUCAUCACAAAUGUAGCUUAGAUUUAGUGACAGUCUCUGUUGUGACAAGGAGUUUUUAUUUUCUAUUUUGUGACAACUUUUUUUUGUCAUUAGACAAUUUCUCAAUAGCUUAAUAGUCAUAAUUUGGCCUGUAAUCAUUGCUAAAUCAUUGAUUUUAAACAAAUCAUACAAAUAAACAUGAACGAUUGAUAACCAAAAGUAUUUGUAUUAGAUUACAUGGUAAUAAUAUAGCAUUCUCAAAUGCCAAAUUCAAGUGUACAUUACCCAACUAAUGCCUACAAAAAUAACAUUUGUCCAAAAUAUCACUUGUACAUAAGGUACAUUUACCAAAGCAAUCACAGUUUAAGAAAUUGAAGAACAUCUAAAUGAACCACUCCAUGAGCAAAAGGCAAUUUUGUCUUCAACAUUCUUCAACCAUAACCAUAGAUAUCUUCCAAAAGCUAGUAUGAAUAGCAUUUAUCUGUCAUAAAAGAGUAAAAGAAGUAGGUAAGGGGAGGAGUACAAUAAUAAAGAACAAGUAAUGAGACUUAGAUUAUUAAGACAAAAAUUACAAUUCAUUAAGAAUCUCUCCACAUCCUAGCCAGGAAGCCAAAUGUAUUUGAGAGCAGCAGCAAUCUUCGACUCUGUGAUCGAAUGCUCUAUCGCUGUAAGAAUGUCUAUCGGGAAGAUUUUAGAAAUUUAAACAUCUCUUCAGCUAAAGCAUCUAUGAUCUUUUUUUUUUUUUUUUGGUAGGAGGCUGUUUGCCUAUGUACGUUGCUUCUAACAUGCUGCCUUUAUCUUUCCUCUAGACCAUUGCAUUAUCUGACUUUGCCAAAAUCUCAAAAUUUAACUAUAGCUUAAUCUUUUCCUUCCUAUUCUUUUCUUCAGCUAUCAUUUUAAAAAGAUUUUCCGGGUAUUAUUUUCCAGUUUCUCCAAUAUAUGAUCUUCAAAGGUCCCGAAACAUUUAUCAUUUUGAGAUAUCAUCAAAUCUUUCUUGUAAUUUCACGCAGAGUUGGUGAUUUUAAACCACUUUUCUAGAGGAAGAAUAUUUUACUUAUACGGUUGAAUGUAUGGUUUAUCAGUCAUCUUUCCUUUGUUCAUCUAAAUAUCUCCUCAAUUUGACUUUCACCGAAGUGCAACUGUAUUUGUUUGCAAGGUGUAUAUGUCCCUGAGGUUAAGAACCGUCAAUCCAGAAGAGGAGACCGGAGAAAUUUAGAGGAGACCGGAGAGCACUAUCCCAAAAACUACCAGACGUGUGUGAACUUCAUUCGUCUAAUUUCGACUGCAUUCUGGCUAAUUGGUAGGUUUGAUAACCAAAUCUCACACUCUACGUUGACUUCUGGCCACUUCUAAAUAGACAAAUACUUAUUUCCAGCUCCUCUUGGAAAAGGUCAAGGUCCAGGUACAGAAGAUCCAGAAGAGGGAAAAAUGGAAGGUCAAGGUCUCUACUAUGCCUUUAGUUAAUUCCUGCAGUUUUCAAAUUGUUUUGGUAAAUGAAAGAAUCUAGACUUCAUCAAAUGCAGAACAUCGAGAAAAGUAACACUUAAAAAUUUUGAAUCAUGGAAGAAAAUAGCACAGUAUAACAACAAAAGUUAACAGAAAACCAGUGCAAGCUCAUUACUCGUGGUAUUAAUUAUCUGGAAAACCAGUGCCAGACAAGUGUGAACCUCAUUCAUCUACCUUGGGCUGCAUUCCGGAUAAUUGGUAAGUUUGAUGGCCACAUCUUACGCUCUAAUGCAACUUCUAUCCACUUCUAAAUGGAGCAAUACUUGUUUCCAACUUCUCUUGGAAAAGAUUCUGAUUCGAGAGAAAAACCAGCAAGCACAGUAGACACAGAAAAUCCAAGAGAGAAAGGAAGAAUCUAGACUUAUUUCUGAAGUUUUUAAAAUGUUUGAACUUUUCUUCGAGCAAAAUUGUUUGAACUUGUUUUUGGUAAAAGAAUCUAGACUUCAUCAAAUAGAUUUUGAAUUGGAAGAAAAUAGCAUGGUAUAAAAACAAAGCCUUACAGAAUUUGAUUUGGAAGAAAAUAGCACAGUAUCAAAACAAAACCUUACAGAAUUCCAUUACUAUAUCACUACCCGUGGUAUUAAUUAUCCGGAUAACUAACUACCAGACAAGUGGAAAAUUCCUUCAUCUAGCUUGGACUGUAAUCAGGAUAAUAGGUACGUUUGAUAACCACAUCUCACACUCUACUUUAACUUCUGACAACUUCUUAAUGGAGCAAUACUUGUUUCCAGCUUCUCGUGGAGAAGAUUCUGAUUCCAGACAACCAGGCAGUACAGAAGACAGAGAAAUUCCAAUAGAGGGAAAUCAAGGUCUCUACUACGCCUUUACUGAUUUCCUGCAGUUUUGGAAUUGGUUGAACUUGCUUUUGGUUAACAAAUCUAAACUUUACGACAUGCAGAACAUGGAGGGAAAUAAAUUUUGAAUAAUGGAAGAAAUAAGUACAGGAUAACAACAAAAAGUAACAGAAAACCAUUACAACCUCGUAGCAUCAGUAGCCUAAUGGUUGACAAUUCACAGUGAUACACGGCAUAGGGAAUAUUUUCUGAGGCACAACUUCUGCAUGCCUUGUUCUAUGCAAUGCGAUCAGCUAGCCGAUUUCUGCACAAAAAUAUCAUGCUAAGAACUUCUAAAUUACUAAGAUGCUAGAUGCAUACCACAGUAACAGUAAUCACGGAGUUCAACACCCUUAUGAGUUGCUUGUCUAAUAUAUUUUACCUCUGUUAUGCUUAACUACUGAAGGAUCUGCAUCAGUGCAUCUGGUACUUACUUUCAAAAAGGAAAACAUUAUGUACUCAUUUGUGGCCACUAGGGUAUCUACAGAAGGGUGCGAACUGUGAAGAUGGUAUAGACUGGUUUGCUCUGUCAGCCUUGUGUCCUCUCCAAUUGUUUAAAUUCAUUGCAGCUCAACUUACAGGAUGCAUUAUCUUCUGGAGAGCCAUUAAAUAAAAUAAAACUUUUGCAAUUUAGCCACUAUAUAUCAAAUGAAACUAUUAACAUGUGAAUUGGUCACAUACUCUCGUGUUUAAAAUUAUUUUGAAAAAAUAGAGGUGUAAUUAUGUAAAGAGGGAAGAUAUAUCACAAUACCAAAGAGAUUCAUUGAAACAAAAAUAUACUGUAGAGAAUUGUUAUAACAGCUAAUGCUUCUACAAAGGAGUCCUUGUACUUUCAGGGAUGCUGUGUUGCUGCAACCUAAGGGUUUAUUUUGCCAUUUUGAUUUAAAAUCAUUCUAAAACAUUAAGCUAGCAAAAGGGGAGUCUGGUAUUUAUGCCCAUAUGAAUUGACAUAAUUCUUUUAACUUCAGAAUCAAGGGCUAAUGUUUUUCUUUUGCUUUUCACGUCUCCUAGAUGACCCAGUUCUCCUUGAAUCUUUGUCUCAGGUUGACAUGAUUUUAAACAAGUUCACUUUUUUCUUCAUGAAUUACUCAUUUCAUCUGAGCCACUUGCCUGAAAGAUAUCAGGGAUCUCAAGAACUCAUCCAUCUUUACACAGGAGGUACCAGCCCUCUUUGAUUUUAAUACUCAAAAGCAUAAUUUCUGUGGAAGUAUUGAACAAUAUGACCUUCACAUUUAAUACUCAAAAGCUAAUGGAAGUUCCCAACAAACAUGUAUAAAUAUAGCUUCUCAAGAAAGGAGGUCUCCAAAUAGGCAGCAUCUGCUUACAACUAGAUAAUUGUCGCGCAAGAUUUAACAAUCUUAUGCUUGUUAAAUGAUACAAAUGCUAUACAACACACUAAAUGAUGUGCUAUGUCGUAAUUUUAGCUCCCUGCUACUCUUGAACAGUUUUUGUUCUUAUCAAGGCUAUGCAUAGUUUAUAUGGAAGAUACACCACAACCACAUUUUACCAUCCCAUUGUAACAAGCAAACCAAGUACAAAAAUUGCUCUAGAAUUUUCUCUUGCCACAAGCAAUAGGAUAACACACUGCUUUUUACCAUCUCAAACAUCAGUUAUUUGCAGAAUAAACACAGUGAACAAGUUGAUUGGCACAAACAGCUCAUAUCAUCUAGAUAACGAGUAUCAACUUAGAAUAGUUUUUAAUGAAGGUAACACUUCUCCUACCAACCAGACAUCACAGAUAAAGUAGAUCUUUGUGUGGCUCAAUUUAGUGACAGCUAAAGUUAUAAAACUCACAAGAUCAUGUAGUUAACAUCAUAUGCUUUAUAAGAUUAGACAUCAAUAGUAACAUUAGGUAUCAAUCAGCUAGAAGUCUGAACAUUGACCCCACCAAUAAUAAGACCCUUGCAUAGGAAAAUCAACUCGAAACUUCUUUAGCAUAACCCAAACCACCCCUGCAGCAUAUGCAGUAAAAUAGUCAUGCUCAUCAAUUGUCUUCAAAACACUAUAGGAUUAUUAGUUUUUAUGAGCAUUUCUUAAAAAAACUAAUUGGAAUACAUGAACCUUUUUGUUUCGGCUCCAUUUUGGUAGUGAAUGUGAAGAUUAAUACCUAAUGGACAAAUAUUUACCAUACAUGGUCAUCCCUAUGUCCCACAGUUGCCAAUGCUAUGCAGAAUCAGUUUCCCCAUCAUACAAGUCACACAUAAGCAUGUCCAAAUGCUUUUCCAACUUUAGAUAUUAAGUAGGGAAAGAAAGCAUGUACAAAGGGAGAAAUCACCAUCACGCUGCUCUGCUAAGAUAAAAAUAUAUAAUGUUUUAUGGUAACCAAAAUUCUUGAGGAUAAUAACAUGCUUCAAUCAACACAGAUGCCCAUGCCAAUAAUGAGUAUGCUUCAUACAUACCCUUGGACCACAUUACAAAGCUUCAGUCAAACUGAAACUAAGAAAACUUGGUAGUCAUAAGGAACAUUAUCACUCAAAAUCUCAUCCAAUACUCAAAGUUCAUUCAAAAUUCAGAAUUGGGCAGGCUCCUAAGGAACAUUAGUUACACUAUAGAAAGUAUAUUUUAAGGAAAAUAUGAGGAAAAAGAACAAAGUGGAUAUAUCUAUUUCAUGUACCAGAUUGUGAUAAAAAGAAACAACUCACUUUAACCGCUCAUUCAAAGCAAUUGCAUUUAACACAAGGAAAUGCUCACAAACACAUCAUUCAAUAGUCAGAUACAUUAUGGAACUUCUUUUACAUCCUUAUCUUCUGAAUUAACAAAACUCAACAAAGUUAUAAUCUAAUGCCUUCCAAAUUCCACAACAGAAAAGCAAAAAUCCAAAAGCAACAGAAAUUGGAAAAUAAUCAACAACUGAAAGUGGAUACUGUAAUAAUUUUUAAAACAAUUAGCACAGAGCAUUAUGCAGACUCCUUCAACGGUCAACAUUCAAAUACCACAACGUACAUCGCUUUAUUAUUCUCGUCUAUGAUUUUGAACAAUUCCCUCUUUUCCCCUACCUAUUCCUACCUUUGAGUCUUUGACCUCAAUAAUUUGGCAAACAAAAGAUAAAGCCAAAUAAACUCGAAUAGACAGCUUCUCAAACCUGAUCGAUGCACCAAUCAAGCGGACUCCUCUUCGAAAUAAUGGACAUCCAACUCAACGACCAAUCACGCUUGCAGAAAUGAACUUGAAACAAAUCAGCCACAGGUUAGAUGAAUCGAGUCGAGCGGGGGGAGUUCCAAGUACAACAUAGCUAUGAUAGCAUCUAAUAAUCAAGAGCUGCUAAAAGAUUUUGGGCAGAAACUUGCAAAAAAUAUUGUAGAAUAUUAGGGAUUUGGAAAAAUUGGGGAAAAUGUAUAGGAGAGAGAAAAAUGAACCUUUCCAAUGAAAACCUUGCCCUUUAAUGCUGGACAGCCAUGGUGAUGCUAGUGAGAAGCCAGAGAACGGAUUUGUUGUGUGGGUAAAAGUAUCAGGUGCCGUGCGGAAGCUCUGUUUUGUGCUCAGUGCAGAAGCUUGUUUGUUUCAGCUCAGUGAAAGUUUGUGUUGCUCAAGUGUUCCGUUGCUUUAACUCAGACCAAGUGUUCCGUUGCUUUUGUUUUCAGAAUGUGUUCCGCUGCUUUGGUCUUUGCUUUGCUUUGGAUAUUGUUUUUGUUGCGCGGCACUUUCACUAUGAUUUGAUCAAAAUUUUGACUUCACUCAUUUUCCCUCCAUUUGAUACCAAAAAUCAUGUUUUUUUCUGGAUUUGUAAUAUGGUUUGAACCAUAGAUUUUAGUGCUAUAGUAUUAUUCUUUAUUUUUUAGCAACAAAUAAAAAUUUUCAUCAACAUAUGUGGCAAAAUUUGUUAAUUUCAUAUAAUUGAAAAUGUACUUUUAUAAUUUGCUAAUAUUUUAUACUAAUUUCUUAUAAUUGCAGCACUAAAGAACAUCAUGUAAUUGAAAAUAAUUAAACUCAAAUUAUAUGGUUAUAACAUAGUUUCAAUAAAAAUAAUCAUUUUCCCAACAUUUGAGAUCAAUCAUCAUGCUUUUUUUUUAUUUUUAAUUUGGUUUGAAGCAUAGAUUUUAUUGCUAUAGUAUUAUUCUUUAUUUUUUAGUACAAAAACACAAAUUUUCAUCAAUAUAGGUGGCAAAAUUUGUUAAUUACAUAUAAGUGAAAAUAUACUUUUAUAAUUUACAAAUAUUUUAGCCCUGCAAUUUUUUAUAAUUGCAGCACUAAAGUACAUCAUUAAUUGAAAAUAACGAAAGUCAAAUUCUAUGGUUAUAACAGACUUUCAUUAAAAAUAAUCAAAUGCUAUUAAUAAGACAUUAUUGUUAAGUCAAAAUCAAAGAAAAUUUAGUGAUGACAUAAUGUUAUCACUAAUUUAUUCAAGAUUAUAAUGACAAGAAAAGUCGUCACUAAUUAAAUUGCUAGUUUUUAAUACUUUUGUGAAAAUAUUGAUAAUGGUUGAGAAAAUUUUGUUACAUUACUGCAAGUGAUAAAUGUACUUUUGUUCUUUUUCAAACAUUUAUUUUAAUGUUUAAUUUUGUUUAAAACUAUUGUACUAGUAUAGAUUUGCAAGACAAAACUUAAGUUCUCAAUAGUUAAAAAAUUCAUUACAGAGAAAACACAAAGUAGUAGUUGCAAAAUGUGUAUAAAUUACAGAUAUUUUAAUGUGUAUAAAUUACAGUUUAUUUUAAUGUUUAAUUUUGUUUGAAACUAUUUUACUAGUAUAGAUUUGCAAGACAUAGAUUUAUGGGUAAUUUCUUUUUUUUUUUUGCUUACACAUAUUUAAUUUAUGUUAAAUACAAAACCUACCAGUUUCCCUUUCAUAAAAAUAUUAGUGCAAUACUUUUUGAAUUUUACUUACAAACAUUUAUGUAUUUAAUAUAAAUUAAAUGAUUCAAAGUGAAAUGCCUAUAAAGAGCAGAAUAUUUGUUCAUGUAAUGGAGGAAAUCCACAAAGAGUUGGUACUUUAUGGGCCAUUUCUUUUUUUAAAAAAAUUUAAUUUAUGUUGAAAAGAUAACCUGCCAGUUUUCGUUUUGUAAGAAAUCAGUGUAACACUUUUUGAAUUUUACUUACAAACAUUUAUAAAUUUAUCAUAAAUUAUAUGUUUGAGAGUAAAAUGCCCAUAAAAAGUUGGUACUUUGAAUAGAUAAUGCUCAUUUGCCCAUAAACUACACUCCUUGAAGGCUAUUUUGUUAAUUACUUUGUAGUACUUUGUUAUUCCUUUGCUAAUACUACUUGGCAUGUAGUACAAAGGAUAAAUCUGGCAUAAAUUCUUAUUCCAUUGAUAAAAAACCUGCCUGCCUUAUAACUAUUGUAAUGAAAGAUAUAUCUUUAGAGUUUAUAACAAAUUAUUACUUAAGUUUGAGAAAAUUAUAAAAUAUUUAUGCAUAGUUUAUCAAGAUACCAUUCGUAAUUUUCUAAUAAAAAAAUAGGGGCUAAAUUGUAAAAGCUAGGGUGCCAUAAUAAAAAUAAUAAAAUUGGUGUAUUACAUAUGGGGGUUAAAUUGUAAAAGUUAGAGUGCCAUAGUAGAAUUAACGAAAUUGGUGAAUUACAUAUGGGGCUAAAUUACAAAAGUUAGGGAGUAAUAAUAGAAUUAAAGAAAUCGGUGUACUACAUAUGGGGCUAAAUUGUAAAAGUUAAGGUAUCAUAAUGGAAUUAAUGGAAUUUUUUACAACAUUUGGGGUUAAAUCGCAAAAGUUAGGGUGGUACAGUAGAAUUAAUGAAAGUGACUUAGAAAUAAGUACUUUAAACAGUGACGAUUAAUUCUUGUCACUAAAUCCGAAUCGGUAGAGUGACAGUGACGAUAUUAGAAGUUGUCACUAUAUAGAUCAUUUUAGUGACAACUUUUUCAAGGUCGUCACUGAAGACUUAGUUACUUUGAGCAAUUAUGACAACUCUCCUUGUCGUCACUAAACAACCACGUUUUGUGACGACUUUUGUCGUCACUAAACAAUGUUGUCACUAAUGACCAUAUUUCUUGCAGUGUAGUUUGUGACGAAAAUAACGGGUCGUCACUAAACAUUUAGUUGCUUUGAUGCAAUUGUGGCAACUUUAGGUGUCGCGACUAAAGAAGCUCCUUUUGUGACGACUUAUUGUCAUCACUACAAAAUGUUGUCACUAAUAACAUUUUUUUUAGUGAUCAGUGACGACAACAAAAAGUCGUCCGUAAAUAGGCCAAGCAAUAGUGAUGAUGUUCUUAAUGACGUCACUAUUGUGUGUUCUAAACACUCCCGCGCUCUUGCUAAAUCUUGGCGGGAAUUUACUAGUGACGACUUUUCUAAGUCGUCACAAAUGAGUUGGCUCCCAUUAGAGGUUUGUGACGAGUUAGAAAGUCGUCAAUAAAGGAUCCACUUUUGUGACAACUUUUUUUCGUCACAGAGAAAAGUUGUCACUGAUGACCAAUUUUCUUGUAGUGCAUGUAAUCCUAACUAAGAAGAAAUUCAUUGUUCAGACCUUAAGACACUUGUAAGUACCAACCUCCAGCUGACCCUGAGACUACCAUGGGGUGAAGGCCAGAAAUUUAUUCAUUCAAGAACAGAAAAGUGAAGAAAACAAGAGAGAAAAGAGGCCACUAACUAGUCACAAUAGCUUCUGCAGGGUGGUAGAUGAGGCUUAAUCUAUAUACAGUAACCACCAGUAAGCGUAAUAUGGAAAAACAGAAAAAGAAAGAAAAUUAAUUUGAGUAAGGAACUCAUAACAAGAGAAAACGGUGCUAUUCACAAAUAUGUGGACAAUUGAUGUCAUAUACUGUUCAGUAUUCUACUGAUUAACAAGUUACAGAUGUUAAAUGGAGAAGUAAUUCAAGAAAUAGUGAAACCACAGAUUGGCAAAUUAAGCAAUUAUUGACAGCUUUCAUAUAUAUACACAUAUAUAUAUGUGUGUGUGUGUACUGAAUCAACUCAUCUAGCUUCGUAGAAAACGAGACUCCCAACAAAAACAGGAUCUACAUGUCUGACCAAAGUAUCAAGGUUUCGAUGCUCUACAACGUUUCCCUUGCGAUCCCAAGUUGCCAAGAUAUCGCCUUCCAUCUGCACCACAAGUUUUUCAGUCUUUGUAAAUCCAAAUGCCUUCACCACUAAUUUGUCUGUAAAAAUUUUUGAUUUAGUCCAGGAAUCAGCCCCCUUUAUACUCCCUCAUCACCCCUAACUCGUAGCAUUUAAGUCUCCCAACCCCUCUAUCGCUAAAGUCGCCCAUCCUAAAAAGGGCAAGCAACCCCUUGAACACCAACAAGCUCCCAUCCUAGAAAGAGUUGCAGCUAACAGGCAACUCAAUCUCAGAAAACUCCCUCACGAGAGAUAUCAAAGCACAUGAUUGCAUCUACAAUCGAUUCAUUCGUCCUGCGAGCCAGCCAAAAAAUUGAUCCAUUGCAACAAACUGACCUUUGAUCGACUAUACACUUCACAUUCGCACUAAUCUUUCUCCAAUCGUCAGUAUUGACGCUAUUAACCUCCACUUCGGGUGCCACAUCCCCAACAUCCUCAAAUUCGCGUCUUUGAUGUAAUUAAUCCUCACAACCUUAAAGUUAUUAGUCAACUCAGAAAACCCAAAUCCCAGUUUUGAAUAGGCUCUCCGAAGAUCAUAUAUGGUAUCAGGAAAGCAAGAAACAGCUACGAACUUGAGUUUCCUGAUGGAUGGAUUGUACAAACAAAUCUUCCUCCCAGUAUAAGUCUUCUGAUCAGUGAAACAGAUUAUUCCAUUGCAAGAAUUCGCAAUAGAUAAAAGUUUAAGAAAAUUGGAAACUGUUGGAAUAUCAAAUUUUCCAUGCUGAACGAAUGUGCUAUCGCAAUAUAUGUUGGAAACUUUUCAAAAUUUGUAUGAUGUACGUACAUGUAAUUAAUGUAUAUUCAUAUUUUUUGGUACAUGUAUAGUAUUGUGAAUGUUUCUAUUAUGUACAUUCAUUUAUGAAUGUGUUCAUGUAUAUGGAAAUCCUUGAAUGAAAGGAUAGAUUCAUGUUUUGAUCUUAAAAUCAUGAGAUGCAUGAAUUAAAGUGCAUGAAUUUGUACACAAUACUUUGAAUCUAUUCAUACAGGUAUUUAAUGAGUUCUUUUGUUUCUCAAACAAUCUUCCUAUAUAAAGAGGUCAAGUAGAGAGUGAUUUGCUGCAGAAAAUCACUUUCCUACUAUUGUAUACUCUCUCGAAAGCACUCCUUAGUUCACAAAGGGUUUGUCUUGCUUUGUGCAAGAGUUUAAGACAAACAAAUUUCAUCUUAUCCUAAAAGAUAUUUGUUCAAGGUUAGUGCACGUUAUACCAGACAAAUAAAGCCUAAAGAAAAGUGAUGUCUAUCACGAUUUGAAGCCAAUUCUUGUCACCAUAUUUGCCAGUCCUUUACCAUUUACCCAACAAUAUAAUGAAUAUGAAUAUCGUUCAUCCUCUCUUAAAAUAGUAGGCAUGUGCAAGACAUGGCUAGAAUGGCUUUCACAGCUAGUGUAAGACUUAUUAGCAAGCGAGAUACAGUAAUUCUUGAGAUGUUCAUUAAUGAAAAUACGGCUUUUAAUCAGAGAGUACCCUGAUUUUGAGACUGUAGAGAAUCUUCCAAGAGCCUUCACCGGCAAUCUUGAGAGUAUCUCAAUUAUGAUUUCACGUGGGAAAAACUCAAAGAUGGAAGAGUUAACGUCAGAAUUUGACUGAUUAGGAAUACCCACGUGUCAAAUUCAAGAAUGUCUCCAAAGCUCAGAAAAGCAAAAUAAAAGCCCAAAAAAAAAGAGAAAAAAUGGUUUUGCAAAUUGAGUCCAAUUCAUACGUAUGAAGGUUGAGUGAAAGAUGAAGACAAUUCAGGUAGUGAGUCCCAUGCGAUAAGAGUUCACCUAAACGGGAAAAUUACGACGUCUAAUUAAUGUCUAAACAAUCGAUACAAACAUAGAAAUCCCCAAAAAUUAAGGUAGUGGACAUUAUUUAAUUUGUGGUUGGCAUAUUAUCCUCUGUCGUUUAGAAUAGGAUUUUUCCCAGAUAGAUUUGGAGUUCACCUACAAAAAAGGUACUGAAAAUCACAACAUGUUUAUUAGAUACAGUCCUAUUCAGAGGAGAAAACGAUGUCAGGAAAACGGAAUUGAGGUAGUUUCAAAGACAUGUGCUUGCUAACAUGGAAAUUAUAUCAUUGAUUGAUUCAUAAGUGGCUUUUCCUUUACAUAUAUAUUAUCUUCAAACAAGAACUAUAGAUAUUUCUUUGCUUCUGAUCCACAAAAGUUUUCCUAACUGAGAAGGAGUUUAAUAUCCAGAUCUUAGACAUUUGAAUUAUUCCUCCGAACAGCAAGACUGGGUGGAGAGAAUUCAUUCAAGAACAGAAAGAAUGAACGAAAAAAAAAUCCGUCCACAAUAAUAUCUGCAGGGUGGUAGAGGAUGCUAAUAUAGAUGCAGGCACAACACCAUUAGCGUUAAGCAUGAAACUUAUAACCCUCCUCCCCCGGCCCCGGCAAACCAAAAAAGGAAAACAAAAAGAAGAAAGAAGAAGAAAACUCAUAAAAGAGUACCAUGAUUUGGCGACUGUAGAGAAUCUCCCAAGAGCCUUCACUGGCAAUCUAGAGAUUAUGAUUUCAGUUGGGAAAAAGAAACAGAUAGAAGAAUUAACAUCAGGCGUCAGUUCAUUAGGAUUUUCCAUGUCCUAAAAUUCAAGAAUGAUGCUAAAGGUUAAAGAAUACCCCAAAAAAACAAAACCCUUUUAGAAGGAUGAGUCAUGACUCAUGAGUGAAAGAUUAAAAAUAAUAUAAGCAGUGCACAAUGAGAUCCUAGUCAGAUUCGGAAAAGGAUAUUCCCUAAUUUGAAGAAGAGUAAGGAUUGCUGUCCGAAUCAGGCUAGUAUUGAAUCUUGAGCUUAUGGCAGUAUGGAAACUUACUGCUGAAUGGCAUUCAGCUGCUGCUGAAUGGCAUUCAGCUGUUUGGAAACUCAUUGGAUUAGGUGAUGUGUCUUCUAUUUGGUUUAGCAUGCAAGAGCAAUAUUGCUAAAGGAAGGAGUAUGACAAACCUUAAAUAUUCGAUGCCAAUCACUUGACAUUUUCAGUUUAUAUUAUUAAUAAUAAGAUAUUAUCAAAUAGUGACUAUUAUAAAAAGAAUAGUUUUAAUACAGUACGUACCAGACCACGUGAUGCACAUGAAACUGCGAUACCUUUCCGAAAGAAUGGUGAUGAUCUUUUUAUCCAUCAUCUUUUGUAAGGAACAGUUUUCUUUAGUGCUUUGAGACAAAUUUAUUGCUUGAUUUGCUUAUGAGUUACUAAGAUCUCUCAAUUUUCUAAGACAAAAAUUAUCUUUUCUAAGAUCUCAAUUUUAGUUACCGGACUAAAGCUUCCUUUCUUGGUAAAUACGUUAGAGUUAUAUCACAGGGUUAGACAGGUAAUUUUCAGGCAAAUUUGAAUUAAGAAGGGCCUAAACCCACAUAUUUUUGGGCUUUGUUAGACCGGACUUAAGAGUGUGUUGUGGGCUGCCCGAGCUUACCCACUUGAAUAUGCAUAAAAAAACUUUGUCAGUGAAUUGGAAACUAUCCAACGCAAACUUGGGCUGUCACAUGAACUUCUUUUUUUUUCCGUGUGUAGUGGAAAGCAGUUUUUGAAUGGUUAUUUAUUUGGAAAAAUUUCCUUUAGCACUUUCCAUUGUUAAAAAUGUGGGUUAUUUUAAAAAUGUGUUUACAUUUUUUUUUGAAAACAUUCCCAUACAAUGAUGAAGUUUUUUUUUUUUUUUUUUAAAUUAAACGCAAUGGUGAAGUUAAACAUUGAUUCAUUACUUUUACCUAACAAAUUGAUAAAUUCUAAUGUUUUAUUCUCAUGGUUGUUUUUGUCUUAAUUUUCUUUUGAGAGAAUCCUAUGGUAAACUACUCUGUGGUAAAAGGUAAAUUACUCUCUGUUGUGUUAAAAAAAAAUCCAAAAAGAAAUGUUAGCGCCCUGUUUUUAUAUUUAUCAUUGUAUGGAUCAAAUCCAUUUUUGUCCAUAAAGUGGUAAACCAAAUGCUUGGACAGUUAGAUCCUUGUACACAGCAAAAACUGAAAAAGACAUCACCCAAAAUGUCAGAAUUAAUUAUCAAGUGCUUAGACAAUACACAUCUUUUCUUGAGAAAUCUGUCUGGCUAGUUAUUUGUUCAGAAUAUAAUUGAAAAGAAAAGCGUUGUUGAAUUUUUUUUUUUUUUAUAAAGAUAUUAUCAAAAACCAUAUCCAAAACAAGCAAAAAAGUUCCUAAAACAUCGAUUUUUUUUUUCACCACUUAUAUGCCUAGCAAUUAGCAAAUCAUUACAUUCUAAUAUUUUCUCCUUGAUAACCUUUUUUUUUAAAAUUUCUUUUGAGAGAUUAUAAAUAAGAGAUUUUGGACUUAAAAUCUUUUACUUAAAGAAAAAAAAGAAAGAAAAGCUAAGAAUGUAGCUUGAAUAGAGUAAGGUGCUUUGUCCCUCUGCACAGUAAAAACUAAAAAAGAAAUCACCCAAAGUAACAGAAUUAAUUACCUUCCCACUGCCCCUAAUAAUUUGCAAAAACGGUUGGGAUAAUUUCAGAAGCCUCCCUUGAGGUUUAUGAUAGUUUCACUACCCUCCCCUGAAGCUUUCAAAAUAUCAUUAACCUCCCUUAAAACUAAUGUUCUUGUAACAAAUUACCCCAAUUCAAAAAAUCAACAAUGAAAAAAUGAUUUCAAGAGCAAGAAGAAUAUUUCAUACCAAAAAUGCCCCUUAACCUAUUACUAGUUCGUUAUCAAAAGGAAGUAUUAGUUAAAAAUCGAUAAUAAAGACUAAACUCUGGCAUGAAUAUAACAGAAUUUAGCAACAAUGACUUUUUUUCAUAGUACUACAUAAAAUAGCAAAAUCAAAGUAUUGGAGAGGAAAACUUGUUAAUUUGGAAUCAAGAUUUAUGCGAAAAAUUCCUAAACUCUUAUAGCUAGUUUGGAAGCUGUGAUUUGAUGAGAAAAGAAAAGAAGGUAAUAGAAAAGACACUUUUUCUAGCAUUUGAGAGUUUUUGAAGGGGCAGAAAAAGAUGGAAAGCGUUUGAUUUGAACUGAUGAGCUCCUACUAUUAUGGUUGCCAAAGUUUUCUGCCCAAAUAUGGGCGGAAAGCAUCGGAAAAGUUGAGAAUGCCUAAUAAAUUUUUUCUAAAUACCAAAUUUGUCCUCAAAUGUGUAUUGAACAAAUUUUUAUUGCUAUAUAUAUAUAUUUAUAUAUAUCCAAAAUCAUCGCUUUUCCUAUCUUAACUCCUAAACAAUAUUAAAAUCUCUUCUCUUCCUUUCUUUUCUUUUCUUUCAUAACUUAACAUUUCCCAUCUUUUCUUUUCUAACCUAAACAUCCAAACUAGCUAUAUUAGUCUCAUAAUUUGAAAGAUUUUGAAAAGGAAUUGAACAAAACAAAGCAUGGCUUUUUUUAAGAAAAAAAAAAUCACAAUAGAUGGCUAAUGACAAAAAAUAUAGAAUAUGCUAAAAUAUGUUAUGUUUUUUGAAUUUUUUCUUUAACUUACGGGGUCCAUUAUUUCACACGAUUAACAAGAAAUUUCCAUCAUUUGUAAUUAAGAAAAACCAACUCCCAACCAACGAUUGGAUUAAUAAAAGGGUAUGAUUUGAAUGGAAAAACAAAUAAAUCAAAGUAGAAAUAAUUUUUUCUAACCAUCUUGUUUGGAUUACUUAUACAAAGAAAGAAAAGAAACACCAAAUAUUUUGGAAAAGAACGGAAAGAAUAGAUUAUGUGUAGUUACAUUUUAUCCAUAAUUUAAUAAAAUCUAAUUGUAAACAUAUUUUAAUACUUUACCCUCUUUUUGUAUAUUUUCAUAUGCAUCUUGUUAUUCUUAUGAAAAAUUUAUGAAAUAAUAAUAUUUAAAUAAGAAUUUUAAUCUUUUUUUACAAGAUAGAAAUUACAAGAACUACUAAAAUAUGGAAAAAGAAUUUUAAAAUGAUAACAAUUGUUGUUAUAAAAUUUGGUAUUCAAAAUUUUCAAUUUUUUUUUGUAUUCAAACUCAUGGUUAAUUUAGUACAAGUGACUAAAUUGGUCCUCUCUGUAUAAAUUCGUAAUUUUUCCUAAGUUGUAAGGAUAGUAAAGACAUUUGACCAUCCACAAGGUAAGCAUUGGGCUCCAAAUAACUUAUAGGGGAGGUAAGUAGUAUUUCUAAAACUUCAAGGAGGGCAGUGAAAUUCUCAGAAACCUCAGGUGAGGUUUCUGAAAUUAUCCCAAAACGGUUACGCAAAAACCUAUCAUCAAUCCCCUCAUAAAUCUCCCUACUUGUAGAUCACGGUAACCGCCAUCAUCUCCCACGUUCUCUCUCCCCUCUUCUCUCUCUCUCUCUCCCUCCCAUUCUCUCUCAAUAUCUAUCACUCUCCCAAGUCACAGCUGAUCCUGUUAGUUUGAUUAGGUUGUUGGUUAAGGUAAAAAAGCACAAAACAAGAAUCUUAGUAUCUGUGCUAUAAUUCCGUCUACUGCUAUUCAACAAACAAAAGACUGCUUGUUUAAGACAUUAGUGUACUUUCCUCAGGUUCGUCUCUUCCUCUCUCUCUCUCUCUCUCUCUCUCUCUCUCUCUCUCUCUCUCUCUCUCUCUCUCUCUCUCUCUCUCUCUCUCUCUCGAAUGUUUUGAGCAUCUUAUGCAGUCAAUGUUUUGAGCAUCUUAUGCACUCAUUACACACUAAUAGUAGAUUUUAUUGUGCCUUUUUUCUUUCUCGGGUCUUUUUAGUUUCCGUAUCUUUUCAUUGAACCAACUGUUUAGUCUGUCUUCUUCCCCUCGUCUCAUUAAAACCAUAUCAAAAAGUCUGCGCUAGCUGGUACUAUUCUUGUUCAUCAACCUCGGAUUUUGCUGUCGAAAUUCGCACUGACUAUUAUCAUUGUUUGUGUGUACUAGGAUUCGUGACUAAUGGCUUUGAGCUGCUAUUCCAACUGGGGAGAACUGGAACAACACCACGACUCAGAGAUGACUCUGCAGUUUGCUCAACCACCAGCAGCAGAGCUGUCUCCUGAGCUUCUUGGCUUCAACCACAUGAAUUUUGCCUUUUCAGACCCUUAUCUCGACCCUAUUCUUGAAUCCCAAGAUUUAGUUUACUCAGACAACUACACCUCUUUGCUUCCCCACUUUUCAUCUCCAUCUGAUGAAAACUCCAAUAGUUUAUAUUCCCUCGUCCCGGAAGUCUUUCCAGAACUCGAAUACCAGCCUUGCCACAGUGCCAAACGCCAAAAGAUUUUCGAGGGCUGCUACAAUAACUCGGAGGUGUUACCUUCAAGUUUUGGCAGCAGGUUCAUUCCCAAUCCACCAUUGCUUCAGGAGCUUUCGCCGCCCGAGAUUCUGUCUCCAUUUUCUGGAAGCUUAGCCAGUAAACCGCCAGUUUUUUGCAGUGGAAGUACAGGUGAGAUGACUGUGAAGAAGGCUAGUAAUGGAGGGACUUUGUCUUCUCAAAGCAUAGCUGCUAGACAGAGGAGAAGGAAGAUUACCGAGAAGACUCAAGAGCUUGGGAAGCUUAUUCCUGGUGGCCAGAAGAUGAACACUGCUGAAAUGUUCCAAGCUGCUUCAAAAUAUAUCAAGUUCUUGCAGGCUCAAGUUGGAAUUCUUGAAACCUUGGCUUCUGUUCAGGUAAUUCUACUUACUUCCUUUAUUGAGAUUCUUUUUCGUGCCAAACCUGUUAUUGUAAGUUUCAGGGCAUAGGAAAGGAUGGAAAGGAUGGAGAUGGUGGUUUUUUUUUUUAAAAUUUUUUUAUUUUAUUUUAAGCUGAUGGCUGGUGUCUUUUUACAGCCUUACCAAACAAAUCUUUGUAAAUUUGUUUUGCAGUAGAAAUUGCCCUUUGGGUACUUUCCAUAUUUACUAUCAUAGAUAGGAAAGAAAAGAUCUUAUUGGGCAAUUAAGGGACCUCCUUGCUCUAAGAGAUACCUUUUAUGUAAUUUGCAGAAACUUAAGAAUAACUUAAGACAUCUUUUCUCUUUCAAGUUUUAACGUGAAAAAAGAAAGAUUUGUUUAAUCUUUUGAGGAUGUUAUAAGCUAAUUAGAGGCAGAACUGCCUGUAUCUGACUCGUUUUCUCUCUAGUUCUUUAUUGUUGCAAAGUAUCGAUAUUCAGCUUAUAUGAGCAGAAGAAAUCUUGAAAUUUUUGGUAUUUCAGAAUACAGAUUCUAUGACUUUUGUAGAACUUGAUAAUGUAAAUGUUCUGGUAAUUGAUAUUCAGAUACUUGAAUACACGAAUCAUAUGUGUAACUCUGGCGAUAUAUGCUUGCAGGAAAAUGGGAAAUCUUUGCAGAACGAAGAACUUAAUCCUCUUCUUGGAUCUUCUUUGAUCCAAGAGAAAUUGUACUCAAUGGAGAUGUGUUUGGCUCCCCAAAAAUUUGUUCAAUCCCUUGCGGAGGAUAAUGGGGUUGAAUUGAACACUCAGGCCUUGAAUGACUGCAAAGAAUUGAUUGGGAUUGGCUGCUAAGAAGCACAUAUGAUGGUUUUGACUUCUACUGUUGUUUUGUCUGUUUGUUUUUUUAACCAAUAUUCAUUCCUUACUUUUGUAUUCUCACUAGAUCGAUGUAGGCUAAUCUUUAGGUUUUCUUUUCUUUCUCACGUUGCUAAUCUAAUUACCCUCUGAUCUGAUCUUUUACUUGUAAAUUCCUCCUUUACAAGGAAUAGAUUGAAGUUUCUUUUUUUUUUUUUUUGUUUCAAUCCAAUCUUUAAUUUGUCAUUUCGUUAUCUUUCAAUCAUGAGGACACUAAAUAGCCUUUAAUUGUGAACCAGUUAAUCGCAUUCAAUUCAGCAGCAAAAUCGUUACGCUUAUAAUUUUAUGCUUCUAAGUUGUCUAGGUGGGAAAAGUAUUUUCCUCCUCUUUUUUUUUUUUGAAUAAAAAUUAAGUUUAGGAGGAUUCAGUUCCGACUACCAUCACAAGUCAGUCAAGAUAUACUACAAAAUCGUAGGUCGCUCAUAAAGGAUUUUACAGAUCUCCUGCCAAUACAGUCGACAACAAGAUAAUCAAUCAAAUUGGUCUUUUUUCUUUGCAUAUUACAAAUUUGACAUGAUUCAUCAAAGAUAACCAAUCAAAUUGACAACUCAAUCAUAACAUUUUUUUUCUUUUUCUUUUAGGUCAAUCUCCAAUUCUUACACUAAUGCUUGGACCCCUAAGUCCUAAUCAUCUUCUAAUCUAUCUAUAGGAGUUUAAAGAUUUUAACCCUAGACCCCAGCCACGGUAUAACAUCUUAUUGAAUUGGCAAAAUUAAGGUUUGCCAUAUAUAUAGAGAAAUAUAAACCUUCCUAGCAAGUUUUUAAUGCUUCAUUUUUUUUAAAAAUUUUUUAAUGCUUCAUUUAAAUUAACUGAUAACUGCUCUAUAUUCCACCAAAUCGAAGAGUGUUGUUUUUUUUUUCACUGUGGCUGUAGAUUCGUACUCUAUUAUUCCAUGAAAAACCUCACUCUGAACUGCCAAAGUUGAAGUUCCCAUCAGAAUAUUCUUCCUAUUGUUGUAUCACACUAUCACUUCCAUGUUUUAGUAACAUAAUUUUAUUCUUAACCAUUUAUUUCUCAUUUGCUUACGUCCUUUCUGUUUAACCUUUCAGUAAAAGUUCUCUGUAAAUUUUCCACGACAAAAUAAUUAAUAAGUUCAGGAAGUGUAGUUCUUUUUUCUUUUUCAGAUAAAGUAUUUACUUUACAAUUGGCCUAUGUGAUGUGCCUUUUACGAUGGUACUAAAACUCUACUCCUUUAAUGGUAUAUGGAGGAAAUUAUUGUUACUUCUUUUGUUUUUCUUUUUUUUUUUUGGGGUAAAAGAUUAUUGUUACAUCUUGUGAUGAGUAUAACUUUGAGAAGCUUUAAAUUGUUUACAUGCUUUCAAGUCGUUAAAUUUUUCUAAAUUUGUGCUUCUAUAAAGUAAUUUCUUGCAAAGAAUUUUAAGGUACUAUUCAAUCAAUUAAUAUACAGAGAACAAUUAAUGGAAUGAAAUAAAUUUUGGUAACCAUGAAAUUUUUUUCCUUUUGUUAAAAAUAGAUUCCAAGCCUAACAAGAGAAUAUUUGGGCGUCGAAACAAAAAUAUUUACCAUGAUUUAGCUUGAGAGUCAAAUUAUGACAACUAAUUUUUGGACAAAAGAAUAAACAAAUCCGCCCUUAAAAAUACUUGAUUGCCCCAUCUGCAAACAAUUGUGGAGUAAAUUCAUAAAAUUUCUAACAACAUGAGUUUACACAAUAAAAUCCUACUAAUGGUGUCUUAGAUGGAAUAACUCAUCCAAAAUUCAUAGACUUGCAUAUUAUUGCAGUUUAUAAUAUCAUUAUUAACAAAAACUGCAUUAACCAAUUAUUCAUAAUCCAUAACACAAAUAAAAAAAAUAAAAUAGAUAAUCCAUACACGACCAAAAUAAAAAUCCAUUUUUUUAAGAAUUUGUAUAGAAAAAUGUACCGUAAUGAUUUGAUGUAGGUAAAGUAAAAAGAUGAAUGAAAAAUAUGAUCACGAAAAACGUAAAUUUUUUUUUAACAGAAGCCACAAUGCAAACAAAGAAUAUAAGAUUCAUAUGCCCAAAAAGGGAGAAAGAGGCCCAACUUAGAAAUUGUACUCCGAGUAGCUUCAUCUUUUCACAACCCUAAAACCCUAAACCCCUAAAGUCCCGGAACUGCCGGCGGUAAAAUCUCUCCGGCGAGCGUGUUUCUCAAAACCACGCUUUCUCUUAAAAGAAAAAUCCCACAGCUCCACGUGUCCCUCUCUUGUUCAUUCAAAAGCAAAUGGCCGAUCAAGCAACUACAUCUUGGUGGAAGGAGCUCCCACUUGUAUUCAUCAGCCCACCAACGGCGUCGUUUGAUGACCUCCCUCGAGACCUAGCCAUCAACAUCCUCUCAAGACUCCCCGUCAAAACCCUAGCCCAGUCAACAGCCGUCUCCCAACACUGGUAUUCUCUGAUCAAGAACCCUAUUUUUGUCCGAGCCCACUUCACUCGUUCAAUUUCUCAGCUAGCUGCUACUAGUACUGACCACUGCAUUUUAGUCACUCCUAAGGAAUUUUCUGAUGAACCCACUUUGUCGAUUUUCGCCGACAACGAAAAUUAUGACUUGUGCUGUAAAGUUAAAAUCCCAUUUCAGACCUGGUCGAAAACGGUACAAAUUGUGGGUUCCUGUAAUGGGCUUGUCUGUUUGACUGAUGAGGUUGAUUGUGCUUAUGGCGGGGAUGUUUACUUGUUUAAUCCUGUUCUUAGGAAGUAUAAGAUCCUGAAAUCUGAGUUUUCUUGUUAUUGUGAUUGGAUGGAAAAGAAUUUUUCAACUUAUCCUGUUUUAGGAUUCGGGUUUUGUGAGCGAGACAAUGAUUUCAGGGUUGUCAGGAUUCUUUAUUCAGCUCAUCAUGUUGGGGAGAAAUUGAGGCCUAGGGUGGAGGUUUAUAGUUUGAAGAGUGGGAAAUGGAGGAGUGUUAGGGCUAAAAUUGAUCAUAUGGUAUUUCGGGGUUGUAAUGCUUUUGUUGAUGGGUGUAUAUAUUGGCUUGCUGCUGAGAAGGCUCAUGGUCGAUUGUCGUGGGUGAUGUGGUUUGAUUUGGAGGAUGAGGUGUUUCAUGACGUGGAAAUGCCAGAGAACUAUGACAAGGAUACUUGGGACGAUAAUUUGCCAGUUAAUAUCAUGCGAUGGAAUGGUGAGGUUGCCAUAGGUGCUAUUGAACCAGGUGGGACAGGGAAUUAUGUCAAAUGUGGCUUUUGGGUUUUGAAGAAGGAUGAUGGUGGGGAGUUGCUUUGGGAGAGGAAGUUUAAGCUAGUUUUGAAGGAUGCACUGUGCGGGAUUCCAGUUGGAUUUACUUGGUGUGGGAAAGUUGUGAUUGAUGCUCUUGAUAGAGAAGACCAUUCACGUAGAAAGGCGAAUGCUGCACUUACCAAGACAGUUGCACUUGACCUCAAUGACAUGAAAUUCAAGGAUCUUGCAGUGGAUGGGCCUCACACAGUGGCUACUUGUUUCGAGGAAAGCCUUGUUCUGUUCUUGGACUAAAGUUAUCCUCUUGCCUCCCCUGUAGGUAUUUUUAUCAUCAAACCUUGAUUUUUUCCUGAUACUCCAUUAUCAUACGAAGUUUCUGAUUAAGCACCUGCACAAUGAAUCUUGAUUGUUAGUUGAAAAUUUUAUCCUAUACGUCGAUGCAGAUGUGUGUUUCUCAUGGUUACUACACUGGUAGCAUUUUGGGAAGUUUGUAAAAACAAGAGCUUUGUUUUCGAUUACCCAAAACACGAAAACGUGUUCUUGAAUGAGGAUCGAUUGAAUUUACUCUUGUAGGCACAGUGCAAUGUACAGUCGUGCAUGCUAUAUGUAUUCCAGGUUCUGUUAAACUAUUUUGGUACAAAUAAUUCAACCAAUUUAUGGUUGGAUAUAUAAAAAAUUGAUUGUCGGGUUCAGCUCAAUUAGUAGUCCUGUGGUUGUUUGCACUGAAUCGAAUGGACAACCUAAUUCAUAUGUGGGUUCUGAAGGAUUUUUUCUAGCUCUGGAGCUUGACAUUUUCAACUGUCUAAGCAUCCAUAAUUGGAUCACUAGUCGCCAUGUCACAUGUUGAUUUUGUGGAGAUACCUGUCUUACUUUUAUUGUAUUAACAAUGGGGAGAUAUUUUUUUACUUGAGAGGGGUUUGUAUGCUUGAGAGUGCUUGAAAUCCUCAGGAUGAUUGUGAACUAGCAGCUUAUGCAAUCUGAUUUUCUUUCUAAAAGUUUGCAUUCGCAGAAAGCAGUAGUGUCCUGUUAAAAACGCAAAAUGUGGAAAGGAUUAAAAACUUGGUCAUUAAAAAUUGGGUUUUCUCAUAUCAUUGCCCUUUUGGCUGGUCAUUUCUCUCCUGCAGCACAUACGGUUCUUAGCAAAAAGAUUCAUGGAUCAGAAUUAUAUGUUCUUUGUUCCCCUCUUUUAUUCAGAUUAUGCAAUCUGCCUUUAUUUCUAAAACUUUGCAUUCACAGAAAGCUGAAAUGACAUGUUAAAAAUGCUAAAUGUGGAAAGGAUUGAAAACUUGGUCAUUAAAGUUUUGGUUUCUCCAUAUUGUUGCCUUUUUGGCAGGUCUUUUGUCUCCUGCAGCACAUAUGAUUCUUAGCAAAGAAUCAUGGAUCGAAAUUUUUAAGAGCUUUGUUCCCCUUUUAAAUCAGAGUAUAAGUCACAUAGACCAAUUGUUUUUCUGGCAUGGUUGACUUUUUUAUGUGCCACAAAAUUUGCUCUUCGUUGACAGCAGUGCUUCACCACUGCACUUUCAUUAACCGUAAUGCUUCAAUACUGCACUUUGAAUCUGUGGAUUGUCCGUCAUGAUUUGACAGGGAAUUUGAUUGAAGCAAAGCUCAUGGAUUGUUUUAGAUCUUACACAUUUAUUUAUAGUUUUGCUAGAAAUUGAGAGUCAACUGUAUGUUAUAAUCAUAGUUUUUCUCAAGAAAUAGUUGGUUGUAUUCUUGCUCAGGUCUUUUUUCCUUUCCCAUUCUCUGAACUAGCUUAACAACUGGACCUGCUUUUCUGAUGCUUGGUUCCCCAGAGUACAUGUCAGAUCGUUAAUUGUGAAUAUAGGUGUAAUAUAGUCAACUUGUUGUGAGAUAUAGCAGGCUUUGCUUGUAUCCAUUUUGGAAAACAAGUGGUGGACAUCCUCAAUGGGAUUUAGUCAUCUGAAUGUCUGUUUCUUGAGUCAUGGUACUUAAAAUUUGCAAUCAUUUGGUGGAAUACUGAAAUGCAUCUCUUACUGAAGAUCUUCAGUUGCCUAUGUAUUGGAGCCGUAGUCUGUUUUGCUCGAAGUAAACUAACUUGCUUUGUGUUCUUUUGGUACUUUGUACAGGCAAGGACAAGAUUAAGUGAUCUUUGCUUGCUGAUGAUUAUGGAAUUUCCAGACUGAUCCCAAACUGUGUAGUUGAAGUAUGUAAAGUGAGUAGAGUGACUGUCUUGUGACUGCUGAUUAAGAUAUUUGCUGCAUGAUCAGAUGUUUACAUCUGACUUACUAGGAUGAAUUGUUGAGGAGGUGUAUCUUCCUGAUCAGAUGGCCACAGCUAACUUAUUUGGUGGUUUAUCGAUUAUGCUGCUCUAGAUUAUCAGGCGUUAAAUCUUGUUCUAAUCUUUUGUCUACACGUAAUCACCCACAAACAAAACUUGAUAACAUGAGAAUGGCCAAGGUCUACAUUUGUUCAGCACCCAUCACUCAGGAUGUCGUUCCUGAUGUAUUACAGGGAGAAAUGACCAGCGUUUCUCAGUCAUCCAGAGUCGUCCAAAGCCCAGCAGUUGUUGGCAUUAUGCCUUAAACAAGGGGGAGAGGUCGAACCUCUUAAACAGAAACAAAACAUGGAGUUGCAGCCCCUAUAAUAUCUGCUCUAAGCAAUUCCCUGAGCUCAUGUGGCGGUUCUGUGAUGAUCUGCAUCCCAGGAUCCUUGUUGACACUGGUUUUGGCCAGCCAAUCUGCACAUUUAUUUCCUUCUCUCCAAAUGUGUUGUAGCCGGCACUCCCAAUCCCUGUUUCCAUAAUUCCUAAUCUGACAUAUCAGAUUGUGGAAAGGUGAAUCCUGUCCUGCUCCUUGGAUUAGGUCCAGUGCUGCCUUCGAAUCCGUUUCCAGGAUCACUCUCCUUUCUCCUGAGCUCCACGCCAUUUCCAUCCCUUUUGAGUACUCCCCAUCGCUCUACUGUCGUAUUGUCUGUUAGCCCAAUAUUCACUGCGAAGCCAGCUUUCCAUCUUUCCCAGCAUUAUGCCUUUCGUUGGCUUAGUCUCUAACCAAAUUCUCAUAUUCAUCUCCUAUUUUCCAACCAGCUCUGGGGACAAGGUUAUUGCGCUGAACUGAAUUCCCCAUGAGAAAGAAGUACCAGAUGAUUUCCGGUAAGUUCUCAAGUGUAUUUUGCAAAUGAGCUUCUUUAUCAAGACGCAAACAGCCUUGGUUGCCUGCCUAAACCGUCUCGCUGGAAUGAGAUCAUUACAUUUUUUUUCGGAUCACUGCAUACCUUGACUAAGGCUAAUCACUAGUUGUAAGUUGUAACUGCAUAAUCAUGAGUGUCGUGAAGAGGAUCGGCUUAAAGCAGCAAAAGAAGUGGGCCACAAUGAAAUGUUAAUUGGGUACUGCGCAGCAUUAAAAAUAUGAAAAAUCGUUCAACAUGUCAUUCACUUUUGAAAUGUUAAUCUUACACCUCUUGUAGAUUUAAAUUUGCAAAAUUUGGCCUCAACUUAAGUUUUCAACUAAUUUUUAAUAGGGUUAUUAUCACUUUAUCCCCUUAAACUAUAUCACUACUAUCAGUUUACCCCAUAACGUUAUUUUUUAAUCACUUUACCCCCAUAAGUAAUUCAACUCAACAUGUUAAGAAAUUUUGGACAAAAUACCCUUUUAUUUUAUAGUAUUACUACAUUGUUAUUAUCGCUUUCUUCGUUUGGAUUAUAGUGAUACAAUCGCUUUAGUUCCUAACACUAUUUUCUAGACAUUUUACCUUAUUAUUAAUCUAACUAGUAUGGUCAAAAAAUUUUAAAUAUAUUUACCCUUUUUAUAUAUAAUUAAAAAUAAAAAAGGUUGGAAUGAUUAUUCUUCCUUUUUUCACUUUAAGAGAUAGAAAAAUUCUUUUUUUUUCAUACUUAUUACUACUAGGAAAAGAAAAAGAGAUAGGAAAGAAGGAGACAAAAAAUUAGAUUUUGCAAAAAAAGAAAAUAAAGAAAAGUCUAACAUUAUCGUAUUACUUUAAGGUUAUCGGGAUUAGAAUUGAAAUUUGGUGGUAAACAAAAAAGUGAAAUAAUUUUAAAAUAAUAAAAGUAUUUAAUUCUUUCUUAUUUGUAAUUUUUAAAAAAAGAAUUGAGCUCUCUCUCUCCCCCUCCCCCUCUCCAUAUUUCUAUUUUUUUUCAAUAUUAAUAAGAUUGCCAAUGAAAAAAAUUAAUAUUUUGACUUUUUUUCUUGAUACUAAAAAGAAGAAGAGUCACUCUAAAUUUUUUAUUAUUUUGAUUAUGCAAAGAGAGGGUAUUUUCUUCUAAAGUUUUUAAUUUGCUAAGUUGGUUUAAUGGUAGGAUAAAUUGUCUAAAAAAUAAUUCUAGGGUGUAAAUUGAUAAUGAGACUAUAUUUUAUGGGGGUAAAGUGAUAAUAAUUUUAAGGGUUAAACAUGUCUUUUCACUUUAAUUAAUAAACUCCAUUAAGUUUGACCAUUAGUUUUGGGGAUAAAAUGACUAAAAGAUAACGUUAAGGGGGAAAUUGAUAGUAGUACCAAACGUUAAGGAGGUAAAGUGAUAAUAACCCUUUUUAAUAUGAAAUCGCCACACAAUCAACAUGUAGUCAUUUUCUUUUAUGUAUAAAUAGGUCAAAUUCAACUUUUUUUUAGUGUAAAAAAUGAAUAUGGAUUAGGUCAAAUUUCACAUUUUUUUGGGAAAAAAAAUGAAUAUGGUUUGAGUCAGAUUCUACGUUUUAGGAACAAAAAUAAAUAUGGAUUGAAUCAUUUGUUUAACUAUAAAUGAGAUUUAACCUUUUUGUUAAAAAAAAAAAAGAUCAUAUGUGGUCACUUGAUGGAUUAAGGAUAAAUUUUAUCGACUUAAUUUUGUAGGGGAUACAAAGUUAGCAUUUAAAAGUGAAGAACGAAAAAAUUCGUUUGGCGAAAUGUAAAAAACAAAUUAUAUUUUAAACGAUUUUUCCUUAAAAAUAAAAAUAAUCUGAAUUUGUAGUCCUUUCUUUUAUUUUUUUAUUUUUUGAAGAGAGAAUUUGAAAAUUUUCCGGUGGGCUUCUUUUCUAUCUCCUUAAAGUGUUUCAGUGUGAAUUUACCUUUUUCUUGAAGGGACAUAAUAUAGGAGGACCUAUCAAAAUUCACGUUUUCAGUGUAUGUAUGUCACAAUAAAUAAAACUAGCCAGCUGAAUAUUUCUCAAGACUUUUAUGCUUUUCAUUUCAAGGGACAAUUGAUUAUUGAUCUAGGAAACAAGAAAAUCAAAAAGUAAUUGAGGAAUAUGCGAUAUUUUUCUAUAUCGUUUAGGAGGAAAUGUUGGGGUAGUCAAUUAAAAACCCUGAAAGAUUGUUAUCGUUAGGGGAAAAAAAAAAUUAAAAACCCUGAAAGAAUAAAAAACAAAACGAAAAAGUAAAAUCCGACUGGAACGUUACGACGUCGGAUUAUUCAUACAUUUCAUUUCCGUUCUCCCGUUGAACCCUACUAAAACCCUCUUCUGUGUCCAAUUUCAAGAAAUAGCCCCAACAAGGGUUUAGAAGAAGGAAGUUAAAAAUGGCGAGCCGUCUCGUUCAUUUCCGACCGACGGCGAGACUUCGGUGGCUGUCUACAGCAACAGAAACGGCAACGGCAACGGCAACGACAGCGACAACGGCUGUGACCCAAGAUACAGCAACGGCUGUGACCAAAGACAAGCCUAAUAUCUCUCUGUUCAGGAAACUGAAGGAGCUGAAUAUUGGACCAGGCUCAGACGCUAAUGUUUCAGUGGUUCUAGAUGAAUGGGCCAAUGAAAGUCAGGCUAAACGAUUCGAUGUUGCUAGACAAAUCAAUUUUCUCCGAUUCCGCAAACAUUACCAUCUAGCCCUCCAGGUAAUUUCUUGAAUUUGGUUAUUUUCUUCUUUCUUCUUCUUUUUUUUUUUUUGUAAAAAUUGUUUCUUUAGGCAUUCCUAGAUUUGUGGAUGAAUGAAUAUGCGACACGUGAGAUUUAUGCUUUAGAUGGUUUAUUGUGCUUGUGGAGUGUAUUUAUUCAAAUCAAGUUGCUGUAUUCUUAUUGGGUGCUAAAUUGUUGUCAUGUGGUGAAAUUUUCUUUGUAAUUGAUAUUAGUAUGCAUUCUAAUCUUUUGUUUCGAUUUGAAUAAAAAAAACUUUGAUUGUUUUAUUCCUUUUCGAAUGCUUAUUAUUCUUAGACAGAUAGCGAAUGUGAUUGUGGAAAAGAGCAUUACUUUAUCAUAGGAAGAAAAGUCAUUUGUUGGGUAUGCAAGAAGUGAUUGUUUAUUUGGGUAAUAUGGUCGGGUUGGAAACAGCAUAGAUGUGCUGUUUGUUAGCAUUGACAACUAUUUGUAAAACAGGGGAGGCAUAGAAUUUGGGUAGCAGAUGAUAUGUUUAUUGAACAUUAGAUGCUCAGUUUUUGUAGGAAGCUUUUUACCCUUAUGGAAACAAAAUCUGGGAUGUAUUCUUUUAAUAUGCUUGUUGAAAAUAGGUAAAGGAUCAAGCGUGGGUUGUAUAGGAAAUUGUACCUGUAUACCAACAAUGGGGAUUGAUGAGGAAGGAACAAGUUGAAUUGUAGAUUAAAUUGUAGUUAUCUAUCAACUUCAGGAAAUAUAUAGACUUUGCAUGGACAUCUGUUGAAUUAAUAAUAUCUUUUCCUUCCUUAGAUGGCAUUUUAUUUGCUUCUGUUUGUUCUCAAACUGGAUAGUUUGGUUUGGACUUUGUAAUUGUUUUCCUUAUCUUGUUACUAAUGCAGCUAUCAGAAUGGCUGGAGAGCAGCAAGAUUGAGAUGAACAAUGCUGACCGAGCUGUGCAGAUUGACCUUCUUGCAAAAGCUAAGGGUAUUGCUUCAGCUGAAGUUUAUUUUGAUGGUCUUCAGGGAUCUGCAAAAACAAACAAAACUUAUGGAGCACUUCUUAACUGUUACUGUAAGGAGAAAAUGUUGGAUAAGGCUGUCCAACUCUUUGCCAAGAUGAAGGAGCUGAAUUUUACUUCCACUCUGAACUAUAACAAUGUGAUGUCUUUAUACUUGAGCAGUAACCAGCCCGAACAAGUCCCUCUGCUUGUGCAAGAAUUGGAGCAGAAUAAACUUAAAGCAGAUAAAUAUACUUGCAAUCUGUUGAUUAACAGCUAUGCUUCCUCAAAUGAUAUAAACGCAGCGGAGAAAGUUCUUGAAAAGAUGAAGAAAGAUAAGGUAAAGUAUGAUUGGUUCACUUAUGGGAACCUAGCAACUAUUUACGUCAAUGCUGGACUUCUUCCCAAGGCCAAAGAAAUGAUAGGAGAGAUGGAGAAAUUUGAAAAUGUGCGUGAUCGUGAGUUUUUCCAUAUGCUAAUCAACUUGUAUGAGCUUAUGUCUGACUUGGCUGGGGUUCAUCAUGUGUGGAACUCCCUCAAGUCAGUUUUCCCCUCCCCCAGUAACACUAGCUAUCUCAUCAUGCUGUUGGCUCUGUUUAAAUUGGGUGACCUGGAAAACCUGGAGAAGUAUUUUAGAGAGUGGGAAUCUCAAUGCUCAUUGUACGAUGUCAGACUAUUCAAUGUGGUCUUGGAAUCUUAUCUUAAUAGGAACAUGAUUGGGGAAGCUAAUGCUCUCUAUGAAAGUAUGGUGACCAAAGGAAUUGAUCCCACCUUAGCGACACUGAAUAUUUUCACAAUCUACCACAUUAAGAAUGAUCAGAUUGAUUCGGCUCUGAAGUAUCUGGAGAUGGGUGCAUGCAAGACAAUCCCAGAGGAACAUAGGUGGUUUCCUACAGAUGAGACUAUCAAAUUGUUUUUAGAAUAUUUUGAGAAGAAAAAUGAUGCGACUAGAGCUGAGAAGUUUUGUAACAGCAUGAAGAAGAUUGGUCGUCUUGAUUCUACCGUUUAUGCAUCUCUGCUUUCCAAAAGUUGAUGACUAGAUCACUGCAUCGAAGUAUAGAGGUGUUUCUGAUUUAAAUAUGGCAGUGAGAAGAGGCCUUGACAAUUUGAUAUUUUAUACUGGCCUAAUUCAAGUCUUGCAAGGAAUUCGAGUUUAUGUUCACAAAUGCUAUUGUGCGAAGCAAAGCUGGCCUGUACUGAAACCUAAACUAUGGUGGUGAAAAUCAAUUUUGCCAUUAAUUCAUUAUGUCGUCACAAGAUGGUCACACACUCUAGUCAUUGUGGCUUUUUGACCUUCUCCUAGACAUGCCUCAAUUGUAUCCUAUCAUUCCUUAGCCUCUAGACCAACCACUUGAUAAUAGGGUUAUAAAAUGGGUACUAAGUGAAUUUGGGAUCAAAUUUAAGUUACACUAAAUUCAACCCACUUAAAGGUAGGAUUGAUCAGUGUACACAUACACACUCUAUUACAUGCAUGUAACACACAUAACAAAAAUAAAAUAGAAUAAGAGGUAGGUUGCUUUUUUCCUUGGAUGACUAUAUAUGAAUCUAAUCUUCAUUAACUGUAUAUAAUGCAUUUUCUUUGUCCAACUAGAAAAAAAUUGCUUACUUGUAAUUUUAGUAGAUGAAGAUAUUCAAACUAAUUUCAGGACUGAAUGAAUUUUCCACAUAUUGCAUUCCGUGUAUUUUACUAUAUGUUAACAUGAAUGAUAUAGAAUUUGAAUAUGGGUCAACUUGAAUAUCAGUCAUAAGUCCAAUUUCUUCAUAAACCAAGAAUUGAGUUUGAAUUCAAGAAUAUGAUUUGUUAUGUGAGUCGAGCUCAAGCAUAUCAAAACUCAAACUUAUAAAAUCCAAUUGACAGACCUAUUUCACUUGAACAGAUAAAAUGCUCAAAUAAGAUCAGUGGAAUUCAUUAACUUGAUUGACAACAGUUCAUGAAGGACCCUUUUAUGUCCAUUUGACUGUAUUACUUUUGUCAAAAGCCAACUAUUGAGCUUAGCAAGUAUUUCGCCCCAAGUACCUGUUUUAUACCCUGAUAAGGAUUUCGCACGAAAAUUACCCUCAAUGUGCACGAUCAGGAUGUCCUCCUAAGUCCCAGGGCUUAUCCGAUUUCAUAACCAGUGUCCAAAGCUAUUUAGGUCGGUUCUUGAACUUGUCUUAAUUGAUCUGUUUAAUUGAAAUGCUUGAAACUCCAAAACUUUGGUAUAUCUAUCUCUUUGAGUAUAUGGAAUUCUUACAAUCUUCUAUUCAUCUGUUUGGCUGAGAUAACCAAAUCCAAGAGCCAAGAAACUACUAUGCCUAUUUGAAUGCUUUAUGUUAAUGCUUGAAGAGGAAAUGCACUUAUAUUUUCUAAUACAAUGAUUCCAUAAAUAUGGUUUACCCAAUGUAGUAGAUGGUAUUUCUUUUUUAUUGGCAAAACUUUGGUUUUUAGCACAAAGGAAAUUGGAGGCUUUGACAGGGAGGGCUGUAAACCACAUAAAAUGUACCAGUUGGUUGCUCUAGGGUAAGACAUGAAUCUGAAAAGUUGGAGUUCAAGUUCACCAUGGUAAGGAAGCCAGAUCAAACAAGUCCCGUGCCUGAGUCACCUACUGAAGCAAGUAAAUCAUCAACAGUGGAAGAGAAGGCAUGGAACUAUAUAUAGCUGGUAUGCCUACGCCGCCAGAGGAGAUGAAGCUCAUUUCUUCUGGGAAUGCAAGGACUAAGAAGAAACCACAGCAGUGCAUUAACAAUUCAGUGUAUGGUGGUUGCAGCAGCGGCAGCUACAAGAGGGAAUCCUCGCAUCCCAAGCUCAAGGCAAAUGGCUGAAGCCAUAACCUGGAGAUGCUUUUGGAUAAACCUGCUACUGGUAAUCAAAGCAUACCAUCCUUUUGGAUACACACGUGAGACGGAUCAAGCUUUCAGCUGGAAGCUACAACAGUAUUGUAACAAUCACCUCGAAAGGAAAGUCUGGAAUUGUUUCCUGUUUCUUGGACUGGAAUCUAAAUAGUUCGCUUGGGUUUUUCAGAUUGUGAGGUGUUAUGAAAAUAGAGAAUUUUUGAACCUAUAGUUAUACCUAAAAAGUUGCUGCUACUAUACACAAAAAAAGAAGAUACAAAACCCAUCCAAUUUUGAUACUUUGGAACUUUUAUCGAUUGUGAACAAAAUGGCUGACCAGAAACGUCCUGUUUUUCCUAUAGAAAUCAUCACUCCGUUAUUGAUCCAGCUACCUCCUAAGGUCUUGAUGAAGCUCAUGCAUCUUUCAAGAUCACAGAAGAACUUGAUCGGAGACCCUAGUUCUCUGCGGCACAAUUUGAAAUAUUCUCAGCAAAAGGUAAUGGAUAUCUCUUGUAUUUGACUACGGAGUUAUAACCCGGGGACUUUCAAGUUGAUUGACGAUAGAUCAUUCCGAUAUUUGUUUAGAUUUAAGAAUGCCAUUUUUUUUGGUCCACUCCUCUUUUUCCUUCCUCACUUCUUUAAUCUCACCUGUUUUCUAUCUUGACAAGGACUUCGCCCGAAAGUUACCCACAAUCUGCACGAUCUUAUUUACUUUCUGUCCUUCUUCCUUCUUCUUAACCAGUGUCUAAAAAUAUUUAACUUAGUUCAUGAACUUGUUUAAAUUAACAUGUUUAAGUUAAAUCCUUGAAAUUCCUUCCAUGCAAGUUGAAAAGACAAUCGCUUUAACUUAAUUGAAACCUCAAUUGCAGACUUUUUCAAGUCAAAAAAAUGGAUGAUCUUAUAUUUCCUAAGAGGUAAUUAGUGAAACUAAAGCAGUCUCUUUCCGUAAUAUACAGCUGAUUCUUGAAAGAACCUAGUAAUUACUCCUAUACUAGGAAAGAAAUGGUAUUGGCAAUGUCUAAUCAUAUUGAGAAUUUCAAAUGAUCUGUCAUGUCAAUGGAAAGAAAUAUUUGCUUCAUCAAUCAUGCUGCAUUUCAUAAAUAAAAAACAAAAGGAGCAUUUGCCAAACAAAUUUAAACUUUAGAUUGGGAUAUCUUCGUCUUCUAAUUCUUUAGUUGUCCAAAUUGCUUCAUGAACUUCAAAAUUGUCCUUAAACUUUAGAUUGGGAUAUCUUAUUCCUAAAAUGCAAAAGCUUCUGCCAUUUUAGCCCUUCUCAUAAGAUAAUCAUUACAUUAAAAACUUACUUAAACAAGUAAACUAUGAUUGAAAAUAAUAGAAAUGCUAUUCUCUUUAUCGUGAAAGGACCUUAUGCUACAAGUAAAAUACAACGUGAUAAAGUCAUGACAAUAGAUAGGGAAGCUUCAAUGAGUACCAAAAUGUUGCCUAAUCUUGUGAUCCUGUGAUCUCUUGGCCUAAAAUUUAAUAUCCGUGUUACUAUAACAAGUUACAUAUUUAGUUAACGGUCAUAGUAAAAGCAAAUAAUCUUCAAUCAGUCAAAUGAGUGCCAUCGUGAAUUAAUAGACAUACAUCAACUUAUCUAGGGAUUUUUUUGGGAACAGCAUCAUUUACACAUCUAAAAAAUAAGCACCCAUAUUCUUUAGGGUAUGAUCUCAACUGUAUAUGGUUUUCGAAGUCACAUGGUCAAGCCUGACAAGGUCACAACCAAAUUCCAUCUUACCUGCGGAUUGAGAUAUAAAUUGGGAUUUUGAAUCUUGAAUCUUCUUCAAAUAAUCUGUCGUGAAUUAGAUUGAAAGACAUAUUCAUUUUCUUAAAAGAAAAAAGCAGUAAACUGAACUUAUAACCUGUCAUGGGUCUAUCACAUCACAGGGAAGGAAUGUUGCAACACCAAACAGUGAAAAUGUCUCCAAUGAAACAUCAUAAUAAAAAAUCCCUUCAACUCUACAAAAAUUUUGACACAAACUUUCAAAUAUAGAAGUACUGUGGCACUUUCUUGAAACCUUUCUAUGUUUUGCACAAACUCAAUAGCCAUGCCAAGAAACAUCAUGAUUUGCACGCACCAUGUUUCAAGUUUGAGAUCGCUCCUAUCCUGGAACCCAAACUCAGCAACUGAUUGAAUUCCUCUUAAGUAGCCAUCUUGUCUUGUCAGGGGAUCCCUUGUAGAUCCAUCAUCUUUCAAUGUCACCAAACCAUCAAGCAUGACCUGCGCAGAGGCAUACAGAGUUGUGAACGGAUGAACAGUCAAGUAAUAACUAUACGAUUUGAGCUCCUCAAAUCGAGAGUAACGUUCUCUUUGCGAUCCCUUGACGUAUAUAUAUACAAGAUGAAACCGAAUCUUCUGAAUCUAAAUACAUUGAAUUUUGGUCUACAAUGCUUGGGGAAUGACCAAAUUCUCCACACUUAAGAUGAAAACGAGAAUUGGACGAGAAGUUUAGGAGGAAUUAAGUAACUAGAGAAUAGUAAAGCUGGUCUGCAACAUAAAACACGGAUUUUGCCACAUCCUCUGAUAUUGCAUCAGACUUGAACUUUGCAUCUUUCGUUGUCUUUAUGGCCCCAAUCAAUUAAAUGGAUGCAAAUCAUGCAACGAUGUGGAGGCCAGUGUAUAGUGUAUAAUCCGUUAUAAUCUUACAUGUAUGCAUAAACGGGUGUAUAGCAUGAAUCUUUCACACCUAAACACCUGUUUAUGCACACUGGUGUGAUUAAUUAGCCUUCUCAAGUGGGAAAACUAAUUAACAUAAUACAUAGGGCUCUGAAAUCCUUGCCAACUUAGAGUAGGAGUACGCCUAGAGUGCUAGUGAUGCUUAAAUGCAAUUAGAUGACGGGUUUUAUUUAAUCAGAUUUUUAAACGAUUGCAGUUAUUCUUGGUGCUUUAUGCAUAAAUGGAGAAACCUCAUUCAUUGCUUUUGGAUAUCUUAUCACUCAUAGAAAAGUAUACAUGAUAGAGUAGAAAAACAAAAUUCUCUGCUUAGCGAUGAUUUGAUUUAUUAAACCAAUUGAACAUGUAUACUGGGGUCAAUUUCGAAAGAUUUUGCACUUCGCACUUGUAAACGAUAUUAGAUUCUCAAAUAAUCACACAAAUUAAGACGUUUGAUACUUGGCAUGCUACUAGUCAGCUAGUUAUAGGCUAGAAUAUGACGGUUUAUCAUAUUUUCAUUUUGCCACUUAAAAUGAUCAAAGCGAUUGUGAUGAUGAUGAGCGUUGAGGGAAGUGAAAGUGAAAGUGACAUUAAUUAUCAUUUUGAUUCAAAGCUGUGUCCUUCCAAGCUUGAGAUAUAUAACGAUCUAAGGGGUAGGAAGCAUUUUCUUUUCUGCGGAAAGAAGGGUGGAAGUGACUGAAACAGGAGCAAUAUAAAGAUUGGGACAUCCAGGGAAUGCAGCACAGGAGAAGGGAAUUAAAGGGAGUGGUGACUGAGAAUCUUGUUGAUCCUCCUGAUACAUGCAUGUUCUUGCCUCAAUCUUGAUGAUCAUCCUGAUAUAUGCAUGCUCUUACCUCAGAAUCCUCUAGCUCUGAAGAGGGUAAUGAUGAUUCUGAUGAUAACUACGACAAUAACUAGGAAGAACCAGGGAGCUCUGUUAUCACUUUUAUGGGCCCAUAAAUAUCAAACAACAAAAAUAAUUUAUCAAGCAAGAAAGCACAAAACGAAAAAUGGAGUCUAUCAAAAUGCAGCGGCUACAACUUACUAAAGAAAUGGAGACAGUGCCUUUAGUCACUAUUUCGACAUUUUGAUGAAUGGCUGACUGUGUAUUUCUUAAUUGAAGAAUUACGUAGGUAUACAACUUUCUGUAUAUUCUUUUUUCUUUACAAGUCUUAAAAAUAUAUUGUUCUAUGUCUUUUUCCAAAAUAAAUUGUAAUUUUCUUUUCAAUUUGUCAUUUUAUGGGGAUAAAAAGUUCCAAAUUCAUAAUGGUCUCUUUUUUCUUUUUCUUUUUUUAUAAGCCCUAACGGCCUUGUUUUGAUUUGGUUCAGAAUUUGGGAACCUACUAUCUUUUUAUAGUUAAAAAAGAGUAUAAAACUAAGUCACUUUAUGAGCCUUGACAGUAGAUAUUAACAUUUGUUGAAAAAAACAUAUGAGUCUUGAUAGUAUUAUGCUUCUUUUAAAUAAAAAAAAAGGGAAAAACAAUGGCACAAAGUUGGGCACACUUUUGUUCUUAGUUUUACACAAAUGAAUUAUUAGAUUUUUAAACUUAUGUUGUAAAAAAAAUGUAAUGAGAAAAAUAGAGAUGAAGCUGAAACGCAAAUAGUCAAACUCUCAUUCCACAUUUGUUGAUCUAUUUGAAAUGGUCUUUUUUAUCAUUUGCAAAAUUCUUUUCUUACCAGAAGUUUCCCAAACCUAAAGACACCACCUCUUAAAUACUAAAAUUCAUUAAUUAUAGUAACGUUAUUCACAUUAACGAGUGCCCAUUGAACAUCCGUUAGCCGGACCAAUUAACAAAUAUGUGAAAUGAGGCUUUCAUAGAUUUAAUGACAAUAGUCAGGAGCCAAAAAAAAUUUUAAUAGCGAUAAAGAUGAGAAGCUAUCCGAGGCUUUAAUGAAUUUACAGACACUAGUCAGCAACCAGAAUCUUAUCCCCUUUUCUCGACUGUACUUCUCGGAUGAGUAGCUCACCCUCAAGUAUUUUUAUCUCUCUUUUUCGAGAAGAAAAUAUUAAAAAGAUAGGUUUUCUUAAGCAAACAUUAAUCUUCUUUACAAACAGUGUAACCUAUGCUCCAACAAGUAUUGCAUGGUGGGAAAGGUUUUGGUCUGUAAUCUGCGGAUUAUCAUGAGGUGCACAGAUGUUGCACCUUGCCUGAGCUAUAAUGGUCUUAACAUGAUAAAUGUAUUCUUGAGCAUUUUAAUUAAUCUUUAUAAAUCUUAAUUUAAGAAUAUAGAGAUGCGAUGCGUAGUUGUCAAUUCUAAUUCUUGAACAAUUUUGUUAAGCCUGUUGUUACAUCAGUUUCCCUCAUUUUCUAAGACAUUUCCAUAUCAGAAACUGAAAAAAAAAAAAACUUGUUUUUUAGCUACCCAAAUAUAAACAUGUUUUUUUUAAUUAAUGAAUUCUGCGUAUUUAAUUCCUACUGUUGAGUGUUAUCCAAUACUGCUACUAAAUAUUCAUACAUCAACAUAUGCAUAUCUCUAAUUACAACUAGUAUUUUGAUAUAAUUAAGCAUAUAACUAUGAAGAAAAUUGAUUAUAUAUUUGUAAGGUCUGCUGCUUCUGUUGGCCGACUUGGUGGCCACGAGAACUCUCAUUUUCAUCCAAGUCUGGCGACGUACCCCAUUUUGCAUGGGGGCAAUCCGCCAUCUCCAUUGAUGGAAGUUGUUUUAGCCAGUAGAUCGAGGAGGACCAUAUUGGGCUCCUCGCCAGGAGCUGAACCUAGCUGGACCAGAGCCAUCGGUGUUCAAUCAGGGCAUAGACUGCACUACUUCUGCUGAUCAUGUGGAGCUUAACAUAGAGCAGCUGCCGCCUCUUUUUCCCUCUAUAUUACCUGGCGACUGCAAUGCAUUAAUACUUCAUCAUGAAACUUAAAAGGCAGCGAACCAGAAAAUUUUUCUUCAUCUUAAUUUCUCUACACUUUGAACCUAGUUCAUUUUAGUAUACAGAACUAUUGUUUAGUUGUAAUAUAUUUGGUUUCAAUUUCUCUCAACAAGAAAUUCUAGCCGAGAUUAAGGGCGGAGAGUAGAUGAAUUUAGUUCAAGAUCUGAAGUGAAUGCUCUCUUAGAAUUCAAGCUCCAAUAUUGAAAACUGAAUAUUCAAGAUUGUGUUGUCUAAACAUCUCACUUUCAUUCGUCAAAGUGAUGAAAUGUGCACUUCUAAGCAAUUUAGGGCACUUCUAAGCUCUAGAUGAUGAAAUGUGCAAAUCUCAACAAUUUAGGGCACUUCUAAGCUCUAGAUGAUGAAAUGUGCAACCUUCGUGAAAAAUAUAGAUUCAAUUUAAUUAUUCUAAAAGAAAAAGUAAAAAAAAAAAUCCAUGGCCUAGUUAUUUCCAAAACAGAAAUUAAAAAUUUUUACUUAGACUAUAGACUAGUGCAUUCACAAUGCACCCCAAAAUGGAUGUUUAACUAGCUAAUAUGGCAUGUAUUUCAAUAUAUGAUAUGUUAAGAAAGUAAAUACACCAUUAAAGUCCAUAUUUGCAUGUACAUUUUUAUAUGACAAUGUAAACAUUACACACUCAAGAGUCCACGAAUAUGUCUAGCUGAAUACAUCCCAUCCCAGAAGGUCCUUCUCUGAAACCUUGAGAGCUGAUAGUAGUAGUAUCAGUACCUAAAAAUUCCAGCCACCCCAGAAGCCGAAAUUGUAAUUUCCUCGUGUUAAAUUUAUUGACUUGAUUUGGACUUGCUUGGUUUAGAUUAUGAAAGUCUAGACUGAACUGUUGUCCAAUUGGGCUAUAAAUAUUGUAAUCAAUGUCUUUUUGGAUUUCACUAAAUUCCUUUUUGCACUAUCUAUGACAUCAAAUUCAACUUCUACAAAAGAAGAACUUGCGAAUAAUGGUUUUUAGGUUUGUAAUCCUGGGAUUAUGAGGUGCACACAUGUUGCACCAUGCCUGGCGCUAUACUGGUAUAGCAUUGAGUUUUCACUUUGACACAAGGUAAUAUGUGCAUUAAUCUUCUUACCAUCUCUAUCUGUCGAAAGGAUCAUCUAACCUGGAUUACUGCUUUUAGAUGAACUCUUAAUUUUGCAUUAUGAAUAUCGUGUUAAGAAUCUAGGCCAAAGUUCAAUUUCUGAUUAACUCUUUUUUGGUAGCUAAUUAAUGUCAUCUAAGAAAACAUCAUUAUAUUUAUAGAGUGAUUUUGCCAUUAGACAAAUAUUUGGAAAAAUAAAAAUUUAAGAUGAGACUACUCUAUCAAGGGUUUACUCGUCGUUUUAAUCUAUAGGUCUAAUAUUUUGUUCUACUAAGGUUUGCCUGCUAUCUAGGCCAAGGUUUGAUUGAAAUGAAUUCUGGGCAAUAGCUCAUUUAUGGAAAAUAAUAUGAUAUCAGCAAUCCUUCUUAUAUGUAGAGAGUGUUUUUCUUUUUCCCAUUAACCAAAUAUCUGUCAAAUUUCUUUAACUGGAGACUAGUCUAUCAAGGACGGACUUAUCGUUUAAAACAAUAGGAUCAACUUGCACCAACUGUGAAAUCCACCAUACCUAACCAGCUUAAAAAUUAUUCAAACCUUAUAAAUUUUAACAGAUUUCAGUAUCAAUUAUACGUUGCUUAACGUAUCGUUAUACCUAGGAAUUGGGCAGGUUGGACGGGUUGAUAUUGGAUUUUCACUUAAAUGGGCUACACUCAACCCGUCCAACUUUAAAUUGGGUUGAUUUUGGGUUGAAUUAUAUUGGAUCAUCUCAAACUCAUGAUCUAACAUAUUAAUUAAUACAUUUUGAUAUAUAAACUUUUUUACAUACAUUUUAACACGUAAAAAGAUUUUUUUUCCACACAUAAACAUAUUUUCACAUACAUAAAUGUAUUUUCACACACACACACACACUUCUUAAGCUUCUUAGAAAUACGUCAUAAAUAGAAUAAUAUUUUAUAUUCCUUGUAUUAUGAAUUUUAGAUAAUAAAUUGUACAUUGAAAUAGAUUAGCUAAAAAAUUUUGUUUACUUUAUACUUUUUAAUACGACUAAUUGAUUGAAAUUAUUUUUUAUCACUAUUAACACUUUUACUACUCAUAUAUGCUUUAUUGUAAGUUAUAAUAUUCUAUAUAUUUAAAUAAUUGAAUGCUAGAUUAUAUAAUGCUUGAAAAUAUAAUUAAAAGACAUAUCAUAUGUUGUAUUAUAAUAUUGGUGAGGAAUUAUUAACAAUGAAAUAAAACAAAUUAGAGAAAGUAAAAGAAUGCAAUUAGAAUAGGUUUAACUCUAUUCCACGUACACGAAAUAUUAACAAACAGAAAUAUUAACAAACAGAAGCAGAACCACCAGGUAAUUGAUUACAUAAUACAAGAGCAAAAGAGAUACAAAACUAGUCCCAAUUUCAUACUUUAAAACUUGAGUGAAGUGUCAAGCCUUCAUUAUACACAGGAAUAAUGCAAUCUUUAAGUGCCUAAGAAACUAGCUUAAUAGAAGUGCAUGAAGUAUUACAACUAUAUGAUCCCAUGAAGCUAGUAACAAGGCUGUUAGGCCAAUCACUUCCUCGAACGAAAACAACACAGGCCAUUGCGUACUCCGAUGUCCCGUUGCCGCCUUCUUGCACGCACGGGAUUGCUUACUCUGAUGUCCCUUUGCCUUUUUCCACACUCGCACGGGUUAUGGCUGUCAGGCUUUGCAAGUUCUUGCCUCGCCUAAGCUUUUCAAAAGUAACCCAUCUAACGAGGCAAGGGACCCGAUAAAAUAAAAGCCAUUAGCUGAAUCCCCAACUCUUAAAAAGGCAGAAAUUGUGCGCAUGAAUGGAGCCCCAUCCACCCACAAAUCCACCAAAAGAAACAAGCGGAAGAGCAACAGAUGAUGUGAUUUCCCAGAUCACAAAACAUUAAGACAUAAUAUAUUGUGAUUUACUAUAGGAAGACCUGGAGAAGAACCAUAUUUAAUAAUGACCAAUACCAUCACAUAAGAUCAGCUUUCCCUCCUCCUCUUGCCCGGGCUUGGGACCGGCUGUCUGUGGAGACAGGCGGAGUUACAAAGCAUCCUACCAAACAAAACAGCACAAGCAUACAGACAGGGGGAAUCUCCAAUAGAGAACAAUAGAGGACAGAUGCAUCUCCAAUAAAACCAAAAAAAACAAAAAAAAUCCAACUCAUACGCAGCAGUGUCCAAAAAAGCAACAGGCAGAGGGAAUCUUCAAGUUAUCCCCACCAAAAGGCAAGCUACAAACGUCUCACAAAUAGCAAAAUAAACUUGCAACAAUCUGCACCAGAGUACAAGAGAACUCUACGAAUAGCACACCAAACAUAUUACCAAAAUUACCACACUUACUUUGUUUACUUGUUUUUAUACCAAGGCUCACCUUCUGCAUACUUAACCUAUAAAUCAACUAAAUUUUCAUCAAGUUAGGGGGCUCAACCACUGUGUGAAACAAAUGUGAUGCUACAGUUAAUUUUCUAUAGCAUUCAAGGUACCAAAAAGAAUUAGGAAAGGUCUAAAGAAAAGCUCCGGUGAAGAGAAUCGGAUAUCAAAACAGAUUUACAUACAAAAAAAUAAAAAUAAAAAUUUUGAAAAUUUUGAAAAAAAUUAUGAUGCUAAAGGCUGAUAAAAGAUCAAAUAUUAUAUAGUGCAAGUAUCCAACAAAUAGACCCUACUUAUGGGACUUAAAAAGUCACACAAAUCACAGGGGCUUAAGCUACACAGGUAAAUCAUACAGAAAAUGACAAGUUGCCCUAGAAAACAGGAACUCUUUCAUUUCUUAAAUCCACCGAAAUCAACCUCAAAAGUAGUACGCACUUCAAAUAAAUUAAUGAUUUUCAAGACUUGUACACAAGGGCAUUUGGAUUCCUCUCAAUCUGUCAAUCAUUUAUGAUUGGUUCUAUGAACACAAUACACCUGUGCCAGGGCCUGUUAAGAUGCAACCACCUUCCCGAAACCACAACGCAUACAACUAUUGCAGAUCUUAGAUUGGACCUCUUGAUGCCACACCAUAACUGUUAAAAGGCCACAAGCAAAU